UGCUCUUCAAUUUAGGAAAUCUGGUGCACUUAUUAUGGCUUUUUAUAGCGAGGCAAAAUGCUUACGCCUGUUGGAUUUACAUGGUUCCCAAAUAUCUAUGCUGCCAAGCUCAAUCGGUAAGUUGAAGCUCUUAAGAUACCUCAACCUUUCAUCGACAAAUAUACAAGAACUGCCUGAAUCAAUUACCAGCCUCUGCAACUUGCAAACCUUGAAUCUUUCAGGCUGCCACGAGAUCCGUACAUUACCCAAAUUUCUAGGAAGGCUUACGAAUUUGCGGAUUUUAGAUUUAGGAUAUUGCCAAUUUCAGACAAUACCAGACUCCAUUAGCAACCUUCAGAAUUUGUACGCACUAAAUUUGAGUUGGUGCUACAAGGUGAGAUUACUUGAACCUAUAUGUCACCUCAAAAACCUGCAUUACCUAGACCUAUCAAAUUUAAAAUCUUUGGUGGCAUUACCUGAAUCCAUUGGGAGCCUUCAAAACUUGUGUAUUCUAAAUCUUUCUGGGUGCAGUUCUCUAAUAUCAUUACCGUCAUCGUUAUAUGAUCUUCAGCAUUUAGAGGAACUAGACAUUAGUGGCUGUGGAGAAUUAUGUGAGCUGCCUAAAAUGAUCCAAAAGCUGACCAAACUAAAAGAAUUGUUAAACAACAAUUGCUCGGAAUUGAAGGGCAUGCCCCGAGGGAUCGGCAAGUUACUUAGCUUGCAGGAAUUGUCCGUUUUUGUCGUCGGCAAGCAAGACCGCGUUGAACAUUGUGCUAGCAUCUCUGAGCUAGAGCACCUUAAGCUUGUCGGCGAGCUGGAGAUCAAGGGUCUUGAAAAUGUAACGAGUCCGGUUGAUGCCAAGGCUGCAAAUUUGAUAGAGAAGAACCUGCGGUCUUUGAAGUUGGAAUGGAAUGUUUUAAGUGCGGAAGAAGGCAUGGAUACUGUACUACCGGCGGAAGAGAUAGAUACCGUGCUAGAAAAUCUUCAACCACAUCAAAAGCUAGAGAAUUUGGAAAUAGAAGGCUACGGAGGCAGGAAGUUUCCUAGCUGGAUGAUGAAUAGGAUUGGCUCGUACCUCCCAAAUCUCGUUAAAAUCAGACUUGAGAAUGUGCCCGGAUGCAGCUCACUCCCGCCGCUGGGGCAACUUCCUUUUGUUGAAGACCUAAUUAUACAAAAUAUGCCUGCAAUAACAAAUUUGGGUGUAGAUAAGUUCCCUGCGCUGACGAGACUUUUGUUGGGCUGCAUGCCUGGGCUGCGAGAAUGGGUGACGGUAUUGACGGUGGAUGACGAAGAAGGCAGGCGAGAGCGAGUUCCCAUUUUUUCGUGUCUCACUAACUUGUUGCUUAAAGAAUGUCCUCAAUUGAGACCGGAGCCUUGCCUCCCGCCAUCGGUUGAAUAUCUGACCAUUUCCCGAACAAGCAGCGAGAAUCUAUCUUUAAUUCUCGAACGUGCGACGCCACUUGAUGGCGGUGAUGCCGCUGUUUCACUCCAACCGCGACCAAAUAAGGGGCUGCAGAGUCUAGCAAUAGUAGGAUGUCAGCAGCUAACUUGUUUGCCCGAGAGCUUGCGAAGUCUCACGUCCCUCCACAUCCUGAGAAUACAGAAUUGCGAAGAUCUUGAGAGAAUUGAAGAUUGGCUUGGGGAGCUCUCCGACCUGCAGUCCUUGUUCAUCUAUUGGUGCAGCAGUCUCCGUUACUUGCCUGCCCACAAGAUGACCGCACUAAAGGAGUUAACUAUUUUUUGUUGCCCAUUAUUGUUCAAUGCAGCCGGACAAUUUGUCGACACCACUGUCGAUCACAUCAAAUAUGUCUCUGUUAAUGGAAGGUAAUUAAUUUAGAAAUCUGACUACUCUUUAAUUAAUUAGCUGGCUAGCACCUUAAUAUUCUAUUGUAGCUAGCAUAUAAACCUCUUUCUUUAAAUUUUUUUUUUUUUUUUUAAUCCAGAUGGAAAAACUUCCAUUAGCCCCGCCCCAUGUGGUUCAUUUGCUAUAAAAUAUUUCACUUUGCUAUUUUAUUGUUGUCUUUAUUUUGCCCAACUACUACCAAAGAAUAUUGAAGUGCUUAAAUUUAUGAAUUAUAGGAUACUAAAGUAGUAUAUUUUAUAAAUUUUAGCACUUUAGUACUUCACUUGAUGGCAAGUUCUUACAAUGAUACGAAGAAAAGAAAUAAUCACAAAAUUUUAAAGUAAAACUUACUAUUUAAAGUACAGGACGGUAAAGUAAAAACGCAUUGAAUUAUAGAGGGUCCAAAUUGAAGUUUUUCCUCACCGUAUAAACCUCUGGUAACAUACUUAUAGAUACACAUACUGCAACAUGAGUUACAAACCAUUUGCUAUUCACAAUCUCCAAUCCCCACCUUCUCGAGCAAUUGACCCACCAAUUUAUAUAUCUGUGCGAUUUUAUUUAAUUUAUAUUCUGAGUGAUUAUAAAUUUUAGAUUAGUUUUAUCCUACUCUUAGAUAAGUUUUAUCCUGUUCUUAUUUCUUCCUGUUUAGAUAUGCUAAAUUGCUAUUCAACAAAAUAUUUUGCUUGUACAAGUAGUUCAUAGAUUACAAGAGGCAAUUAUUUUUCCACAAAUUUUGCAGCAAUUGCAACUUUACUAAUUUGCACAAUUGAAACUAUAGCAGCUUGCCGUUGCACAAUUUAAAAGCCACAUUUCAAAAUCAACUACGUAAAAGUGCAGCUAAGAUAUUCUAAAACAUGGUUUGUUGCCAACAAAAAUUUACAAGCGCUCUUGCACGUAUAUAGACUAAUUAAUGAAAUUUUAACCUUCUCUUAAUUUGUAGCGAUUUGAGAUGCCGAAAAGUUUCUACUUGAAAGAUAUAUAGAAUUUACGAAGUAAUUAUUUUUGGUCAUAUUGCUGAUAUAUUAUUCGAGUCCUGGGAUAUUUUCUUUACAAAUUGAAAUAAGGUAUCUUAUAUAUAUCAUGCGUUAUUAGAAAGUCUAACCAUAGAUAGCAUCUCCAACCUGUGUAUAUAGAGGACCACUAGCUAGUUGGUUUUGAGAUUGUAUGAUGUACAUUAGGACUGGCGGGGUCAGGGUCUUUACUCAUAUAUAUUUAUUGUGAAAUGUAUGGUUGUAUAUUUGUAUGGAUAGUGGUCGUUGUUUAGUUUAGUUUUACAUAAAUAGCUCUGAUACUUUGUGUUUAGUUGUGAACUCUAGAAUCAUUAAUGUUGACUCUUUGAUUCCUUUAUUACUGCUUCUGUCUCGUUGGUCGCUUCGUGCGUAUAGGAGAAACUCUAUCGGUUGGGUGGGUCUGUUGACGUCCCCCUAGGCUUCUGCUAUGAAACUGGAGCGUGACAGAUUAAUGUGCUAAAAAAAGUUACCAUUUUGUGUUGUUAUGGUGCAGGAACUACCCAUAUGAGGAAGAAGGGAGCAGCUCGCCAGAGGAGGAGGAGAAGAAGAGUUGGACGAGUUGUUGGAGCAGAUCGAAUUGGCUAGCGAGGAGAGCAUAAGUAUAUGUACUUAUUAUUUGGAGGUAAAAAGAGAUUAUAUAUUAUCUAAACUAUCCCGUGCUUUUAAAGCGGGCAACUGGGCUUUAGGAAUUUCGAUUUUAAUUUGUAAACCUUAUAUAUGCUCAUUUUGAUAAAAGCAAUUUUCUUUGAAAGAUUUGUUAGAUUCUUUUAGAAUUUAGUCUCUUCCGUCAAAAACAAAGUGCAGAAUGUAUCAAAAAAUAAAAGAUAUUUUUUAAUCAAAUUUUAAAAUGUUUUAUUAAAAAACGUUAAGUAUCCUUUCGAAUUCUAUAAGGAACAUAAUAAACACGGCGGAAAGUUAGAGAGUAGAAUUAAAUUUUUUAAAGUUCAGUUAUUUAUCUCAAAGCGUAGUAUAGCUCAUGUAAGAAUCAUUCUCUUUUAGCUUAUUUGGUGAUCACUAUUCCCCUUUGAGAAGAGUUUUUUUUUUUUCCCUUUGUUUUGCCAAAAAUAAACAGAUUUUAUAUAUCUACAUGCAAUGGUGAGAGUUUUUAUUCAUGGACCUGUGGUCUUCUCUUUCAGGUUGGUGCUAUUUAGCGUGCCGGACAAGAAUCGUAGUGUGCUGUUGUCGGUUAUAUAAUAUAUAUUUGUGUUUUCGUGAUAUAAAUUUAGUUUCUGAAUGUACUAUUUUAUAAUUUGGAUUGAUUGUUUGUAAUUUUAACAUGUUAUGGGCUUGAAAAAGAUUGUUUGGUUUGAAUAAACAAAAUGUUGCUACUUUUUUCAUACGGAUAUUAGAGGGUACAGUAAUUUUUAAGUAAAUCUCAUGUAGAGUUUAUUACUAGUAUAUAUGUUUACUUUAAUUAGAACUUGUUUAAAAUCAGAUGAUGUUUUUUUGCAUGCAAGUUGGACCUAGUAUGUAUGUACCGCAGUUGAGAGGGUUAAUUUCCAUAUAUGUUUACUUUAAUUUAUCUUUUCUUUUAUUUGAUUAGAUCCGAAGCCGAUAAAUUUUAAAGUAUUAAAAGUUUUAUUAUUUCGCUUUCUGCAAGAUUUUUAGUUUUUAAAUUCCGCAAAUCUGAAUCGAUUUAUUAAUAAAAUCAAACUGAAUCAAUAGAAGUGGGUUGCUUUUCCAGUUUGGUUUUUACCAAACAUGUGGUUUAAAUGAAAAUAUAGAUAUAUAUUGCUGCAUUAUUUAAUUUGUUUGAGUUAAGUGAUCUCACUGCUCGUGCAAUAUCAAAUUUAGAUUAAUUAUUUAUUUUAAUAAAUUUAUAGCUUCAUAAAUUUAUAAAAUAUAGUAAUUAAACAUGUAAAGAUAAAUAAUACAUUUAAAAUUUAAAGCUAAAGAGAUAUUUGACUCGAAUCAAAUAAAUUAAAGAAUUGUAUAGCAAAAUUAAAACUCUUAAAGAUUAGAUAGUAAAAUUAAAAUAAGUGAUAGUUGUGGUAAGUUAUAUAAAUUUCUUAUUUUUUUAUUCAAGUAAUCGAGAAAAUUAAAGAGGUAGUUAAAUAUGAUUCGAACAAGUUAAAUAUGGAUAAAAAUUUGAAUGCAAUUUAGUAUAUGCAUGUUGCUACCACUUUCGCGGAUCGAAGUUUACGAACAAACCCUCAACCCUAAACCCAGGUGGUAUCUCCUAAUGCUAUUGAAAUUGUUUAGGUGACAAAUGUAAUAAAAAAAGGAGAUUGAUGGAUCAUUCUUGUACAAAUGAAAAGUGAUUAUGAGAUUUAGCUUUUAUUCUUCUUAUAUAUAUAUAUAUUUUGAGAGUAAGGUAGCAUACUAUCCGCUUCAUUCAUUGGAUCUUCUUAUAUAUUAUACUCAUUUAAAAGUAGUGUAAAUUUUAUACUCACAUAUUCAAAGAUUUAUAAAGUACUUUUAAAUUUUUAAUAUUAACAAAAAAAAUGAUAAAAUUAGUGCGAAAAUACUAGCCUUUGGAUGGAGUAGUGCUAUAAAAUAGGAUACAAUAAACUUUUAAUUAGCCCCCUAUAAAUUAGCAUAUUUUCACUUUUUUAAUAUGUGGUUGAAAAAACUUUUGCUUUGCCAUAUGGCCUUUGUUUUUUUUUUUUUUUUUUUUUUUUUUUUUUUUUUUUUUUUAUCACUAAACGGGCCUUCUGUUGAAGUGGUUGAUAAAAUAGUGCAACUUAUAAACCUAAAAUAUUAUAAUUUACAAACCAUAUGAUAUUAUAAUUUACAAUAAUAUUACUUUAUUAAGCUCUUUAAUGGUAAAUUAUUUUUUUGAGAAAAAGAUAGCAUGCUACCCGCUUCAUUCAUUAGGAAUAUGAACUAGGCUACAGGAAUGAGACAGCUACGGUCUCUGGGAGGCGGGAAAAAAAAAAAUCCACAGAUAGGACAAAAAUAAAACUAUGAGAUAGCAAAAUAAAACUUCUAAAUCACAGAAUUGCUAAAAAAAAAAAAAAAAGAUGCAGUAAAUCAUAGGAGGGGUUCAUUAAAGUUCAUACAAAAUAGAAACUCUAGCUUCGUGCAAUAAUUUCAUACUGUGAGGAGUAUACUCAAACUUCUAGAAUGGAUAAAAAUAUUUAGCCUAGAAAUCAUUUUUUUCCACGGAAAGAUAAAUUAUCUCACAAUAAAAUUUAUUAUUCAGCAAAAUAAUGAACAACAAUACCUUCUAAAGCUGAGAGAAAAAGGGGAAAAAAAAGAAAUUCAUGUUAAUGUCCAAACGGGAUAGAGACACCAAAGUACAAAUAGGUCAAAACCAGAGGACCAAAUUGAAGUUUUCACUCUGCUAUAAAAACCCAGCCCGUUUGAAACCCCCCACCCUGCAGCACCUUCUUCUUGUAUUCCCUCCAAAACUUCUCCCUCCCAGAUUCCCUGCUCCAGCGUCCAACCCCCAAAAUCAAUCAAGAAAUCGAAGAUGAGCGAAUCCUCGGCCUCCGCCGGUGAUGGCGACAGCGGAAAUGAGCUGUGGGCGCCGCCUUUUCCCGGGGAUAUCUUGCCCCGCAUCGUCGCGAGGCUGACCUGCGCCGAUCACGCCGCUCUCCGUGCCACCUGCAAAUCAUGGCGCACCAUCUUCUCCGCCAUCCCCCCCUCCCCCCAUCCCGGCCUGCUCCCCUUCCUCCUCCUCCCCCCACAUUUCGCCCUCCCUGAUCCUCUCUGCCUCAGCCAUCGUACCCCGCCCUAUACCCCGCCCCUUCCCGACUACCCUCUCGGCCCCAUCGUCCCCUUCCCCCGCCUCGGCCACAGCCAUUCCGAUUCCCCCUUCUUCCCCCUCGGCAGCCUCCGCAAUCCCACAUUCCGCCCGCUCCCCUCCCUCUCCGACACCACCCGCCACGUCUGCGUCGGCUGCUCCCACGGCUGGCUCAUCCUCCUCGGCCCCACCUCCCACAUCUCCCUCCUCAACCCCCUCACCGCCGCCACCAUCCCCCUCCCUCCCCCGCUCUCCUCCGUCCCCCUAUCCUUUCCCCUCUACGAUGAGAGGACCGUCGACCGCUACCUUCUCUUUCGGGGCGAUCCACCUCGCAGGCUCCGCCACCUCGCCGCCCUCGUCCGCCUCGCCGUCCUCUCUGCCGACCCCACCGACGACCCCUCCUCUUUCAUCCUCGUCCUCGUCCUCGGAAACACCAUCUCAGCCCGCGUCAUCACCUGCGGCCCGAGCGACGGCUACGCUGCGUGGAGGCACCAUACCUACAGGGGGUUCCCCGCCUACGGCGUGACCGACCUCAUCUUCCAUCACGGCCUCUGCUUCGCCGCCGUCAUGUGGCGCACCAUUGGCGACGUGGUGCUCGGCCCNNNNNNNNNNNNNNNNNNNNNNNNNNNNNNNNNNNNNNNNNNNNNNNNNNNNNNNNNNNNNNNNNNNNNNNNNNNNNNNNNNNNNNNNNNNNNNNNNNNNNNNNNNNNNNNNNNNNNNNNNNNNNNNNNNNNNNNNNNNNNNNNNNNNNNNNNNNNNNNNNNNNNNNNNNNNNNNNNNNNNNNNNNNNNNNNNNNNNNNNNNNNNNNNNNNNNNNNNNNNNNNNNNNNNNNNNNNNNNNNNNNNNNNNNNNNNNNNNNNNNNNNNNNNNNNNNNNNNNNNNNNNNNNNNNNNNNNNNNNNNNNNNNNNNNNNNNNNNNNNNNNNNNNNNNNNNNNNNNNNNNNNNNNNNNNNNNNNNNNNNNNNNNNNNNNNNNNNNNNNNNNNNNNNNNNNNNNNNNNNNNNNNNNNNNNNNNNNNNNNNNNNNNNNNNNNNNNNNNNNNNNNNNNNNNNNNNNNNNNNNNNNNNNNNNNNNNNNNNNNNNNNNNNNNNNNNNNNNNNNNNNNNNNNNNNNNNNNNNNNNNNNNNNNNNNNNNNNNNNNNNNNNNNNNNNNNNNNNNNNNNNNNNNNNNNNNNNNNNNNNNNNNNNNNNNNNNNNNNNNNNNNNNNNNNNNNNNNNNNNNNNNNNNNNNNNNNNNNNNNNNNNNNNNNNNNNNNNNNNNNNNNNNNNNNNNNNNNNNNNNNNNNNNNNNNNNNNNNNNNNNNNNNNNNNNNNNNNNNNNNNNNNNNNNNNNNNNNNNNNNNNNNNNNNNNNNNNNNNNNNNNNNNNNNNNNNNNNNNNNNNNNNNNNNNNNNNNNNNNNNNNNNNNNNNNNNNNNNNNNNNNNNNNNNNNNNNNNNNNNNNNNNNNNNNNNNNNNNNNNNNNNNNNNNNNNNNNNNNNNNNNNNNNNNNNNNNNNNNNNNNNNNNNNNNNNNNNNNNNNNNNNNNNNNNNNNNNNNNNNNNNNNNNNNNNNNNNNNNNNNNNNNNNNNNNNNNNNNNNNNNNNNNNNNNNNNNNNNNNNNNNNNNNNNNNNNNNNNNNNNNNNNNNNNNNNNNNNNNNNNNNNNNNNNNNNNNNNNNNNNNNNNNNNNNNNNNNNNNNNNNNNNNNNNNNNNNNNNNNNNNNNNNNNNNNNNNNNNNNNNNNNNNNNNNNNNNNNNNNNNNNNNNNNNNNNNNNNNNNNNNNNNNNNNNNNNNNNNNNNNNNNNNNNNNNNNNNNNNNNNNNNNNNNNNNNNNNNNNNNNNNNNNNNNNNNNNNNNNNNNNNNNNNNNNNNNNNNNNNNNNNNNNNNNNNNNNNNNNNNNNNNNNUUUCCGGUUAAUCCCGCACGAAGGACGGAAAUACGCCUUAGGACAGUGCCUCGCACGCUUCCAGAUCAAAUUAAUUUGAUAUUCUUCUUCCAUAAUUUUUUUUGGAAUUUAGCGAUUGUCGGUAAGUAGGUUUUAUUUAUUUAAUCACAAAAUUAGUUAGAUUUAGUCACAAUCGAAGUUCGUUGCGGUUUGUUCCCCAACAAUCUAAGGCGUACUUCCGAUUUGAUUGUGAUUUAAAUCUAACGAGUGCUAAUCCAAAGAAAAUAAAAUUGUGCAUGUUGUAUAUAAUUUGUUUGAUAACUUGCUUGUAUGAUUGACAUACAAAGUUAAUUUAAGUUGAUAUUAAAAAAAAAAUAAAUAAAAAAAAUAAUAAAAAAUCUUUCUACGGUAAAUUCCAGUGUGCGGUUUCAACUUGCUACAGUAAAAAAUUUUUUAAAAAGGAAGAACUUUGCUACAGUAUUUUAUUUUGCACUGUACGGCCCUUUUAUGCUUUCUGUACGGAUUGUUAAAAAAAAGCUUGCUACAGUAAAUUUUUUAGCUUUCCUGUGUGCGGUUUCAACUUGCUACAGUAAAAUUUUUUAAAAGGAAGAACUUUGCUACAGUAUUUUAUUUUGCACUGUACGGCCUUAUUAAUUAAAAAAAAAAAAAAAAAAAAAAAAAAAAANNNNNNNNNNNNNNNNNNNNNNNNNNNNNNNNNNNNNNNNNNNNNNNNNNNNNNNNNNNNNNNNNNNNNNNNNNNNNNNNNNNNNNNNNNNNNNNNNNNNNNNNNNNNNNNNNNNNNNNNNNNNNNNNNNNNNNNNNNNNNNNNNNNNNNNNNNNNNNNNNNNNNNNNNNNNNNNNNNNNNNNNNNNNNNNNNNNNNNNNNNNNNNNNNNNNNNNNNNNNNNNNNNNNNNNNNNNNNNNNNNNNNNNNNNNNNNNNNNNNNNNNNNNNNNNNNNNNNNNNNNNNNNNNNNNNNNNNNNNNNNNNNNNNNNNNNNNNNNNNNNNNNNNNNNNNNNNNNAAAAAAAAAAAAAAAAAAACAAUUGAGUUACUAUACUUAUGUUUCUUACUCUCCAAUUUGAUUCUGUAAUGAAGGCAUAGUGACUUUUGUGACCAGGAUUGAGGAAAGGGUUUAUUAUAAUGAUCCCUAGUUGAAUCCAAUUUCUAUGGCUAUACUCCUUUAUUAAGGACCUAUUAGGCCCCGCUAGGUAGGAGGAAUUCUACACUAUCAUACUUGCACCACGUCAUUAAUAAUAAGCCAAUUAUAUUCAUUUUUUUCAAACAAAAGUAUAAUAAAAAUAUUUUUUUACAAUCAUAAUGGGACAUAUACUCUUAAAAGGAGACAUUUGAUUGAUUUGUUACGCCAAGUCACUAAUACAUCUGUUACCUUCUAGAAUUUUUUGCUAGGUGGAUGGUGGAGUUUACUGUUUGAUGCUAAUAAUAGUUUAUUGCGGCAACACUAGUGCCCGUCCAAAUUCAAAAAUCCUUAACCCGAAGAUAGAAAUUUCCCCAACAAAGUAAGACCAAAGAAGGAGUAUUAUAUCGGUAAAUAAACCGCAUAAGUUGAUCAAAAUAUGUUAAACACUGCAUUUAACUUCGUUCCCUUAAUCUCCAAAAUUAGAUAUCAGCAUCUAAUUGCGCAUAGAUCUACUUCCGCAGGAACUACAUAACCAGAUGAUCGCAAUUAAAAAGAAACACGCUCGAAUCGAGUAAUCGAACCAAUCACCUGCACGAACAGCUCGAUCCCCCCUCGCCGCCCCCGGCAUCGUCUUCCUCCCGGCGACGGCGGGCGCGGCGGGGUAGCGGGGCAUGAGGAGAAGGACGACGGCGACGAGGAGGAGAGGGACGGAUCUGAAGCUAAUAUAUUUUGAAGUACUAAAAAUUUCAUUAGUUUGCUUUUCGCAAGAUUUUUAGUUUUUAAUUCCCCAAAUCCGAAAUCAAUUUAUUUACUAAAAUCAAACUGAAUCAGUCCAAGUGAGUUGCUUUUCCAGCUUAGUUUUUAUGAAACAUAUGGUUUUACCAUAAAUGGAAAUAUAGAUUUAUCUUGCCGCACAAUUUUGAUUUAAAUAAUUUGAUUAUUUUUUCAAUAUAAAAUUUAGAAUAAUUAUUUACUUAAUAAAUUUAUAUCUGUGUAAUUAAAAAUACAUUUAAAUUUUUAAAGCUAAAGAGUUAUUAGUUUAUUCAAAUCAAAUAAAUUAAAAAAUUAUGUAGCAAAAUUAAAAUUUUUAAAGAUUAGAUAAUCAGAUUAAAAUAAGUGACAGUUGAGGUCAGUUGUAUAAAUUUUUACUUUUUUAUUCGGGAAAUCUGAAAAAUUAGAAGAGGUAUUUAUUUCAAAAUAUGUUAAAUUUUUUGAUUUAUUGUCUAUUCUUUCUGAUUUGAGUUUCAUGAAAUUUUUGCUAACUAUAUACCCAGUGCUAUGUGCAGUAUGCCUUUUUCUCUUUUCUUUUUUUUUUUUUCAUUCUCCUUCAUUUGCAUUGUGACUGUAGAGUAUCCUACAUUGUAAAUUGAAAAUGAUUCCGGUUACUAAAGAGAAUAAAUAAUAUAAUUAUCUUAUACCAGAACAAACUCUUUACAAAAAAAUUUCACUUUGGCCCCUAAAAUUUAUAAUAUUUUAAUUUUUAAUGUAUCAUAGUUAGAAACUUUUGUGUAAUUUUCAAAAACUUGAGGGCGCCCAUGACCAUUGUUGGCCUCUCAAUAACUCUCCCCCGAUUCAGGACUAAGCAAAGCAUCCUAAAAGGACUUUGAUACAAGUAUGCUAGAUUGUUAAACAUAAAAAUAUAAAAAAAUCAUUCCGGCUUAAGUUUUUGAAAAAAAUAAUUAUUUUAUAUUAUUUAACAUUAUAUUAAAUCAAAAGAUUAUGAGUUCGAGUCACACCACGCUCCUAACCUAAUUGAUUUUUCUCUCAAUUAAUUUAAGUCCGCAUCAAACUCAGACAUAAAGAAGAGUAUUCAAUAUAAAAANAAAAUUUGAAAUUUCAAAGUUAAAAAUUUUAAAUUUAAAAAUAUAUAUUUAAAAUUUUAAAAAUUUAAAUUCAAAUAUAGUAAAAGAAUAAUAUGAUUAUUUUUUAUUUAUAAAACACACUAUCUUUCUUAUUCCAUCUUACCUAACCAAACGUUAUUUUUUUUAUUCCCAGGAAUAACCCAAUUUUCAUCCAAACACAAAAUUGAUUUAAUCCCCACUUAUACCUCAAUUUAUACCUAUCCCUGGAAUAGCCACUUUUUUCUUAUCCUCGAACCAAACGAUACCUUAAAAUAUUUUGCACAUCUACUGUUAGAUGGUAAUUUAUUGCUUAAACCUAAUAUACAUGUACUACAUAUUUGUAUACUUAUUUAUUGACUCUGUACUGUCAUGUUAUUUCUACAUUGCCGCUUGUAGAUUUACAAUCGUUUUUUUUUUUUUUUUUUAGAAAUUAGAGUGUUGAAUUGAAAGUAUGAGAUGAAAGAUGGGUUGAUGAAUUUGUGGUGCACAAACAUACCUGUAACAUUUUCCAAGGUAUUGCUUUAGAAGGUAUUACUGUUCAUUAUUUUGAGGAAUAAUGUAUUUUAUUAUGAGAUAAUUUGUCUUUCCAUGAAAAAAUUGAUUUUCUAGGCUAGAAGUUUGCUNUUCGAGUCACACCACGCUCCUAACCUAAUUGAUUUUUCUCUCAAUUAAUUUAAGUCCGCAUCAAACUCAGACAUAAAGAAGAGUAUUCAAUAUAAAAACAUAAAACAUUAUUAUCUAUCAGCUUAAAUAUUUAGAGAAAACAGUUAUUUCGCGUUGUUUAAUAUAGAUUGAAGCUAAAUGCACAGCUAAACAAGUAGGGUGGGCAAGUCCAUUAAAAAUCUCUAAAUGCUGCAUGUAAGUCCUCUAAAACUUGCAAUUUACCAGUAACAAAAAGAGAUGUACCACGUGCAGGAGUAUGUAACACUAGGGCGUUUGGAUUGAUGAAUUUGUAGAUUCAACGUAAGUCAAGUGUAAUGGUGUUUGAGUUUCCCUGAAGUGUGAUUAUUUUUCUGUUGUUUGUUUUGACGUAACUCGUACCACUGAAAGUUAAAUUCAAUCACUUCUNAAGGUAUUACUGUUCAUUAUUUUGAGGAAUAAUGUAUUUUAUUAUGAGAUAAUUUGUCUUUCCAUGAAAAAAUUGAUUUUCUAGGCUAGAAGUUUGCUUAUACUCCUCACAGUACGAAAUAAUUGCACAAAGCUAGAGUUUUUAUUUUGCACAAACUUCAAUUAACCCCUCCUAUGAUUUACUAUAUUUUUUUAAUUUUGCAAUCGUGCGACUUACAAGUUUUAUUUUGCUAUCCCAUAGUUUUAUCUUUGUUCUACCAUAACAAUUUGCCAUUAAAUAGAACAGUAAUGUAAGAUUAUUGUAAAUUAUAAUAAUAAUAUGGUUUAUAAAUUAUAAUAAUUUAGUUACAUGUGGUUUAUAAGUUACACUAUUUUAGCAAUCACUUCAACAGAAGGCCCUUAUAGUGAUAAAAAAAAAUAAAAAUUUAAAAACAAGGGCAAUAUGUCAAAGACAAAGUUUUUUUAACCACAUAUUAGAAAAGUGAAAAUAUGCUAAUUUAUAGGGGGCUAAUUAGAAGUUUAUUAUAUCCUAUUUUAUAGCGCUAUUCCAUCCAAAGGCCUACAUUUUAAAUAUGUGAGUAUAAGAUUUAUACUGUACUUUUAAGUGGGCAUAAUAUAUAUAAAGAAUAAAAGCUAAAUCUCAGAAUCUAUUCGCUGACUUAUCAUUCACAAUAUCAGUCAAAAUCACUUUUCAUUUGUGUAAGGGUGAUUCUUCAAUCUCUUUUUUUAUUACAUUUGUCAUCUAAACAAUGUCAAUAGUAUUAGAAGAUACCACCUGAGUUUAGGGUUGAGGGUUUGUUCGUAAACUUCGAUUGGCUAAAGUGGUAGCAACAUGCAUAUACUAAAUUGCGUUCAAAUUUUAUCCAUAUUUACCUUGUUCGAAUCNACAACAACAACAACACGCACACAAAAUAAAAACCCAUAUUUUUAUAUAUAUUAAUUAGACUUGAAACUAAUAAACUUUAAUUAAUAGAUUAUAAAUUUUAAAAUUUAAUUAAACUGAUGGAUAAGAAAUGGCGAAAUACUAAAACAGAAUGCUUUUUAGUGACGGAUGUGUACCACGUAGGUUUGUCCACACGUGAUCCCAAAAUAAGUAGGAAUUAUAGGAAAAAGUAAAAUAAGGUAGGUAAAUUAAGCAUACAUGUUUUUGGGUCGGGCAAACUUCGGACGUCGUGGACGAAGAGUGAGAGGUUUACGCUACUUGUCGUACUAAGUAGAGUUUCAUAAGAGGAUAGGCUUCUUCGCUGAUGUUACGAGAAUAGACUUUGAGAAAACCGGAAGAAUUUACAUACUCCAGUUAAAGAGCGUCGAGUUCGUAAAGUCUAGUAAAAACGUUGAAGGUGAUUUACGUUUCACUCCUCCUAGAGUAGAACACUUAAUCUAGAUCGUAGUUCCUAACUCAAGGGCAUGAAACAGAAAGCGAGGUUUACGCGUUUAAAAAAUUACAGUUGAAAAUGACAUCAUGCUUCACAAACAAUUAAACGAUCAAUUUAUACUAAGCUUGUUCCAUUUAUACCUAUUUUAAACUUGCGUUAAAUCAUAUACGUACAACGAUGGUGAAAUCGGUUAGCUUCAAAUGCUUGUUUGGGAGUUGGGAUUUGAGUCCACCAUAGAAGAUUAUGAUAACUGUAACAAAUCUACUGUUUACAUUAUUUUUUUCUCUAACUUCUUAGUGGGAACAACAACAACAACAACAUCAUGAUCUCUGCAGAGAGGGGUCUUUCUUUCUCAUGAAGAACAGGGCAUCUUCCGCACCAAGAUCCGAAUUUGGUUGAUUAAGAGAGGAAAUUUUGGGUCUCAAUAGAUAAAACAAAAACUUACUGCAUACAAUUGUGGAGCAAAGGAUUUUUUAAAAUAAAAAAAAAGGAGACAAAGCCUUAAUUAGCAAGAGAUGUUUAUGUAUGAAUUAACGAGUGCAUUUACGUAUGGUAACUUGGUAACUGUUAUACUUUCCUACCUGUAUUGUUUGGAUUCAUUAGUGAUAUUUGCAAUUUGUUAUGGAUUGAUGCAUUUAGCAGUGCAAUGUGUAUAUAUGCUUCAAAAGCGAGGUGUUUCAUCAAAAAAUUAAUCGAAUGGUUUAAGCUAUAGGUUUUAUGCCAAAAUAUUCAAAUAAAUGGUUCAAGUUAGGGGUUUUUUAAAAAAAAACAUUUGAAGUAUUGGAUGGAUCCUUACUUCAAUCUGAGCAGUUUUGGAGUUAACAGCUUGUUUUGGAUACUCUCUAAUACUGCUUUUCGAAAUAGAGUUGUUAUAGGUGCUACUGGUGUCGACCGAUAGUAGCUAGGUUAAAAAUUGAAACUGUUUCAAUCUUAAAACUUGUAAAUAAUAGUGUUUAAGAUUGUUUUUGGUUUCAUGUCAGCAUCUAUUUUGACAAAGCUGACUCUGUUUCCGGCUGAAUUUGUUUUGAAAUUGCUUCAGUUCGCCAUUUCAAUAUAAGCAACUGCUAAACUUGCAAAGACUCGUAAAGAUGGUAACAACAGCUGAAGUUAUUCUGAAUAAUCGCAUUUUUACAGAAGCUGUAUUUAUUUCAAGCAAAACAGUUUUGACAGAGCUAAAUUGGUCUCAAGCAAUCCGUAUCUACAAAUGCGGAAUUAGAAUUGCAGCAAAACCAAAAUGAUAAAUAUUUUUGCUUUUUGACGUAGAAUCAUUGGGCAUACAUUUCACAGUUGGAGAAAAAUUGCAUAAUAGUAAAGUCGCAAAAUCGUAAUGAGAAUUGGUUCACAAAUAAAAGAUAAUUUUAAUUUCUAAAAUUUCUCCUUCAUAAAGUUUUGAGUCAUCAUCCUACUCGCUUUCUUCAUUAAUUACCAUCGCUGCCAUCAUCAACAUGCAUCUUUGAUGCAUCAGGAUUUACCUGAAGUGAGUGAGCAAAAAAAGUCCUCCUUUAAUUAAGGGACCUUGCAAAAAAAAAGAAGAAAAAAACAAGAGGUCACCCUCCUCCUCAAACACCUUCAUCUUCAUUGCGUUUUUAUUCUUUUCCUCCUUUCCAGGCACGAGAGAGGAAAAAAAAAAAAAAAAAAAAAAACAACAACAACAAAGGGAGCAUGCUUUUCUGCCUCUUCAUCUGAAAAUGGACACCGAAAUAAAAAGAUCCAAAUAUUUUUAUAAAUUGUACAAUUAGGUAAAGAUUGAUCAUUGACCCAUGGGGUGUAUUUCACUGGUUAGGUUGAUGUGAUUAGUAAAAUACACUUUAUUUUUAUAAAUUGUACAAUUAGGUAAAGAUUGAUCAUUGACCCAUGGGGUGUAUUUCACCAGUUACAUUGAUGUUAUUAGUAAAAUACACUUUAUUUUUAAAUAGAUGGGGUGUAUAUUCUAUACCCAAUGAAUGUAUAAGUAAGAGUUUUCAAAAAAGAAAAAAAAGAAAAAAAAAAGGCAUUGGCGCGUGCGUUCUCUCGAAGCUCCUCUGGAACCAUCAGCNAAUAAAAAUUAAUAUAUUUUUCACCAAUGGGAGUCUAACGUAAAAAAAAAAAAGAAAAAGAAAAAGAAAAUGAUAGUAUAAAGAGGUGUAAAUUAAGAAAAUAAUUUUUUUAUGGCUAUUAAGAAAAUCAGUGCUAAUUAAAAAAGACAAUUUCGAAUUGUGGUGCAUUGCUGAAGGGGUCUCCAUACUUUUUUUUUUCCUUUUUUUUGGGGCAAUCAAAAUUUAUACAUAUCAAUUGCUCAAAUAUAAUAGUAUCUAAGAAUAAUAUCGUGGGGUGAAAAUCGUUUUGAUAUUACUCAAUCUAAUUGGACUCUGAAGCCAAAGAUUAUCGGAUUUGGAUUGAAAUUUUACUAUCCAUUACGGACUCAAAUUUAGAUUUAGAUCCGAAAUUUGAAAUUCUUUUGGGUUCAAAUUAAGAUUCACUAUUCCUUUUCCAAUUCGGAUUCAAAAUUAUUCGAAACAAAAACUGAUUUUGACUGCUUUUUUAAUUUCUUAAGUAAUGCCAUUUAAGCAUCUUUCAGAAAUCUCAAACAUCUUCAUUGCAUUUUCUUCACUUGGAAGAGAAAAUAAUAAUAAUAAUAAUAAUAAUAAUAAUAAUAAUAGUAAUAAUAAUAAUAAGUCCCUCCUUUUCCACCUUUUCAUUUGAAAAUGGACACUGAAACAACAAGAAAAAAUUUCUUCAAUACCCUUCCAAGUAGUUCUAAUUUUAUGAAUACCCUUCAAAAUUUUAAAAUUUUCAUACUUGCCCUCCAAAAGUAUGGAAAAGUUUCAAAAAUACUCUCACUGUCACUGUCAGUAAUCUGUUAUAUUAACUUCAAAAUACCAAUUUUACCCCCUAUUUUAAUUUAAUCACCACUCUCACAAUUUUUUUUUUGAAUAUAUGGAGACCCCUCAAUUACAACCCAUUAUGAAAUACCCUCCUAAAUUUAACUUUUUAAUUAAAGUCUUCUUAAAUUUUAUUUUCUUAAAUUGAAUGAUUUUUUUAUUAUUAAAUUAGAGAUUUUAUCUAAUCUAUUAAUGAUUCAAACAAAUUUAAUAAUUUUAAUAACUUCGUAGUAUAUAAAAUUAAAUAAGUUUCUGUUCAAAAAAGAAAAUUAAUAAAAACUUCAAAGAUUUACUUAAAUGACCUAUAGUUGAUAGUUUUAGUAUAAAUAUCAAAAAAUAAGUGAAAGAAGUUUGAUUUUUAAACAAAAGGGAAAACUUCAAAAAACCCCUCUGUGGUUUCGUAGUUUCUCACUUUGCUCCCCUGUAGUUUAAAAUGUAUCAAAUUGCCCCCAUAUGAUUUCGUUUUUAUCUUUUUGGUAGCUUUUUCGUUAAUAUUUCAUUAAAUUAUAUACAAAAAAAACUUCAGAUACCCAUCUAGAUUUAUCAAAUAUUCACUUUAGUACUCUUUAAAUUAACUUUAUCACUGAUUUAAGAAAAAAUAAUAAUAAAAUUGAUAAAAAAAAGAGAAAAAAGAAAUCACGGGGGGCAAAUUGAUACAUUUUAAACCACAGGGGGGCAAAGUGAGAAACUACGUAAAUACAGGGGGGUUUUUGAAGUUUUCUCUAAACAAAAAGUGAACAAAUUAAGGGCAAAAUGGUAAUUUCAUAUUUUGAAAUAAAAUAAAAAAAUGCUAUGUUGACGGAAGUUAGCAAAAAAUAACGGUGAGGCUAUUUAUGAAAGCAAUAUUAUAUUUAGAGGGGCAUUUGUGACAUUUUAAAAAUUCAAUGGGUGUUUAUGAUAUUUCAUAACUUUGUGAGGGUACAAAUGAAAUUAACCCAAACAACAAGAUCCAAAGAGCAAAUUUGAAACUGAUAAUAUUUUUAUAAUCUGUACAAUUGGAUAAAGAUUGAUCAUUGACCCAUGGGGUGUAUUUCACUAGUUACAUUGAUGUGAUUAAUUAGUAAAAUACACUUUAUUUAUUUUUAAAUAGGUGGGGUGUGUAUUCGAUACCCAAUGAAUGUAUGAGUAAGAGUUUUCUAAAAAAAAAAAAAAGAGGAGGAACAAAAAAAGCAUUGACGCGUGCGUUCCGGCCCCCACCAUAAUGAUUGGAGACACAGCACAAUAAUUGGAGCAAACAUCUUCCACUGGCGGAGAGCAUCCCCUUAUUAUCCUCUGCUUCUCUGUAGGAGGACGUUCGUAUUGAGAAGGAUUAGGCAGCAGCACGCGCGAUGGCGGAGGGGAUCGCAUUCGACUUGGUCAAAGGAGUGCUGGGCAAGCUGGGCUCCGCUCUCUGGGACGAAAUCGGGCUGCUGCGGAGCUUCAAGGACGACGCGGACGACCUCAGAAGCAACUUCUCGGCGAUACAGGCGGUGCUUCUCGACGCCGAGGAGCGAAGCAGCGCUGGGAAGGAGACCCACGCGCUGCGCGACUGGCUGCGCAAACUGAAGGACGCCGCCUACGACCUGCUGGACGAGAUCCGGACGCAACAGCAGUAUCCCGAGGUGCAGAAUCAUCAACACCAGCCAGCUGGAAAGGUACGUGGAUUUCUGUCCCGCGCUAAUCCGAUGCAUCUGAAGUUUAAGGUCAAGAUGGCGCACAGGAUGAAAGCGCUCCGAGAAAAGAUCGGUAAGAUCGCGAAACAGAGGCAUGAUUUCGGUCUUGCCGAAGCUGGCCCUGGUCGGCAGGCUGAGUUCAAACGCCCUGACACAUAUUCAGUCGUCGACGAAAAGACAAUAGUUGGGAGAGAUGGUGAUAAAGAGGAAAUUGUGAAGCUCCUGUUAGAGACGGGCGGCGAUCACGACGUGUCGGUCAUUCCGAUAGUGGGAUUGGGAGGAUUGGGGAAGACGACGCUCGCUCAGAUGGCCUUCAACGACGGGCGGGUUACGGAUCAGCAGUGCUUUGAUCUAUGGGUGUGGGUCUGCGUGUCUACUGAUUUCGACAUGAAGACGAUUGCAAAGCCGGUGAUAUCUGCAGCCGGAGAGAAUUGUGCUCUUGAUAACUCGGAUGCCGUCGCCAGUUGUCUUGUUAGGAUCUUUAGCCAGAAGAGAUUUUUGCUGGUGCUGGACGAUGUAUGGAACGAAGAUCAGGAAAAGUGGGAGAAUUUGAAGGUCUUAUUUAAGGACAGCAAGAAGGGAAGUAAAAUUUUAGUCACCACGCGGAGCAAGAAGGUUGCCACGAUAAUGAAAACAGUCGAACCACACCAUGUGAAAGUCUUAUCAGAUGAUGAUUGUUGGACAUUGUUCAAAAGACGGGCAUUCGAGAAAGGGGAAGAGAACGACUAUCCGAGUUUGGUGGAAAUUGGAAAGCAGAUAGUAGAGAAGUGUGGUGGCUUGCCUUUAGCAGCAAAUGCCUUAGGAAGUAUGAUGCGCUUUAAGAGGACAGAGAAUGAAUGGUCCGCUACUAGAGAUAGCGAAAUAUGGAGGUUGGAAGAAGGAACUAUUUUACCAUCAUUAAAAUUGAGCUACAUUCAGAUGCCGUCGGCUUUGAAGCAGUGCUUUGCUUACUGCUCCAUUUUCCCCAAAGACUAUGAGAUUGACAAGGAUGACUUGAUCCGGCAGUGGAUUGCUUUAGGCUUCAUUUCAUCGCAUGAAACAUGGACUUCGAUGGAAGAUAUCGGGAAUGAGUACUUUAACGAUCUAUUAUGGAUGUCUUUCCUUCAGGACGUGGAGGAGAAUUAUAGAGGGGUCACCUGCUGCCGGAUGCAUGAUUUAGUGCACGACCUCGCACAAUCUGUGGCAAAAGAAGAAGUUGCUGUUAUAAGUGCAGAAGAGUCAGCAAGGAUCCCAGAAGGUUGCCGCUAUGCAUCAAUACACAGUCGUUUCACGCCACAGGUUUCAAUUACCGUAAUGCAAAGGUUGCGAGCUCUUCAAUUUAGGGAAUCUGGUUCACCUAUUAUGACUCUUUAUAGCGAGGCAAAAUGGUUACGCCUGUUGGAUUUACAUGAUUCCAAAAUUUCUAUGUUGNAAAGCAUUGGCGCGUGCGUUCCGGCCCCCACCAUAAUUAUUGGAGACACAGCACAAUAAUUGGAGCAAUCAUCUUCCACUGGUGGAGGAGCAUCCCCUUAUCAUCCUCUGCUUCUCUGUAGUAGGACGUUCGUAUUGAGAAGGAUUAGGCAGCAGCACGCGCGCGCGAUGGCGGAGGGGAUCGCAUUCGAAUUGGUGACGGGAGUGCUGGGCAAGCUGGGCUCCGCUCUCGGGGACGAAAUCGGGCUGCUGCGGAGCUUCAAGGACGACGCGGACGACCUCCGAAGCAACUUCUCUGCGAUCCAGGCGGUGCUUCUCGACGCCGAGGAGCGAAGCAGCGCUGGGAAGGAGAGCCACGCUCUGCGCGACUGGCUGCGCAAACUGAAGGACGCCGCCUACGACGCCGACGACCUGCUGGACGAGAUCCGGACGCAACAGCAGUACCCCGAGGUGCAGAAUCAUCAACACCAGCCAGCUGGAAAGGUACGUGGAUUUCUGUCCCGCGCUAAUCCGAUGCAUCUGAAGUUUAAGGUCAAGAUGGCGCACAGGAUGAAAGCGCUCAGAGAAAAGAUCGGUAAGAUCGCGAAACAGAGGCAUGAUUUCGGUCUUGCCGAAGCUGGCCCUCUUGGACAGGCUGAGUUCAAGCGCCCUGAGACAUUCUCGGUCGUCGACGAAAAGACAAUAGUGGGGAGAGAUGGUGAUAAAGAGGAAAUUGUGAACCUUCUCCUAGAGACUAACAGCGAUCACGACGUGUCGGUCAUUCCGAUCGUGGGAUUGGGGGGAUUGGGGAAGACGACGCUUGCUCAGCUGGCCUACAACGACGAGCGGGUUACGGACGAGCUGGUUACGGGCCAGAAGCGCUUUGAUCUACGGGUGUGGGUCUGCGUGUCUACCGAUUUCCACAUGAAGACGAUUGCAAAGCCGGUGAUAUCUGCAGCUGGAGAAAAUUGUGCUCUUGAUAACUCGGAUGCCGUUGCCACUUGCCUUGUCAGGAUCUUUAGCCAGAAGAGAUUUUUGCUGGUGCUGGAUGAUGUAUGGAACGAAGAUCAGAAUAAGUGGAAGGAAUUGAAUGUUGUAUUUAAGAACAGCAAGAAGGGAAGUAAAGUCUUAGUGACCACGCGGAGCGAAAAGGUUGCCGAGAUAAUGAAAACAGUCAAACCGCACCGUGUGAAAGGCUUAUCAGAUGAUGAUUGUUGGACAUUGUUCAAAAGACGGGUAUUCGAUGAUGGGGAAGAGAACUACUAUCCGAGUUUGGUCGCAAUCGGAAAGCAGAUAGUUAAGAAGUGCGGCGGUGUGCCGUUAGCAGCAAAUGCUUUAGGAAGUAUGAUGCGCUUUAAGAGCAGGACAGAGGAUGCAUGGUCCGCUAUUAGAGAUAGCGAAAUUUGGAGUCUGAAAGAAGAGAAAACUAUUUUACCAUCGUUAAAGUUGAGCUACAUUCAGAUGCCGUCGGCUUUGAAGCAGUGCUUUUGUGACGCCCCAACUUCCCAGGAGGUCACCCAUCCUAGGACUACUCCCGUCCUAGCACGCUUAACUCUCUUAACCUCUUAGGCCUUGCUACCACCCAAAAUGCUUAAGCUGGGUUAAGAGUUUAGCCCUAUUAUAUCUUGUAUAUAGGACUACCCGGGGUCUCACAGCUUUGCUUACUGCUCCAUAUUCCCCAAAGACUAUGAGAUUGACAAGGAUGACUUGAUCCGGCAAUGGAUUGCUUUAGGCUUCAUUUCAUCGCAUGAAACAUGGACUUCGACGGAAGAUAUUGGGAAUGAGUACUUUAACAAUCUAUUAUGGAUGUCUUUCCUUCAAGACGUGAAGGAAAAUUAUAGAAAGGUUACCACCUGUCGGAUGCAUGAUUUAGUGCACGACCUCGCACAAUCUGUAGCAAGAGAAGAAGUUGCUGCUAUAGUUGGAAAAGAGUCAACAGGGUUCCCGGAAGGUUGUCGCUAUGCAUCAAUACACAGUAGUUUCAUGCCACAGAUUCCAACCACAGUAGUGCGGAGGUUGCGAGCUCUUCAAUUUAGGAAAUCUGGUUCACUUAUUAUGGAUUUUUAUAGCGAUGCAAAAUGCUUAUGCCUGUUGGAUUUACAUGGUUCCAAAAUUUCUAUGCUGCCAAGCUCAAUCGGUAAGUUGAAGCUCAUANUAAGAUACCUCAACCUUUCGAAGAACAGUAUACAAGAAUUGCCUGAAUCAACUACCAGCCUCUGCAACUUGCAAACCUUGAAUCUUUCACGCUGCCGCGAGAUCCGUACAUUACCCAAAUUUCUAGGAAGGCUUACGAAUUUGCGGAUUUUAGAUUUAGGAGGUUGCCUAUCUCUGACAAUACUGGACUCCAUUAGCAACCUUCAGAAUUUGUACACACUAGAUUUGAGUUGGUGCCAAAAGGUGAUAUCACUUGAACCUAUAUGUCACCUCAAAAACCUGCAUGACUUAAACCUAUCAUGUCUAAAAUCUUUGGUGGCAUUACCUGAAUCCAUUGGGAGCCUUCAAAACUUGCGUAUUCUGAACCUUUCUUGGUGCUAUUCCCUACUAUCAUUACCCUCAUCGUUAUGUCACCUCAAAAACCUGCAUAGGUGCUCUUCUCUAGAAUCGUUACCCUCAUCGUUAUGUCACCUCAAAAACCUGCAUCACUUAAACCUAUCGUGUCUAAAUUCUUUGGUGGCAUUACCUGAAUCCAUUGGGAGCCUUCAAAACUUGCAUAUUCUGAACGUUUCUGAAUGCUCGUCUCUAGAAUCAUUACCCUCAUCGUCAAGUGAUCUUCAGCAUUUAGAGAAACUCGACAUCCGUGAUUGUGGAAAAUUAUGUGAGCUGCCUAAAAUGAUCCAAAAGCUGACCAAACUUAGAGUCUUGUUAAACAACAAUUGCUCGGAAUUGAAGGGCAUGCCCCGAGGGAUCGGCAAGUUAGUUAGCUUGCAGGAAUUGUCCGUUUUUGUCGUCGGCAAGCAAGACCGCGUCGAACAUUGUGCCAGCAUCUCUGAGCUAGAGCACUUGAAGCUUGUCGGCCAGCUGCGGAUCAAGGGUCUCGAGAAUGUGACGAGUCCGGUUGAUGCCAAGGCUGCAAAUUUGAUAGAGAAGAACCUGCGGUCUUUGAAGUUGGAAUGGAACGUUUUAAGCGCAGAAGAAGCCGUGUUAGAAAAUCUUCAACCACAUCAAAAGCUAGAGAAUUUGGAAAUAGGAGGCUAUGGAGGCGGGAAGUUUCCUAGCUGGAUGAUGAACAGGAUUGGCUCGUGCCUCCCAAAUCUCGUUAAAAUCAAACUAGCGAAUAUGCCCGGAUGCAGCUCACUUCCGCAGCUGGGGCAACUUCCUUUUCUUGAAGAACUGACUAUACGAAACAUGCCCGCGGUAACAAAUUUGGGCGUAGAUAAGUUCCCUGCGCUGACGACACUUGAGUUGUCCUCCAUGCCGGAGCUGCGAGAAUGGGUGACUGUGUUGACGGUGGAUGACGAAGAAGGCAGGCGAGAGCGAGUUCCCAUUUUUCCGCGUCUCACUCAAUUGUGGCUUAAAGGAUGUCCUCAAUUGAGGCCGGAGCCUUGCGUCCCGCCAUCGGUUAAGUAUCUGACCAUUUCUAGAGCAAGCAAGGAGAAUCUAUCGUUGAUACUCGAACGCGCGAUGCCAUUUGGAGGCGGUGAUGCCGCCGUUUCACCCCAACCGCCACCAGAUAAGGGGCUGCGGGAUCUAGUAAUAAACGAAUGUCAGCAGCUUACCUGUUUGCCCGAGAGCUUGCGGGGUCUCACGUCCCUCCAGCGGCUGAGAAUAUCUGAUUGUGAAGAUCUUGAGAGAAUUGAAGAUUGGCUCGGGGAGCUCUCCGACCUGCAGUCCUUGGAGAUCUGGGAGUGCAGCAGUCUCCGUUACUUGCCUGCGCACAAGAUGACCACACUUCAGGAGUUAGAUAUUAACAAGUGCCCCCUGUUGUUCGAUGCGGACGGACGAUUUGUCGACACCAGUGUCGAUCACAUCAAAAAUGUCGAAGUUGAUGGGAGGUAAUUAAUUUGGAACUCUGACUACUCUUUAAUUAAUGAGCUAGCACCUUAAUAUUCUAUUGUAGCUAGCAUGAACAUCUCGGUUUUUUUUUUNCUCUGCAACUUGCAAGCCUUGAAUCUUUCAGGCUGCCGUGAGAUCCGUACAUUACCCAAAUUUCUAGGAAGGCUUACGAAUUUGCGGAUUUUAGAUUUAAGGGAUUGCCCAUCUCUGACAAUACCUGACUCCAUUAGCAACCUGCAGAAUUUGUAUGCACUAAAUUUGAGUUUGUGCAAAAACGUGAUAUCACUUGAACCUAUAUGUCACCUCAAAAACCUGCAUUACCUAGACCUAUCAUAUCUAGAUUCUUUGGUGGCAUUACCUGAAUCCAUUGGAAGCCUUCAAAAUUUGCGUGGUCUCAACCUUUCUAGCUGCUCUUCUCUAGAAUGGUUACCCUCAUCAUUAUGUCACCUCAAAAACCUGCAUCUCUUAAACCUAUCAAAUCUAGAAUCUUUGGUGGCAUUACCUGAAUGCAUUGGGAGCCUUCAAAACUUGCGUAUUUUGAGCCUUUUUGGCUGCUCUUCUCUAAAAUCAUUACCCUCAUCAUUAUGUGAUCUCAAAAACCUGCAUGACUUAAACCUAUCACGUCUAAAAUCUUUGGUGGCAUUACCUGAAUCCAUUGGGAGCCUUCAAAACUUGCGUAUUCUGAAUGUUUCUAAAUGCUAUUCUCUACUAUCGUUACCCUCAUCGUCAAGUGAUCUUCAGCAUUUAGAGAAACUCGACAUCAGUGGUUGUAAAAAAUUAUGUGAGCUGCCUAAAAUGAUCCGAAAGCUGACCAAACUUAGGGUCUUGUUAAACAACAAGUGCUCAGAAUUGAAGGGCAUGCCCCGAGGGAUCAGCAAGUUAGUUAGCUUGCAGGAAUUGUCCGUUUUUGUCGUCGGCAAGCAAGACCGCGUGGAACAUUGUGCCAGCAUCUCUGAGCUCGAGCACCUUAAGCUUGUCGGCGAGCUGGAGAUCAAGGGUCUUGAAAAUGUGACGAGUCCGGUUCAUGCCAAGGCUGCAAAUUUGAUAGAGAAGAACCUGCGGAAUUUGAAGUUGGAAUGGAAAGUUUUAAGUGCGGAAGAAGGCACGGAUAGUACUGUACUACCGGUGGAAGAGAUCGAAACCGUGCUUGAAAAUCUUCAACCACAUCAAAAGCUAGAGAAUUUGAAAAUAGAAGGCUAUGGAGGCGGGAAGUUUCCUAGCUGGAUGAUGAAUAGGAUUGGCUCGUGCCUCCCUAAUCUACUUCAAAUCGAACUAGCGGAUAUGCCCGGAUGCAGCUCACUUCCGCAGCUGGGGCAACUUCCUUUUCUUAAAGAACUAACUAUACGAAAUAUGCCCGCAGUAACAAAUUUGGGGGUAGAUAAGUUCCCUGCGCUGACGAGACUUGACUUGUCCUCCAUGCCGGUGCUGCGAGAAUGGGUGACUGUGUUGACGGUGGACGACGAAGAAGGCAGGCGAGAGCGAGUUCCCAUUUUUCCGCGUCUCACUGGAUUGUGGCUUAAAGAAUGUCCUCAGUUGAGGCCGGAGCCUUGCCUGCCGCCAUCGGUUUUGAUUAUGAUCAUUUCUAGAACAAGCAGCGAGAAUCUAUCGUUAAUUCUCGAACGCGCGACGCCAUUUGGUGAUGGUAAUGCCGCCGUUUCACACCAACCGCCACCAGAUAAGGGGCUGCAGGAUCUAGUAAUAAACGAAUGUCAGCAGCUAACUUGUUUGCCCGAGAGCUUGCGGGGUCUCACGUCCCUCCAGCGCCUGGACAUAUGGGGUUGCCAUGAUCUUGGGAGAAUUGAAGAUUGGCUCGGGGAGCUCUCCGACCUGCAGUCCUUGACCAUCUCGAAGUGCCGCAGUCUCCGUUACUUGCCUGCCCGCAAGAUGGCCGCACUUCAGAUGUUAUCUAUCGGGAAUUGCCCGCUGUUGUUCGAUGCAGACGGACAAUUUGUCGACACCAGUGUCGAUCACAUCAAAGAAGUCUAUGUUAAUGGAAGGUAAUUAAUUUGGAACUCUGACUACUCUUUAAUUAAUUAGCUGGCUAGCACCUAAAUAUUAAUUCUAUCGUAGCUAGCAUAAACAUCUCUUUUUCUUUUUCUUUUUUUUUUCUAAAUAUUCGGAUGGAAAACUUUCAAUUAGCCCCACCGCACCUGAUUCAGAGCAUUUUCGUUUGCUAUGAAAUAUUUCAUUUUGCUAUUUUAUAGUUUUGUUUUUAUUUUCUUGCAAAAAUCUUCUACAAGAAAGAAAAAAGAAACAAAUUAAAGUGCUAAAAUGUAUGAAUUAUAAGGCUGUCAAUUAAUUUAUUUUACAAACCACAUAGGGACUGUGUGAAAUAUAUAUAUAUAAUCAUUUUAGUAUUUUAUGGUUUAUAAAUUUAUCACUUUAAUACUCCACUUUAAUUACUUGAGAUUGGAUAUAAUCAUAGGAUUUUCAAGUAAAACUAUUUAAAACGUAGUGUGGCAAAAAGAAAACACAUUAAACUACAUUUCAAUAUCAAAAGUGCAAUUAAGAUAUUCGAAAACAUGGUUGGUUUUCUGGAAAAAUUUUCAAGUGGUCUCUUGCAUGUGCAUAGACUAAUUAAUGAAAUUUUAAUCUUUUCUUAAUUUGUAGCGAUUUGAGAUGCCAGAAAAUUUCUACUUGAACGAUAUAUAGUAUUUACAAAGUAAUUAUUUUCAGUGAUAUUGUUGAUAUACUAUUUGAGUCCUUGGAUAUUUUUUUUUACAAAUUGAAAUUAGGUAUCUUAUAUAUCAUACAUUAUUAAAAUGUCUAAGCAAAAUGUCCAGCACAUGUUGCACGAGCGUCGGAUAAAAAAUAACCAUUUUGUGUUGUUGUGUUGUAGUUCUUACCGGUACAAGAAACAAGCGAGCAGCUCACCACAGGAGGAAGAGAGCUCAGCGAAGGAGGAGAAGAAGAUUGGUUAGCGAGNGAAAAAUUUCUACUUGAACGAUAUAUAGUAUUUACAAAGUAACUAUUUUUGGUCAUAUUGUUGAUAUAUUAUUCAAGUCCUGGAAUAUUUUUCUUUAUAAAUUGAAAUCAGGUAUGUUAUAUAUCAUACGUUAUUAGAAAGUCUAAGCAAAAUGUGCAGCACAUAUAUACUGCACGAGCGUCGAAUAAAAAAGUAACUAUUUUGUGUUGUUGUGGUGUAGAAAAUACCCGUACAAGGAACAAGCGAGCAGCUCGCCACAUGUGGAAGAGAGCUCACCGAAGGAGGAGGAGGAGAAGAAGAUUGGUUAGCGAGGAGAGCAUAAGUAUAUGUACCUAUUAUUUGGAGGUAAAAAGAUAUUAGAUAUUAUCUAAACUAUACUGCACUUUGAAAGCGGCCAAUUGGGCUUUACGAAAUUCGAUUUUAAUUCGAUUUUGACAUAAGAAAUUUUCUUUGAAAGAUUUGUUAGAUCCUUUUAGAAUUUAGUCUCUUCCGUUAAACAAAGUGCAGAAUGUUUCAUAAAAUAACAAAAUAUUUUUUUUAUCAAAUUUUAAAAUAUUUUAUCAAAAAAUGUUAAGUAACCUUUCAAAUUCUCUAUGGAACAUAAUAAACACGGCGGAAAGUUAGAGAGUAGAAUUAAAUUUUUUAAAGUUCNAUAUAUAUAUAUAUAUAUAUAUAUAUAUAUAAUUGAGCCAGAAUACUGUUAAAAGAACCAACCCCUUGGUACUUUUGAGUUUCUAGCCCUUGGAUCUACUCCUUGAUUAUUAAUAAUCUUUGAAUCAAACACUAUUCCACCUACCACCACUUACCACCAUCAUCUCAACCCUACAUCUUUCCAUUCAAUAGCUAAAAACUCAAAAGCACCAAUCCCUUGGUGCUUUUGAGAGUAUUCUAGUUCAACUCUUCCUCUCUCUCUCUCUCUCUCUCUCUCUAUAUAUAUAUAUAUAUUAGUAUUUUAUGGUUUAUAAAUUUUAGCACUUUAGUACUCUACUCUACUUUAGAUAGGUUCUUAUGAUCGUAUAUAAUUAAAAAAAAAAUCCAUAGGAUUUUCAAGUAAAACUAUUUAAAACGUAUGGCGGCAAAAUGAAAACGGGUUAAACCACAUUUCAAUAUCAAAAGUGCAGUUAAGAUAUUCGAAAACAUGGUUGGUUUUCUGGAAAAAAAUUCAAGUGGUCUCUUGCAUGUACAUAGAGUAAUUAAUGAAAUUUUAACCUUUUCUUAAUUUGUAGCGAUUUGAGAUGCUGGAAAAUUUCUACUUGAACGAUAUAUAGUAUUUACAAAGUAAUUAUUUUCGGUCAUAUUGUUAAUACACUAUUCAAGUUCUGGGAUAUUUUUCUUUACAAAUUGAAAUCAGCUAUGUUAUAUAUCAUACGUUAUUAGAAAGUCUAACCAAAAUGUACAAUACAUAUAUGCUGCACGAGCGUCGGAUAAAAAAGUAAUCAUUUUGUGUUGUUGUGCUGUAGAAAAUACCCGUACAAGGAACAAGCGAGCAGCUCACCACAUGUGGAAAAGAGCUCACCGAAGGAGGAGAAGGAGAAGAAGAUUGGUUAGCGAGGAGAGCAUAAGUAUAUAUACCUAUUAUUUGGAGGUAAAAGGAUAUUAGAUAUUAUAUCUAUACUAUACUGCACUUUGAAAGUGGCCAAUUGGGCUUUAUGAAUUUUGAUAUUAAUUCGAUUUUAAUUCAAUUUUGAUAUAAGAAAUUUUCUUUGAAAGAUUUGUUAGAUCUUUUUAGAAUUUAGUCUCUUCCGUUAAACAAAGUGCAGAAUGUUUCAUAAAAUAAAAAAUAAUUUUUUAAUCAAAUUUUAAAAUAUUUUAUCAAAAAAUGUUAAGUAUCUCAAAGGACCAUAAUAAGCACUGCGGAAAGUUAGAGAGUAGAAUUAAAUUUUUUAAAGUUCAGUUAUUUAUCUCAAAGCGUAGUAUAGCUCACGUAAGAAUCAUUCUCUUUUAGCUUAUUUGGUGAUCACUAUUCCCCUUUGAGAAGAGUUUUCUUUUUCCCUUUGUUUUGCCAAAAAUAAACAAAUUUUAUAUAUCUACAUGCAAUGGUGACAGUUUUUAUUCAUAAACUUGUGGCCUUCUCUUUCAAGUUGGUGCUAUUUAGCUUUCCGGACAAGAAUUGUAGUGUGCUGUUGUCGGGUUAAUAUAUAUUUGUGUUUUCGUGAUAUAAAUUUAGUUUCGGAAUGUACUAUUUUAUAAUUUGGUUUGAUUGUUGGUAAUUUUAUGGUGUUCUCUAUAUAUGUUAUGGGCUUGAAAAAGAUUGUUUGGUUUGAAUAAACAAAAUGUUGCUACUUUUUUAAUACGGAUAUUAGAGGGUACAUUAAUUUUUAAGUAAAUCUCACGUAGAGUUUAUUACUAGCUAGUAUAUAUGCAUUGUGUUACGAACUUGUUUAAAAUCAGAUGCUGUUUUUGGCAUGCAAGUUGAAGCUAGUAUAUAUGUAUGUACCGCAGUUGAGAGGGUUAAUUUCCAUCUAUGUUUACUUUAAUUUAUCUUUUCUUUUAUUUGAUUAGAUCCGAAUUAAGCCGAUAAAUUUUAAAGUAUUAAAAGUUUUAUUAUUUUGCUUUCUGCAAGAUUUUUAGUUUUUAAAUUCNUGAAGUACUAAAAUUUUAUUAAUUUUCUUUUCGCAAGAUUUUUAGUUUUUAAUUCCCCAAAUUCGAAAUCAAUUUAUUACUAAAAUCAAACUUGAGGUGCUUUUCCCAUUUGGUUUUCACGAAACGUGUGGUUUAAAUGGGAAUAUAGAUUUAUGUUGCCGCACAAUUUAAUUUAUUUGAUUUAAGCGAUUUGAUUACUUUUUUAAUAUAAAAUUUAGAAUAAUUAUUUAUUUCAAUAAAUUUAUAUUUGCAUAAUUAAAAAUAUAUUUAAAAUUUUAAAGUCAAAGAGUCAUUAGUUGAUUUAAAUCAAAUAAAUUAAAAGAUUAUAUAGCAAAAUUAAAAUUUUUAAAGAUUAGAUAAUCAGAUUAAAAGAACUGACAGUCGGGGCGAGUUAUAUAAAUUUUUGACUUUUUUAUCCAAGAAAUCUGGAAAAUUAAAAGAGGUAUUUACUUCAAAAUAUGUUAAACUAUUAUUAUUAUUAUUAUUAUUAUUAUUUUACCAUAAAGCAUUUUCGAGAACCUAACAUUUGGGACCAACCGUAAAAAUAAUAAGAAAAAUUGUGCGAAAUUAACUGAAAAUUUAUUUUAUUGAAAAUCUCACCGUGAAUUUUUUUUUUUAUUGUCUAUUCUUUCUGAUUUGAGUUUGCUUUUCUUCUUCUUUUUUUUUGGGAAAAUGCAGUAUGCAUAAUUGAUCCUUGAUUUAUACUAUAGUUUCAGCUUAACAACUGGAAAAAAAAAUGCUAUAAAAAUUAAAUAUGUGGAUAAAAUAUUAAGGUAUCGCAUAAAUAUAACCGCAUAGUUCUUCAAUAACAAUUAAGCACAAUUUUAUAGCUUCGGACGAGAAAAGAUUAGAAGCAGUUUUAAAAUUUUUGGACCUUUCAAAAUAUGAAAAUGUUGCUUCUUACCACUACGUUCCUAAAGAAAGUUGGGUUAGUUGCAAUUUUUUAUACUUACGAAUUAAAUGAAUGAAAUACAAUAAAAAGAAAAUAUUAAGGAUGAAUAAAACCUUGGUGCAUCACCUGUUUGGAUGCACCAGGUGUAGGCAGUGAUUUUUCAUAAAACGAAAUCGUAAAGCGUUAAAGAAUAGGUAGUCAAAUUAAUUUAAAUUUUUAAAUAUUAGAUAAUUAAUUUCAAAUUAUAAAAGUUCAGAUUAAUUAAGUACAUUUUUAUACCCAAAAAUUAAACACAGCAACAACAACAACAACAUGACCACUGCAAAGAGGGGUCUUUCUUUCUCAUAAAGAACAGGGCAUCCCGUGCACCAAGAUACGAAUUUGGUUGAUCAAGAGAGAAAAUUUUGGCUCUCCAAUAGAUAGAACAAAAACUUGCUGCAUACAAUUGUGGAGCAAAGCCUUUUUUAAAAUAAAAAAGGUGAUAAAACCUUAAUUAGCAAGAGAUGUUUUAUGUACGAAAUUAUUUUUAUUUUUAUUUUUUAAGAGAUAGGUAGCACGCCACCUACUUCGUUUAUUUCAUUUAGAAAUAAACUUAGCUGAAAAUAUGAAUCAACUAGGAUUCGAACUUGGGUCUCGGGUACUAACCACUAAGCCCUUUGCCACUUGCUUUAGGAACGGUCGGUUAUGUACGAUAAAUUAACAAGUGCAUUUAUGUAUGGUAACUUGGUAACGGUUAUACCUUCCUACUUGUACUGUUUGGAUUCAUUAGUGAUAUUUGCAGUUUGUUAUGAAUGCAUUAAGCAGUGCAAUGUGUACGUAUGCUUCAAAAGCUAGGUGUUUCGCCAAAUAAUUAAUCGAAUGGUUUAAGCUAGGUGUGUUGCCCAAAGAUUCAAAUAAAUGGUUCAAGUUAGGGGUUUUUUAAAAAAAUUCUUGUUAAGUAUUGGAUGGAUCUUUGCUUCAAUCUGAGCAGUUUUGGAGUUAACAGCUUGUUUUGGAUACUCUCUAAUACUAUUUUUUGAAAUAGAGUUGUUACUGUUAAGUGUUAAAUAUAAAAAUGUUUAAAUACCGUUUUCUAACAAUUUAAGCUUUUAGAGUACAACGGUUAUUUCACAUGGUAUCAGAGCAGGAGGUUCUAAGUUCGAGUCACGCUAGGCUCCUAGCAUAUUAAUUUUCUUCCAUUUAAUUCAAGCCCACGUCAUGGGCCGAUUAAAAAGUUUUGAGCCCAGACGUGAGGGGGAGUGUUAAGUGUUAAAUAUAAAAAUGUUUAAACACCGUUCUCUAAGUACAACGGUUGUUUCACAGUUACUACAGUUACUCCUCUUGUUGAUGUACUGCAGUACUGGGUGAUGCUACUGGUGUCUUUGAAUGAUGAGUUUAGACCAAUAGCAGCUAAGUUAAAAAUUGAAACAGUUUCAAUCUUAAAACUUCUAAAUAAUAAUAGUAUUUAAGAUUGCUUUUAGUUUUAGCUCAGCAUCUAAAUUGUUCUCCAGCAAUCCAUACAUAUUUGCCUUUUGAUGUAGAAUCAUUGGGCAUACACUUCACAGUUUAAGAAAAGCUGCAUAAUAGAAAAGCUGCAAAAUCAUAAAUAGAAUGAGUGCAUAAAUAGAAGAGAAUUAAUUAAUAACAUUGAUGUCUAAAACAAAUUUCUCCUUCAUGAAGUUUUGAGUCAUCAUCCUACUUGCUUCAUUUCUCUCGCUGCCAUCAACAUGCAUCUUGGAUGCAUUAGGAUUUACUUAAAGUGACAACAAAAGUGAACAAAAACCAAAGCAAAAUAAAAAAGCAAAAUAAAGGAGUAGCAACAAAUAAAAACAAUAAACUCUGAAAGGCAUUAACAUAGAUUGAAGCCAAAUGCACAGCUAAACAAGUAGCGUGGGUCAGUCCAUAAAAAUCUCUAGAUGCUGCAUGUAGUCCUCUAAAUCUUGCAAUUUAUCUGAAAUAAAAAGAGAUGCAUCAUGUGCAGAAGUAUGUAACACUAAGGAUUGCAGAUGUAGGCGAUCUGAUCAUGAGCAACUACAAACUAUGGCUGGCACACAUUUAUUUAAUUAUAUUUUACUUGUUCACUAAGCGGAGAGCCAGCUCAGCCACCAUGAUCAUUGCUCUCUUUUACGAAGUGGGGCGUGUGAAAUUGCCCCACUCUACUUUUAUUUUUUUCACUUAUAUUUAUUUGUCUCAAUUAGAUCUCUAUAUUAAUAACAAUGUUAUUUUCUUUUUUGUUUUAAACCUAUGUUAAGACCAUCAAGAGUUGAGUAGCAGUUGAGAUCUAUGGCAAUGGUGACAACAAUGAAAAACAAAUGAGCUGUUGUCUCUAAUAAUAUAAUGAGAAUGCCAAUUUAAUUUUAAUUUGAAUCCGUAAAUUUAAAUUUUAAUUUGAAUCCAUAAAUUUAAUUUAAGUUUGAAAUAAAAUUUCAAUAAAAUNCAGUAAGUCUAUUGAUCUGUCGUAGAGAAAGAGUUGUUAUUUAAUUUAUGAAGAAAUAUAACUUCAAAAUAAGAAAUACGACUGGUGCAUUCAAAAGUAGAGUGUAAAUCUAAGAUUUAUCCUCAAUAUGAAAUUUGUUUAAAAUCUCAUCUUAGCAUCCUUUCAGUGUAAGGACUAGUUUACUGGAAUAGGCUUUGGCAUCCUACCUAAUUCCAUAUAACGUUUUGAUUCUGGUGGUCGCAGUAGGGUAAAUUUGAAUUUAUCAAAUCAACUUAUCAUGACACAUAACUUCUCUUUGCUUUUCCUUUUUUGUUUUUCCUUUUCUUUUUGGAUAAAAGCCUUCCCAUGCUUGUAUGCAAGAGAUUAUAACGGGAUUGCUUAUGAAUAUAAGAGAAGAUUGAUGUUUAUUUUUUGAAAUUUGUUGUUUGUCUGACGAUCCUGAUUAAAUAAUAUGAAGUACAUAUCUCUGUUUCUUACAUUUAUUUGAUCUUUAUAUACGUUUCAUUUUGGUCCUCAAACUUUCAAGUUCCGAGACUAUGAACUCUUAAAAUAUUUUGCACAUCUACCGUUAGAUGGUAAUUUAUUGCCUAAACCUAAUAUACGUGUACUACAUAUUUGUAUACUUAUUUAUCGACUCUGUACUGUUAUGUUAUUUCUACAUUGCCGCUUGUAGAUUUACAAUUUUUUUUUUUUAAUUUAGAAAUUAGAGUAUUGAAUUGAAAGUAUGAGAUGAGAGAUGGGUUGAUGAAUUUGUGGUGCACAAACAUGCCGGUAACAUUUUCCAAGGUAUCGCUGUUCAUUAUUUUGAGGAAUAAUAUAUUUUAUUAUGAGAUAAUUUAUCUUUCCGUGAAAAAAUUGAAUUUUAGGCUAAAUAUUUUAUCCAUUCUAGGAGUUUUCUUAUACUCCUCACAGUAUGAAAUAAUUGCACAAAGCUAGAGUUUCUAUUUUGCACAAACUUAAAUUAACCCCUCCUAUGAUUUACUGUAUUUUUUUAAUUCUGCAAUCGUGCGACUUAGAAGUUUUAUUUUGCUAUCCCAUAGUUUUGUCUUUGUUCUACCGUAACAAUUUGUCAUUAAAUAGAAUAGUAAUGUAAGAUUAUUGUAAAUUAUAAUAAUAAUAUGGUUUGUAAAUUAUAAUAAUUUAGUUACAUGUGGUUUAUAAGUUACACUAUUUUCGCAACUAAUUCAACUGAAGGGCCUUAUAGUGAUAAAAAAAAAAUUAAAAAUUUAAAAACAAGGGCAAUAUGUCAAAGCCAAAGUUUUUUUAACCACAUAUUGAAAAAGUGAAAAUAUGCUAAUUUAUAGGGGGCUAAUUAGAAGUUUAUUACAUCCUCUUUUAUAGCGCUAUUCCAUCCAAAGGCCUACAUUUUCACACUAAUUUUAUCAAUUUUUUCUUUGUUCAUAUUAAAAACUUAAAAGUAUUGUGUAAUUUUUUAAAUAUGUGAGUAUAAGAUUUACACUGCACUUUUGAGUGGGUAUAAUAUAUAAAAAGAAUAAAAGCUAAAUCUUAAAAUUCAUCCGUUGACUUAUCAUCCACAUUAUCAGUCAAAAUUUUUAUUUGGACAAGAGUGAUUUUUCAAUCUCUUUUUUUAUUACAUUUGUCACCUAAACAAUUUCAAUAGCAUUUGGAGGUACCAUCUGGAUUUAGGGUUGAGGGUUUGUUCGUAAACUUCGAUUGGCGAAAGUGGUAGCAACGUGCAUGUACUAAAUUGCAUAAGAGUAAAGUCGCAAAAACGUAAAGAGAAUCGGUUCACAAAUAGAAGACGAUUUUAAUUAAUAGCAUUGAUGUCUAAAAAAAAAUUUCUCCUUCAUAAAGUUUUGAGUCAUCAUCCUACUCGCUUUCUUCAUUAAUUACCAUCGCCGCCAUCAACAUGCAUCUUUGAUGCAUCAGGAUUUACCUGAAGUGAAAAGUCCUCCUUUAAGGGACCUUGCAAAAAAAAAAAAAAAAAAAAAAGAAGGUCCCCCUCCUCCUUAAACAUCUUCGUUGCGGUUUUAUUCGUUUCCUCCUUUCCAAGCACGAGAGAGGGGGAAAAAAAAAACCAACAAAGGGAGCUUGCUUCUCUGCCUCUUUAUCCGAAAAUAUUUUUAUAAAUUGUACAAUUGGGUAAAGAUUGAUCAUUGACCCAUGGGGUGUAUUUCACUAGUUACAUUGAUGUUAUUAGUAAAAUACACUUUAUUUUUAAAUAGAUGGGGUGUAUAUUCUAUACCCAAUGAAUGUAUAAGUAAGAGUUUUAAAAAAAAAACAAAAAAAAAGAGUAAAAAAAAAAAAGCAUUGGCGCGUGCGUUCCGGCCCCCACCAUAAUUAUUGGAGACACAGCACAAUAAUUGGAGCAAUCAUCUUCCACUGGUGGAGGAGCAUCCCCUUAUCAUCCUCUGCUUCUCUGUAGUAGGACGUUCGUAUUGAGAAGGAUUAGGCAGCAGCACGCGCGCGCGAUGGNAAAGCAUUGGCGCGUGCGUUCCGGCCCCCACCAUAAUUAUUGGAGACACAGCACAAUAAUUGGAGCAAUCAUCUUCCACUGGUGGAGGAGCAUCCCCUUAUCAUCCUCUGCUUCUCUGUAGUAGGACGUUCGUAUUGAGAAGGAUUAGGCAGCAGCACGCGCGAGCGAUGGCGGAGGGGAUCGCAUUCGACUUGGUCGAAGGAGUGCUGGGCAAGCUGGGCUCCGCUCUCUGGGACGAAAUCGGGCUGCUGCGGAGCUUCAAGGACGACGCGGACGACCUCAGAAGCAACUUCUCGGCGAUCCAGGCGGUGCUUCUCGACGCCGAGGAGCGAAGCAGCCCUGGGAAGGAGACCCACGCUCUGCGCGACUGGCUGCGCAAACUGAAGGACGCCGCCUACGACGCCGACGGCCUGCUGGACGAGAUCCGGACGCAAGCGGCCCUCCGGCAACAACAGCAUCCGGAGGUGCAGAAUCAAAACCAGCCAGCUGAAAAGGUACGUGAAUUCCUGUCCCACGCUAAUCCGAUGCGUCUGAAGUUUAAGGUCAAGAUGGCACACAGGAUGAAAGAGCUCAGAGAGAAGAUCGGUAAGAUCGCGAAACAGAGGCAUGAUUUCGGUCUUGCCGAAGCUGACCCUCUUCGACAGGCUGAGUUCAAGCGCCCUGAGACAUUCUCGGUUGUCGACGAAAAGACAAUAGUCGGGAGAGAUGGUGAUAAAGAGGAAAUUGUGAAGCUUCUCCUAGAGACUAACAGCGAUCACGACGUGUCGGUCAUUCCGAUCGUGGGAUUGGGGGGUUUGGGGAAGACGACGCUUGCUCAGCUGGCCUACAACGACGAGCGGGUUACGGACGAGUUGGUUAUGGGCCAGCAGCGAUUUGAUCUACGGGUGUGGGUCUGCGUGUCUACCGAUUUCCACAUGAAGAAGAUUGCAAAGCCGGUGAUAUCUGCAGCUGGAGAAAAUUGUGCUCUUGAUAACUCGGAUGCCGUCGCCAGUUGCCUUGUCAGGAUCUUUAGCCAGAAGAGAUUCUUGCUGGUGUUGGAUGAUGUGUGGAACGAAGAUAAAGGGAAGUGGAAGGAAUUGAAGGUUGUAUUUAAGGACGGCAGGCAGGGAAGUAAAAUCUUAGUAACCACACGAAGCGAAAAGGUCGCCGCGAUAAUGAAAACAGUCGAACCACACCGUGUGAAAGGCUUAUCAGAUGAUGAUUGUUGGACAUUGUUCAAAAGGCUGGCAUUCGAUGAGGGGGAAGAGAACGACUAUCCGAGUUUGGUCGCAAUCGGAAAGCAGAUAGUAAAGAAGUGCGGCGGCGUGCCUUUAGCAGCGAAUGCUUUAGGAAGUAUGAUGUAUUCAAAGAACAGGACAGAGGAUGCAUGGUCCGCUACUAGGGAUAACGAAAUUUGGAGUCUGCAAGAAGAGAAAACUAUUUUACCAUCAUUAAAGUUGAGCUACAUUCAGAUGCCGUCGGCUUUGAAGCAGUGCUUUGCUUACUGCUCCAUAUUCCCAAAAGACUACGAGAUUGACAAGGAUGACUUGAUCCGGCAAUGGAUUGCUUUAGGCUUCAUUUCAUCGCAUGAAACAUGGACUUCGAUGGAAGAUAUUGGGAAUGAGUACUUUAACAAUCUAUUAUGGAUGUCUUUCCUUCAGGACAAAGAAUAUAGAAAGGUUACCACCUGCCGGAUGCAUGAUUUAGUGCACGACCUCGCACAAUCUGUAGCAAGAGAAGAAGUUGCUGUUAUAGUUGGAGAAGAGUCAACAAGGAUCCCGGAAAGUUGCCGCUAUGUCUUGAUAUACAGUCGUUUCACGCCACAGGUUUCAAUUACCAUAAUGCGGAGGUUGCGAGCUCUUCAAUUUAGGGAAUCUGGCUCACUUAUUAUGGCUUUUUAUAGCGAGGCAAAAUGCUUACGCCUGUUGGAUUUACAUGGUUCCGAAAUUUCUAUGCUGCCAAGCUCAAUCGGUAAGUUGAAGCUCUUAAGAUACCUCAACCUUUCGUCAACCAAUGUACAAGAACUGCCUGAAUCAAUUACCAGCCUCUGCAACUUGCAAUCCUUGAAUCUUUCAGGCUGCCGUNAUUUACAUGGUUCCGAAAUUUCUAUGCUGCCAAGCUCAAUCGGUAAGUUGAAGCUCUUAAGAUACCUCAACCUUUCGUCAACCAAUGUACAAGAACUGCCUGAAUCAAUUACCAGCCUCUGCAACUUGCAAUCCUUGAAUCUUUCAGGCUGCCGUGAGAUCCGUACAUUACCCAAAUUUCUAGGAAGGCUUACGAAUUUGCGGAUUUUAGAUUUAAGCGAGUGCAGUUCUCUGACAAUACUUGACUCCAUUAGCAACCUUCAGAAUUUGUACACACUAGAUUUGAGUUGGUGCCAAAAGGUGAUAUCACUUGAACCUAUAUGUCACCUCAAAAACCUGCAUUACCUAGACCUAUCAAAUCUAGAAUCUUUGGUGGCAUUACCUGAAUCCAUUGGGAGCCUUCAAAAUUUGCGUAGUCUCAACCUUUCUAGCUGCUCUUCUCUAGAAUGGUUACCCUCAUCGUCAAGUGAUCUUCAGCAUUUAGAGAAACUCGACAUUAGUGGUUGUGGAAAAUUAUGUGAGCUGCCUAAAAUGAUCCAAAAGCUGACCAAACUUAGAGUCUUGUUAAACAACAAUUGCUCGGAAUUGAAGGGCAUGCCCCGAGGGAUCGGCAAGUUAGUUAGCUUGCAGGAAUUGUCCGUUUUUGUCGUCGGCAAGCAAGACCGCGUCGAACAUUGUGCCAGUAUCUGUGAGCUCGAGCACCUUAAGCUUGUUGGCGAGCUGGAGAUCAAGGGUCUUGAAAAUGUGACGAGUCCGGUUGAUGCCAAGGCUGCAAAUUUGAUAGAGAAGAAGCUGCGGUCUUUGAAGUUGGAAUGGAACGUUUUAAGUGCGGAAGAAGGCAUUGAUAGUACUGUACUACCGGCGGAAGAGAUCGAAACCGUGCUAGAAAAUCUUCAACCACAUCAAAAGCUAGAGAAUUUGGAAAUAGGAGGCUAUGGAGGCGGGAAGUUUUCUAGCUGGAUGAUGAACAGGAUUGGCUCGUGCCUGCCAAAUCUCGUUGGAAUCGAACUAGCGGAUAUGCCCGGAUGCAGCUCACUCCCGCAGCUGGGGCAACUUCCUUUUCUUGAACAACUGACUAUACAAAACAUGCCCGCGGUAACAAAUUUCAGCGUACAUAAGUUCCCUGCGCUGAAGACACUUGAGUUGUCCUCCAUGCCGGUGCUGCGAGAAUGGGUGACUGUGUUGACGAUGGAUGAUGAAGAAGGCAGGCGAGAGCGAGUUCCCAUUUUUCCGUGUCUCACUUAUUUGGGUCUAUAUGAAUGUCCUCAGUUGAGGCCGGAGCCUUGCCUCCCGCCAUCGGUUGAGCAUAUGGGCAUCUACAGAACAAGCAAGGAGAAUCUAUCGUUGAUACUCGAACGCGCGAUGCCAUUUGGAGGUGGUGAUGCCGCCGUUUCACCCCAACCGCCACCAGAUAAGGGGCUGCCGGGUCUAGGAAUAGUAGGAUGUCGGCAGCUAACUUGUUUGCCCGAGAGCUUGCGAAGUCUCACGUCUCUCCAGUCGCUGGGAAUAUAUGAUUGUGAAGAUCUCGAGAGAAUUGAAGAUUGGCUCGGGGAGCUCACCGAGCUGCGGUCCUUGUACAUCGAUGGGUGCAGCAGUCUCCAUUACUUGCCUGCGCACAAGAUGACCGCACUUCAGGAGUUAUGUAUUGGGAUUUGCCCGCUGUUGUUCGAUGCGGACGGACGAUUUGUCGACACUAGUGUCGAUCACAUAAAAAAUGUCGAAGUUGAUGGGAGGUAAUUACUUUGGAACUCUAACUACUCUUUAAUUAAUGAGCUAGCACCUUAAUAUUCUAUUGUAGCUAGCAUAAACAUCUGUUUUUUUUUUUUUUNAGCAGUUGAGAUCUAUGGCAAUGGUGACAACAAUGAAAAACAAAUGAGCUGUUGUCUCUAAUAAUAUAAUGAGAAUGCCAAUUUAAUUUUAAUUUAAAAUUAUAUAUUUAAUUUUUAAAUUUUAACUUAUAUUUUAAUUAAAAAAAGUUGAAAAAAUAAAUUUAAUCCGAAUAAAUAUAAUUCCGUACGGAUUCAACUUUUAAUCCGGCCUACUAGGCCGGAUUGAAAAAAGAGGUGAUUGGAGGAUUCUCAUUCCACUCGGGAAUCGGAAUCGGAAUGGGACUCCCACGUACCAAACACUCACAAACGGAUUUACUUAUUCCGAUUCCGAUUUCAAGGUAAAAAAGAAGCAAACCAAACACGCCCAAUAUAUUUAUCUUAUAUCAGCACAAACUUUUUACAAAAAAAUUUCAUUUGGUCGCUAAAAUUUAUAAUAUUUUAAUUUUUACUGUGUCAUAGUUAGAAACUUUUGUGUAAUUUUCAAAAAGUUGAGAGGGUCCAUGACCAUUGUCGGCCUCUCAAUAGCUCUUCCCCUGUUCUGGAUUCAGCAAAGCAUCCUGAGAGGGGAUUGAUACGAGUUUGCUAGAUUGUUAAAUAUAAAUAUAUAAAAAUAUCAUUCUUUACGAGAUUAAUUACUUUUUGAAAAAAAAAAUGAUUAUUUCGUAUUAUUUAACAUCGUAUCAAAGUAGAAAAUUCUGAGUUCGAGUCACGUCAGACUUCUAGCCUAAUUGAUUUUUUCUCUCAGUUAAUUUAAGUCCACAUCGAGCUCAAACGUGAGAAAAAAUAUUAAAUAUAAAAAUAUUAUUAUCUAUCACUUUAAAUUUUUUGAGAAAACGAUUGUUUCGUAUUGUUUAACAUAGAUUGGAGCCAAAUAUAUAGCUAAACAAGUGGCGUGGGUCAAUCCAUAAAAAUCUCUAUAGAUGAUGCUGUAGGUAAGUUCUCUAAAACUUGCAAUUUAUCUGAAACAAAAAGAGAUGAUGUAUCACGUUCAGAAGUAUGUAACAGUGAGGAUUGCAGCAGGCUGUAGGCGAUUUGGUUAUGAGCAACUACAAUUAAACUAUGGCUGGCAUACAUUUAUUUAAUUACAUUUUACAUGUGCACUUAUAGAUAGCAUGCUGUUGUAACUUCCACAUAUUUAUCUUUUUCCUGGAGUGUAGAAUUAUGCUGAGACUUGUGAUCUUUGCACUAUUUUAUAAAGUGCAGGUUUACGUCUGUUUCCAUUUCAAAAAAAUUAUAUAUUUCUUUUUGGUUAAAUUACAUAAAGUGACCUGCACUAUACUGGCGUAUGAAAUUACCCCCCUCCACCCAUCCCUCUGUCAACUUUUAUUUUCUCAUUUAUAUUUAUUUGUCUUAUUUAGACGGUAGACCCCUGUAUAUGUUAAUAACAAGGUUAUUUUACUGAUCGUUUCUAACGCAAGUAGCAAAAAAUUUAGUGGUUGAUAAUCAAGAUUCUAAAUUUGAAUCCUAGUUGAUUCAUAUCUCUAGCUAAGUUUAUUUCUAAAUGAAAUAAACGAAACAGUAGAAUAGCAGUUGAGAUCUAUGGCAAUGGUGACAGCGACGAAAAACAAAUAAGCUCUUGUCUCUAAUAAUAUAAUGAGAAUGUCAACAGAUACAAAAGAAAUCUAAGUUUUUUUAUUCUAGUUUAUGACCGAUUUUGAAAAAAGAUUCCAAUGGCAUCUCUAGUUUAUAAUUUUAUAUACAUUUGAGGUAAUUAGGUGUACUAAAAAUUUCUAUAUUUUUGGCUGACGGGAUCUAAUUUUUUUUAAAAAAUGAUAGUAUAAAGAGGUGUAAAUUAACUAAGAAAAUAAUUUUUUAUGGCAAUUAAGAAAAUCAAUGCUAAUUAGAAAAAGGCGGUUUUGAACUGUGGUGCAGUGCUGCAUAGAGAUGUCAACGGGUCGGAUUCGAGGCGGAUUUUUAAAAACCCGAACCUGAACCCGACUCCAAAUCCGAGACCCGAAUCCGAACCCGAAUCCAACGGAUUUUAAAAAUUCAUAUCCAAACCUGAACCCGACCAAAAAUCCGAAACCCGAACCCGAAUCCGAACCCGAACCCGAAAAUUUGAACCCAAAAUAAUAAAUUUUUUUUUCAAUAUUUCAAAAUAUAUUAUAUUAAAUCUAAAUUUUUAAAAUACAAAUUCAAAUAUAACAUCAAAUUUAUAUAUAUAUAUUAUAUAUAAUACAAAAUAAAUUCGGGUUCGGGUCGGAUUUGGGUUCGGAUUCGGGUUAGGUACAAUCAAAAUCCAUAUCCGAAUCCAUAUCCGUCGGAUUUCUAUUUUUUAUAUCCAUAUCCAUCGGAUAUAUCCGUUUCAUUCGGAUUCGGAUUCGGAUAAAAUUUCGGAUAUUCAUACCCAUUGACAUCCCUAGUGCUGCAGUGGUCCAACUCUCCAUACUUUUUUUUUUCUCUUUUUUGGGCAAUCAAAAUUUAUACAUAUCAAUUCUUCACAUAUAAUAGUAUCUUAGAAUAUUAUCGUGGGGUGAAAAUCAUUUUACUCAAUCUGAUCCCACUCUGAAGCCGAAGAUUGUCGGAUUUGGAGUGAAAUUUUACUAUCCAUUACGGAUUCAGAUUCAAAUCUGAAAUUUGAAUUUUUUUUUUGAGUUCAAAUUAAAGAUUCACUAUUUCUUUUUAAAUUCGAAUUCUAAAUUAUUGGAAACCAAAACUGAUUUUGACCGCUUUUUUAAUUUCUGAAGUAAUACCAUUUAAGCAUCUUUCAGAAAUCUCAAGCAUUCAUUGCGUUUUCUUCAGUUGGAUGAGAAAAUAAUAAUAAUAAUAAUAAUAAUAAUAAUAAGGGCGGCUCUCCUUUUCUGCCGCUUCAUUUUUUAAAAAUGGACACAGAAACGACAAGAUCCAAAGAGCAAAUUUGAAACUGAUAAUAUUUUUUAUAUUCUGCACAAUAGGAUAAGGACGAUUGAGGGACUAGCAUAUGCAAAAGAUCAAAGAUUCCCGGCGUAAUUAUCGAAGCAACAGCACAAUAAUUAAUUGGAGCGAUCACCUACUACCACUGCAGAGCAUCCCCCCUUAUUCUCUGCCUCCCUGCAGUAGGACGGUUGUAUUGAGAAGAAGCACAUAGCUGCUGUCGUAGGUAGCAGCACGCGCGAUGGCGGAGGGGAUUGCAUUCGAUCUGGUCAAAGGAGUGCUCGGCAAACUGGGCUCAACUCUCUGGGACGAAAUCGGACUGCUGCGGAGCUUCAAGAACGACGCGGACGAUCUCAGAAGCAACUUCUCGGCGAUCCAGGCGGUGCUUCUCGACGCCGAGGAGCGGAGCAGCGCUGGGAAGGAGAGCCACGCUCUGCGCGACUGGCUGCGCAAACUGAAGGACGCCGCCUACGACGCCGACGACCUGCUGGACGAGAUCCGGACGCAAGCGGCCCUCCGGCAACAGCAGUAUCCCGAGGUGCUGAAUCAACACCAGCCAGCUGGAAAGGUACGUGAAUUUCUGUCCCGGGCUAAUCCGAUGCAUCUGAAGUUUAAGCGCAAGAUGGCACACAGGAUGAAAGAGCUCAGAGAAAAGAUCGGUAAGAUCGCGAAACAGAGGCAUGAUUUUGGUCUUGCCGAAGCUGGCCCUCUUCGACAGGCUGAAUUCAAGCGCCCUGAGACAUUCUCGAUCGUCGACGAAAAGACAAUAGUCGGGAGAGAUGAUGAUAAAGAGAAAAUUGUGAAGCUUCUCCUUGAGACCAGCAGCGAUCACGACGUGUCGAUCAUUCCGAUCGUGGGAUUGGGGGGUUUGGGGAAGACGACACUCGCUCAGCUGGCCUUCAACGACGGGCAGGUUACAGGCCAGCAGCGCUUCGAUUUACGGGCGUGGGUCUGCGUGUCUACCGAUUUCGACAUGAAGAUGAUUGCAAAGCCGGUGAUAUCUGCAGCUGGAGAGAAUUGUGCUCUUGAUAACUCGGAUGCCGUCGCCAGUUGCCUUGUCAGUAUCUUCAGCCAGAAGAGAUUUUUGCUGGUGCUGGAUGAUGUAUGGAAUGAAGAUCAGGAAAGGUGGGAGAAAUUGAAGGUUUUAUUUAAGGACGGUAAGCAAGGAAGUAAAAUCUUAGUGACCACACGGAGCGAAAAGGUUGCCGAGAUAAUGAAAACAGUCGAGCCGCACCGUGUGAAAGGCUUAUCAGAUGAUGAUUGUUGGACAUUGUUCAAAAGGCGGGCAUUCAAGGAAGGGGAAGAGAAUGACUAUCCGAGCUUGGUCGAAAUCGGAAAGCAGAUAGUAAAGAAGUGUGGUGGCUUGCCUUUAGCAGCAAAUGCUUUAGGAAGUAUGAUGCGCUUUAAGAGCAGAACGGAGGAUGCAUGGUCCGCUAUUAGAGAUAGCGAAAUAUGGAGAUUGGAAAAAGAGGAAACUAUUUUACCAUCAUUGAAAUUGAGCUACAUUCAGAUGCCGUCGGCUUUGAAGCAGUGCUUCGCUUACUGCUCCAUAUUCCCCAAAGACUAUGAGAUUGACAAGGAUGACUUGAUCCGGCAAUGGAUUGCUUUAGGCUUCAUUUCAUCGCAUGAAACAUGGACUUCGAUGGAAGAUAUUGGGAAUGAGUACCUUAACGAUCUAUUAUGGAUGUCUUUUCUUCAAGAUGUGUGGGAAUAUUAUAGAAAGGGUACCACCUGCCGUAUGCAUGAUUUAGUGCACGACCUCGCACAAUCUGUAGCAAGAGAAGAAGUUGCUGUUAUAGGUGCAGAAGAGUCAACGAGGAUCCCGGAAAGUUGCCGCUAUGUCUCGAUAUACAGUCGUUUCACGCCACAGCUGGUUUCAAGUACCGUAAUGCAGAGGUUGCGAGCUCUUCAAUUUAGGGAAUCUGGUUCACCUACUAUGAAUUUUUAUAGCGAGGCAAAAUGGUUACGCCUGUUGGAUUUACAUGAUUCCAAAAUUUCUAUGUUGCCAAGCUCAAUCAGUAAGUUGAAGCUCCUAAGAUACCUCAACCUUUCGGAGAACAGUAUACAAGAAUUGCCUGAAUCAAUUACCAGCCUCUGCAACUUGCAAACCUUGAAUCUUUCAGGCUGCCAAAAGAUCCGUACAUUACCCAAAUUUCUAGGAAGGCUUACGAAUUUGCGGAAUUUAGAUUUAAGCGACUGCAGUUCUCUGACAAUACCUGACUCCAUUAGCAACCUUCAGAAUUUGUACGCACUAAAUUUGAGUUCGUGCGAAAAUGUGAUAUCACUUGAACCUAUAUGUCACCUCAAAAACCUUCAUUACCUAAACCUAUCAGAUCUAAUGUUUAUGGAGACUUUACCAAAAUCCAUUGAGAGCCUUCAAAACUUGCGUACUCUGAAUCUUUCUAACUGCAUUUCUCUGCUAUCAUUACCCUCAUCAUUAUGUGAUCUCAAAAACCUGCAUGACUUAAACCUAUCACGUCUAAAAUCUUUGGUGACAUUACCUGAAUCCAUUGGAAGCCUUCAAAACUUGCGUAUUCUGAACGUUUCUGAAUGCUCUUCUCUAGAAUCAUUACCCUUAUCGUCAAGUGAUCUUCAGCAUUUAGAGAAACUCGACAUCAGGGGUUGUAAAAAAUUAUGUGAGCUGCCCAAAAUGAUCCAAAAGCUGACCAAACUUAGGGUCUUGUUAAACAACGAGUGCUCAGAAUUGAAGGGCAUGCCCCGAGGGAUCAGCAAGUUAGUUAGCUUGCAGGAAUUGUCUGUUUUUGUGGUCGGCAAGCAAGACCGCGUCGAACAUUGUGCCAGCAUCUCUGAGCUCGAGCACCUUAAGCUUGUCGGCGAGCUGGAGAUCAAGGGUCUUGAAAAUGUGACGAGUCCGGUUGACGCCAAGGCUGCAAAUUUGAUAGAGAAGAACCUGCGGUCUUUGAAGUUGAAAUGGAACGUUUUAAGUGCGGAAGAAGGCAUGGACAGUACUGUACUACCGGCGGAAGAGAUCGAAACCGUGCUAGAAAAUCUUCAACCACAUCAGAAGCUAGAGGAAUUGGAAAUAGAAGGCUACGGAGGCGGGAAGUUUCCUAGCUGGAUGAUGAAUAGGAUUGGCUCGUGCCUCCCAAAUCUCGUUAAAAUCAAACUUGAGAAUAUGCCCGGGUGCAGCUCACUCCCGCCGCUGGGGCAACUCCCUUUUCUUAAAGCACUAACUAUACGAAAUAUGCCCGCGGUAACAAAUUUGGGCGUAGAUAAGUUCCCUGCGCUGAUGAGACUUAACUUGUCCUCCAUGCCGGUGCUGCGAGAAUGGGUGACUGUGUUGACGGUGGAUGACGAAGAAGGCAGGCGAGAGCGAGUUCCCAUUUUUCCGUGUCUCACUCAAUUGUACCUUAAAGAAUGCCCUAAAUUGAGGCCGGAGCCUUGCCUCCCGCCAUCGGUUUUGCAUAUGGGCAUCUCUAGAACAAGCAGCGAGAACCUAUCGUUGAUUUUCGAACGCGCGAUGCCACUUGGUGAUGGUGAUGGUGAUGGUGAUGGUGAUGGUGAUGCCGCCGUUUCACCCCAACCGCCACCGAAUAAGGGGCUGCGGAGUCUACAAAUAGGAGGAUGUCAGCAGCUAACUUGUUUGCCCGAGAGCUUGCGGAGUCUCACGUCUCUCCAGCGGCUGAUAAUAUCUGAUUGUGAAGAUCUUGAGAGAAUUGAAGAUUGGUUUGGGGAGCUCUCCGACCUGCGGUCCUUGAUCAUCCAGGGGUGCAGCAGUCUCCGUUACUUGCCUGCCCACAAGAUGACCGCACUUAAGAGGUUACAUAUUGAUGGUUACCCGCUGUUGUUCGAUGCAGAUGGAAGGUAAUUAAUUUGCAACUCUGGCUACUCUUUAUUUAGCUGGCUAGCACCUUAAUAUUCUAUCGUCGCUAGCAUAUAAACCUCUCUUCUUCUUCUUCCUUUUUUUUUUUUCUAAAUAUUCGGAUGGAAAACUUUCAAUUAGCCCCACCGCACGUGAUUCGGAGCAUUUUCAUUUGCUAUGAAAUAUUUCAUUUUGCUAUUUUAAUUUAUAGUUGUGUUUUUAUUUUCUUGCAAAAAUCUUCUACAAAAAAGAAAAAAAAAAAUUAAAGUGCUAAAAUAUAUGAAUUAUAAGACAGUCAAGUAAUUUAUUUUACAAACCACAUAGGGACUAUGUGAAAUAAAUAAAUAAAUAAAUAAAUAAAUAAAUAAAUAUAUAUAUAUUAUAGUAUUUUAUGAUUUAUAAAUUUUAGCACUUUAAAUAGUUUUACUUUAAAAUCUUGUGGUUAUUCCUUUUCUUUGUAUCAUCGUAAGAAUUUGCCGUCAAGUAAAUGUAUUAAAGUGCUAAAAUUUAUAAAUCAUGGGAUAGUAAAGUGAUACAUUUUAUGAAACAAAAGGUAGCCGCCUGUAUCUAUAUAUAUUUUUUCACAUAGCACUCUAUGGUUUAUAAACUAUAUUCCUUUACUACUCUAUAAUUCAAAAUUUCUAGCACUUCAAUAUUCUUUGGUAGUAGGUCCUUACGGUAAAAUAAAGACGCAAUAAUAAAGUAGCAANGGUUUUCUGGAAAAAAUUUCAAGUGGUCUCUUGCAUGUACAUAGACUAAUUAAUGAAAUUUUAACCUUUUCUUAAUUUGUAGCGAUUUGAGAUGCUAAAAAAUUUCUACUUGAACGAUAUAUAGUAUUUACAAAGUAACUAUUUUCGGUCAUAUUGUUGAUAUACUAUUCGAGUCCUAGGAUAUUUUUUUUUACAAAUUGAAAUCAGGUAUGUUAUAUAUCAUACGUUAUUAGAAAGUCUAAGCAAAAUAUACAACACAUAUAUACUGCACGAGUGUCGAAUAAAAAAGUAACCUUUUUGUGUUGUUGUGGUGUAGAAAAUACCCGUACAAGGAACAAGCGAGCAGCUCGUCACAUGUGGAAGAGAGCUCACCGAAGGAGGAGGAGGAGAAGAAGAUUGGUUAGCGAGGAGAGCAUAAGUAUAUGUAUCUCUUAUUUGGAGUUAAAAGAUAUUAGAUAUUAGAUAAAUUAUACUGCACUUUGAAAGCGGCCAAUUGGGCUUUACGAAUUUCGAUUUUAAUUUGAUUUUGAUAUAAGAAAUUUUCUUUGAAAGAUUUGUUAGAUCCUUUUAGAAUUUAGUCUCUUCCGUUAAACAAAGUACAGAAUGUUUCAUAAAAUAAAAAAAAAUUUUAUCAAAUUUUAAAAUAUUUUAUCAAAAAACAUUAAGUAUCCUUUCGAAUUCUCUAAGGAACAUAAUAAACACUGCGGAAAGUUAGAGAGUAGAAUUAAAUUUUUAAAGUUCAGUUAUUUAUCUCAAAGCGUAGUGUAGCUCACGUAAGAAUCAUUAUCUUUUAGCUUAUUUGGUGAUCAGUAUUCCCCUUUGAGAAGAGUUUUUUUUUCCCCUUUGUUUUGCCAAAAAUAAACAAAUUUUAUAUAUCUACAUGCAAUGGUGAGAGUUUUUAUUCAUGGACUUGGGGCCUUCUCUUUCAGGUUUGUGCUAUUUAGCUUUCCGGACAAGAAUUGUAGUGUGCUGUUGUCGGAUUAAUAUAUAUUUGUCUUUUCGUGAUAUAAAUUGAGUUUCUGAAUGUACUAUUUUAUAAUUUGGUUUGAUUGUUGGUAAUUUUAUGGUGUUCUAUGUAUAUGUUAUGGGCUUGAAAAAGGUUGUUUGGUUUGAAUAAACAAAAUGUUGCUACUUUUUUUAAUACGGAUAUUAGAGGGUACAUUAAUUUUUAAGUAAAUCUGACGUAGAGUUUAUUACUAGCUAGUAUAUAUGCAUUGUGUUACGGAAUUGUUUAAAAUCAUCAGAUGCUGUUUUUGGCAUGCAAGUUGGACCUACUAUAUAUGUAUGUACCGCAGUUGAGAGGGUUAAUUUCCAUAUAUGUUUACUUUAAUUUAUCUUUUCUUUUAUUUGAUUAGAUCCGAAUUAAGCCAAUAAAUUUUAAAGUAUUAAAAGUUUUAUUAUUUUGCUUUCUGCAAGAUUUUUAGUUUUUAAAUUCCACAAAUCUGAAUCGAUUUAUUAAUAAAAUCAAACUGAAUCAAUAGAAGUGAGUUGCUUUUUCAGUUUGGUUUUUACCAAACAUGUGGUUUAAAUGAAAAUACAGAUAUGUAUUGCUGCAUUAUUUAAUUUGUUUGAGUUAAGUGAUCUCACUGCUCGUGCAAUAUCAAAUUUAGAUUAAUUAUUUAUUUUAAUAAAUUUAUAGCUUCAUAAAUUUAUAAAAUAUAGUAAUUAAUUAAACAUGUAAAGAUAAACAAUACAUUUAAAUUUUAAAGCUAAAGAGAUAUUUGACUCAAAUCAAAUAAAUUAUAAAUUAUAUAGCAACAUUAAAACUCUUUUAAAGAUUAGAUAGUAAAAUUAAAAUAAGUGAUAGUUGUGGUAAGUUAUAUAAAGUUCUUAUUUUUUUAUUCAAGUAAUCCAGAAAAUUAAAAGAGGUAUUUACUUCGAAAUAAGUUAAAUUAUUUUUUAUGGACAAGUAUUUUUCGAGACCUUAACAUCUGGGACCAACCGUAAAAAUAAGGAAAAUUGCAUGAAAUUAAUUAACCAAAAUUUUAUUUUAUAGGAAAAAAAGGAUAAAAUUUUUAAAAUAUUUUGAUGUUAUUGUUUAUUCUUUCUGAUUUGAGUUUCAUGAAAUUAAAAUUAUUGCCAAUACCUAGUGCAUGGGCACUAUGCCCUUUUUUCUUUUUUUCUUUUUUUUUAUGAAAAUGUAGUAUGCAUAAUUGAUCCUUGAUGUAUACUAUAUUUUUAAUUUAACAACGGAAAAAAUAUGCUGUGAAAAUUAAACUAGUGGACGAGAUAGAGUAAGGAUAUAUGAAUGCAUCAGGUGCAUCCAAUCGUUUUAUAAGGCUAUUAAAUUAUUUAAAUUAAAUAAAAAUUUUAAAUAUAAUAAAUAUAAAUUUUUUUGAAAAAAAUAAAUAGCUAGGUUACAAAUUAUCCAAAAUUUAAUUAUCUUUGUAUAUUCAAAAUUCAAAAUCAUCAUAAGAAACUGCAUCUAACUUGCGAUGGCCAGUUCCUUAAAAUUAAAAUCCAAAACAAAAGGUACGAUCUACAGUAUCUAAAUGGAUUAUGUAUAAAAACACAAGGUUAAAAAAAAAAAAAAAAAAAAAAAAAAAAAANAAAAUUGAAUGAAAUUAAUUAACCAAAAUUUUAUUUUAUUGGAAAAAUAACCAUAAAAUUUUUAAAAUUUUCUGAUUUUAUUGUUUAUUCUUUCUGAUUUGAGUUUCAUGAAAUUAUUGCCCAUACCCAGUGCAUGGGCACUAUGCCCCUUUUUUUUCUUUUUUUCUUUUUUUUUUUUGAGGAAAUGUAGUAUGCAUAAUUGAUCCUUGAUGUAUACUAUAUUUUUAAUUUAACAACGGAAAAAAUAUAUGUGAAAAUUAAACUAGUGGACGAGAUAGAGUAAGGAUAUAUGAAUGCAUCAGGUGCAUCCAAUGUUUUAUAAAGCUAUUAAAUUAUUUAAUUUAAAUAAAAUUUUUAAAUAUAAUAAAUUUAUUUUUUUUUGAAAAAAAUAAAUAGCUAGGUUUCAAAUUAUCUAAAAUUUAAUUAUCUUUGUAUAUUCAAAAUUCAAAAUCAUCAUAAGAAAUUGCAUCUGAUUUGUGAUGGCCAGUUCCUUAAAAUUAAAAUCCAAAACAAAAAGUACGAUCUACAAUAUCUAAAUGGAUUAUGAUGAUUUUGAAUUUUGAAUAUACAAAAAAAAAAAAAAACUGUUACUAAGUCAUCUGAAGUCUAUUCGUCUGUCGUAGAGAAAGAGUAAUUAUUUGAUUUAUGAAGAAAUAUGUCUUCAAAAUAAGAAAUACUACUGAUGCAUUCAAAAGUGUGGUGUAAAUCUAAGAUUUAUUCUCAAUAUGAAUUUUGUUUUAAAUCUCAUCUUAGCAUCCGUUCAUUGUAUGGACUAGUUUACUGGAAUAAACUCUGGCAUCCUACCUAGUUCCAUAUAACGUUUUGGUUCCGGUGGUCGUAGCAGGGUAAAUUUGUAUUUAUCAGAUCAACUUAUCAUGACACAUAACUUCUCUUUGCUUUUUCUUUUCUUUUUUUUUUUUUUGGAUAAAAGCCUUCCCAUGCUGGUAUGCAAGAGAUUAUAACUGGAUUGCUUAUGAAUAUGAGAGAAGACUAGUGCUUAUUGUUUUGGAAUUUGUUGCUUGUCUGAUGAUCCUGUCUGUUUCUUACAUUUAUUUGAUUUUUUAUAUAACAGGAACGACGAAUGAGAGGUCAAGCAUUUGUGACUUUUCCAACUGUCGAUCUUGCUCAGCAUGCAUUGGUUUGUCUAUCUUUUGAGGCUAAAAACUAUUUUUUUAAAAAAAAUUUUAAGGGCCGCUGAAAAUUUAGUUAAAAACUAAAAUUAAGUUCAUGUAUGAUGUUGCUUGUUUUUUAAUACCUGGGCGAAUUUUGAGAAUAUGUAGCCCAAAGAAAGCACCUGCUUUGAUGCUUUGGAGGGCCCACAAAUUUCAAAAGCUGCCCAAAAAAGACAUCUUUUAUGCUUUGGAGUGCUCCCUUCAAAUGUUUUUAAAUGAUGAUAGGAACUGUCACUGGAGAAGCAUCAUGCCGCAGAGGCAUUCUUCUCGAUCUGUUAUAGUGCUUGAGAGCUUUGAUAGGAGCUCUCAAGCACUUUCGGAAAUUCUUUUGGGGCCAUCGAACGCAUAAAAGCUGGUGUGUUCGAAAAUAGGCCUCAGUCUGCGAAGCAGCUCUAUUUCUAUCAUGAACUGUUUCACCUGAAGUUAUUUUCGGAAAAAAGAAAAAAAAAAAAGUGAAAAAGAUAGGCUCGAAAGUGGGGAGCAGAGAAUCUGCAAUUUUUACUCUGCAAUACUUUAGUUAUGAUAAUUAUGUUCUUCAAUUUUAAUCUUCUAUUCUAGAGUAACGAGCAUUGUUCAUAAUAAUACAUAUCCAUUGUUCAUAAUAAUGGAUAUGUAUUCAAAGGCAAGGCGAUGAUCAUCCAGUUUGGUUGCAAUCCUGUUGCUGGCAAAGCUACCUAAUUAAAUGGGGAUUUUGAUGUAGACCAUGGGUGCAUGCCUUGGGAUGGAAAUUUUGAUCAAUCCAAAAAUUGUCACAGCUCUUCAACGUCCAAUAAAAGAUGGGUAUGGUUUUUUCAUUUUUAAAAAAAUAAUGAUGUGUAUCGUGUGCGUUCAUGAGGUUUCAUUUAUUUUAUCAGAAAUGAUUCAGUACUUUAUUAUUAAAAAAAUAAAAUAGAUCCUAACCGUUGAUUAAUAGAGGGUAAAGAUGUAAUUUAAUAUUUAGCAGGUAAAUGGGUUGCAUCAUUCGAAGUUAUUUCGAUAAUUAAACUAUACAGCAUUUAAAAAAACUUUUAAUUGAUAUUCUAAAUUUAUGCAUUAAUUUGCACUAAUUUAGGAAAUUGAUUGAUUACCCUAAUUUAGGCAUUAAUUAGGCAUUAAUUUACGCAUUUAGUUUAGAAAUUUUAGUGUUUCUAAAAUUUAGGCAUUAAUUUAAAUUAUAGGAAUUUUAGAAAUAGUUCUAUUUCUAAAUACAUUGAAUUUAAAUAUUAAAUAUUAAAUAUUUAAAAUUAAAAAAUUAAAAUUUAAAUUAGAGGAAUUUUGUAUUACUAUUUAAAAAAUUUGUAAUGUUGAUAAAUAUUUUAAUUCAACAUACUUAAUAUGUUUAAGAAAAUUUUUAAAUUCCUAAAGUUUAGACAACAAUUUUGUAUCACUUAUUUUAAAAAAAAUUAAAUGUUGGUAAAAAAAUUAUAAAUUAAAUGUAUUUAAUAUGUUAAAAAAAUUAGAAUUGUUCUACUUUAGACGUUAAUUAUUUAUCAUUAUUCAAAAAAAUUUGUAAUGUUGGUAAAUAUUUAAAUUUAACAUAUUUUAUAUGCUUAACAAACUUAUGAAUUCAUCUUAGACAUUAAUUUUGUAUUACUAACUUUAAAAAUUGAGUGUGGACAACAUAUUUAAAUUCAACAUAUUUAAUAUGUUUAAAAAUAUUUAAGAAUUUUUCUAAUUUAGAUAUUAAUUCUUUAUCACUAUUUAAAAAUUUUAAUGUGAAUAAUUGAUUAGAAAUAUAGGGUAUAAUUCAAAUUUAUUCUUAGAAUAGAAUUGUAUGGACAAAAUUAAUUCAAAUUUUAAUAGAAAAAAUUUAUCUUUUAAAAUAAUAAGAUAAUGUAUUGUAAUUUAAAAUAUAAUUUUUUUAUAUGAAAUGCCAAAUAUGAGAGGAAAAAAGAUAGAGAGAGAAAAAAAAUAAAGAGAGAAUAAAAAUUUUGAUAAUAUAAUAGAGAUAAAAUGACUAAAUUGCUCAUGUAUUAAAAGAUAAAAAUAUUUUUUUUUGAGGUAUCUGAUGAUCGGUACCUCUCCUAAAGUGACUUGCUAUUAUAGGUCACAAUUUUAAAAAAAUUAAAUCUGGACCGUUGAAUGGGAGUGAAUGAACGGUAAGAAAAAAAAAAAAAAGUAUAGAAGCAUUACUCUUAUUUUAUGGCCACUUCUGAUGAAACACCUAUAUAAUAGGGCUACACAUGUCGACCUCAUGCAAUAAUGCAUGCGUAGUGGCCACAAGGUGCUUCAUCUAGGUUCCUAUGAGCAGCGCUAGAACUUUAGUAACCAGAUUUUUGCAUCAAAUUAGUUCAUUAAAGUUUGAACUGAGUAGUUAAGCCAGCAAUUGCCCUUCUUCAGGAUUUUGUAUCCUCCGAAUGGAAUAUGCAUGAACUAUUGUUGCUGCUUUUCUGAGGAAGGUUUUAACCAUCUAUUAAAAGCUCAUUUCGAAGUGCAAAUUAUCAUUAGUUACUUUCUAAUAUUGCUGAAUUGAUCAGUCAGUUUUGUUCAAUUUGGCCUUUGGUUUUUGUGGUGAUUUUUGACAUAUUUUUCUGCUUUUGUGUUGAUAAGCUACGAGGACUGGUUCGCCAUAUUUUAAAGUUCAGCAACUACAAUCCAUGCCGUGGAGCUCUACUGCCGCAAUGAGAUGGUUACUUGUGUGCGCCUCCUAGUUUUGUUUUAUCCAGGAACAUGACAAACUCAGUUGGAAUUGAGAUGGUGAUGAAAGGUAACACACACUUUGUAGAUUGUAAAAUUCUCUCCAUGGUGAACUACCCCACCAGUCUAUCAACUCUUAACCAAGUUCCAUUUUGAUCCUCGAGCUUUUAGGGAUUGUUUGCGACUUUGAACUCUUAAAUGUUUCGCACAUCUAAUUCUAUUAGAUGGCAAAUUAUUGGUUACACCCAAUAUAUGUGUACAUGUUUGUAUACUUAUCUAUUGAUUGUUGCUUGUGAAUUUACAAUCGUUUUUUUUUAUUUAAAAAUUAGAGUAUUGAAUUGAAAGUAUGUGAUGGAAAAAAGGGCUAAUGAACUUAUGUGCGCAAACAUACUCGUACCGUUACUUCCAAAGUGUAAUAGAGCACGUGAACAAUGGGAAAGCGAAUAUAGUAGCACUUAAGCACCUAGUACAAUUUAUGAGCUGUACCCCUACAUAAUUAUAGUAGUGGUGGGUCCAUGCUUUGAUUAUUGGGCAUCUGAUCUAAUAGUGACUUUUAAAGACUCGGUACAUAAGAGAUGCUUAGGAAACAUUGUGGAUCACAUGAAAGGUAUAACCCUGUAAAGUUAUUUGUGAGCUGGUAAAUUUAUUUAAUGCUCUUGAUGCACUGAUGUGAUAUGUAAAAUUAUCAAAAUCUCUUGUAUUGGAAUUGCCACCAUAAGGAAAAUAUAUAAAACAAUAAUUUUGAAAAAUUUGUAGCAGUACUUGUGCAAGUGGGGAGGUAAUAAUUUUUUUCUUCCCUUAAGUGGGUUGAUAUAGGAGAAAUUAUCGAAUUAUCUGAUUGAUCAAGUUCAAUGUGUACCCAUUUUUUUUAAACUUGAUCUCAUAUAUUAGGAUUUUGAAUUUAAAUUUUUAUUUUAAAAUAUAAAAGUUUGGUAGGGUGGGUGCACCGAUGAUGUGGCGCAUGAGGUGCAAGCGAUAUUUCCCACGACAAAAGAAUUAAAGUAAAAGCAAAAUAAGAACAAAGCUAAAAGCACUUGCCCGCUUUAUUCCUGUCCUCACGCAGUGGAGGAAAAAAGAAAUUUGUUAAUCUAUAUGUAUGUUUUAAGUCUCACAUUUCAAGAUAAUUUGGUAAACUUGGUAAAUUUUUUUUCCUUCAAUUAUUAAUAAGUCCAAAGUUUUUCUUAGAUCUAUCUAUUAACUAAAAAAAAAUCAAAAGUUAAGUGCAAACUAUUUUCAUGAAUAAGGGAAAUUAAGAAGAAAAUGAUAAAAAAAAACAGCUAAACAUUUUAAUGAACAAGAAAGAGAGAGUAAAGAAUAACAAAGCUGAUUGUUUUCAUGAACAAGGGAAAGAAGAAAAGAACAAAACAAAGCAGGGAAAAGAAGAAAAUAAUAAACAUAAACUAAGCACGCGGCGUGCAUAUAUGCUAAUUAAUAUUCAGUAUACUCUUCUUUGUUGUAGGAGUUUUUUUUUUUUUUUUUGAGAAAAAAAUAGCGAGUUAUUUGUUUCAUUUAUUAGGUAAAAUAAACUAGACAUAUAUAAUAGAAACAGCCGAGGCUUCUGAGAAAAAAAUUAAAAAAGCAAACCAAAAGGAAAUUUGAACUCUGGUAGUGUGGUGUAGUGUUGCAGUGGUCUCCAUACUUUGUUUCCUUUUUUUCUCUUUUUUUUGGGCAAUCAAAAUUUAUUCAUAUCAAUUCUUCAAGUAUAAUAGCAUCUUAGAAAAAUACCUUGGGGUGAUAGCCGUUAUGAAAUUAUUCAAUCUGAUCGGACUCUGAAGCAAAAAAUUGUCAAAUUUGGAUUGAAAUUUUACAUUGAAAUUUUACUGUCCAUUACGGAUUCAGAUUCAGAUCUGAAAUUUGAAAUUUUUUUGAGUUCAAAUUAAGAUUUACUAUUCCUUUUUAAAUUCGAAUUCAAAUUAUUGAAAACCAAAACUGAUUUUUGACUGCUUUUUUAAUUUCUCAAGUAAUGCCAUUUGAAAAUGGACACGGAAACAACAAGACCCAAAGAGCAAAUUCGAAUCUGAUAAUAUUUUUUAUAAUCUGUACAACAGGAUAAAGACGAUUGAGGGACCAGCGUGCAAAUCGUCAAAGAUUCCCAGCGUAAUUAUCGGAGCGGCAGCACAAGAAUUGGAGCAGUCACCUACACCUACUGCCAACUUUUCCUCAAUUUCCAAGCACGAGAGAGAGAGAGAAAAAAAAAAAAAAAAAACAACAACUGGAGCAUGCUUUUCUGCCUCUUCAUCUGAAAAUGGACACGACAAUACGAAGAUUCAAAUAUUUUUAUAAUUUGUACAAUUGGAUAAAGAUUGAUCAUUGAUCAUGGGGUGUAUUUCACUAGUUGGAUUUUUUUUUUUUUUUUUGAGAGAGAAAAAUAGUAUAGUACCAGUUUCGUAUAUUUCAUUCAAAAAUAAACUUAGCUAGAACUAUAAAUUAAUUAAAAUUCAAAUUUAAUUCUCGAAUAUCAAUCACCAAACUUUUUUUGCCACUUGCGCUAGAAACCGUCGGUGCGGGAUGCAUCUUCUAUGCCCAAUGAAAUGAAUGUAUAAGUAAGAGUUUUCGAAAAAAAAGAAAAAAACGAAAAAAAAAAAAAGCAUUGGCGCGUGCGUUCUCUCGAAGCUCCUCCGGCGGCCCCACCAUAGUUAUAUGAGACGCAGCACAAUAAAUGGAGCAACCAUCUUCCAGCGGUGGAGAGCAUCCCCUUAAUUAUCCUCUGCUUCUCUGUAGUAGGAUGUUCGUAUUGAGAAGAAUUAGGCAGCAGCACGCGCGAUGGCGGAGGGGAUCGCAUUCGGUUUGGUGAAGGGAGUGCUCGGCAAUCUGGGCUCCGCUCUCUGGAACGAAAUCGGGCUGCUGCGGAGCUUCAAGAACGAAAUUGUGCUUAAUUAUUAUUAUUAUUAUUAUUUAUUACUAUAUAUAUAAAAGUAGAACCCUUAAUGAACCCUAUGUGAGAAGCUGACACGUAGCUUUCUAUAUACUUGUCACGUGUCAAACUCAAGUAUGGAUAUUUGGUUACGAAUUAUUUAAAAUUAUUGGUUUAAUUAAUUAUUUAAAAUUAUUGGUUGCGAAAUACGCAAUAAUCUGUUGCGAAUUAUUUUUUCGCGAUGGAAAUAAUCUGUUACAAAUUCAAAUUUCGUAUUAGCAGAUAAUUAAGAAAAAAAAUUCAAAACUCACGUUUUUAUAAAAAAAUAAUAUCUUUUAUUAUAUUAUUAAAAAUCACAUAUAAUGAAUAAAAUUUUAUUUCAAAGUCACCUAUAAUUAUGUUGAGAUAUUUGAAAAAUCUAUGGAUAUUAUGUUACGAAAGAAUUGGCGGUGCGGAUAUUACGCGUGAGAAGAAAAAUAUUUAUCUUUAUUUGGAAAUAAAUUAUUACUUAGUUAAUUAUUUAAAAUGAUUGGUUGAAAUUUCUGGACAUAAAAAUAUUAGUAAAAAAGUAUAGGCAUUUUUGGAAAGAGGAAAAAAUUUAAAACUCACCUCACUCCUGUAAUUUUCUUCGCUCUUAAAUAUUGAUGCUUUAAAAUAGAACAUGCUAUUUCCCUACUGUCACUUCUGUAAUUUUCAUUUCGUAAUUUUUUUCCUUUAUGUCACUCAUGUAACUUUUCAUCUUCAUGCAAUAAAAUUUUUUUUUCUUUAUUUUUUAUUGAAAACCAACAUCUAUAUAUUUUUGAAUCUUAAAAGCGACAGUAGGAACAUAAUAUAUGUGUGCUUACUCUAAUUUGUGUCAAAUAUGAAAGUUUAGUUGAUCUCAUUAUAUGCUUAAAUAUUAAUGUCAUUUGUAAUUUUUCAUAUCAAUUUUAGUUAUCAUUUUAUUUCGCACAUCAAUAUGUAAAUGUAAAUUGUUUUACAUACCAAUUCAUAGAUAAUAGAGCAGGAUUGAAUUUUGCAUUUUCGUUGAAUAUUUACUUUGGUCCAAUUUUUUUUUUUCUCUAGCUUGUGUACUUUAAUAUGUACUAUAAUUAAGAUUGAUAGUAUAUUUUUUUAUUUGUUAAAAAAUAUAAAAUUAAUUAAAAAAUUUUUUUAUUAUCAUCACAUAAUAAUUUUUAUUAUUCUAUAUUAUUAUAUUAGCCGUGCAUCGCACGGGUGAAAAUCUAGUUAUUAUUAUUAUUACUACGAUAAAGCAUUUUUGAGUACCUAACGUUUGGGACCAACCGUACAAAAAGGAAAAUUGUACGAAAUUAACUUAAAUUUUAUUUUAUUGGAAAUAUAGCCGUAAAUUUUUUUAAAAAUGUUUUGAUUUAUUGUCUAUUCUUUCUAAUUUGAGUUUCAUGAAAUUAUUGCCAAUUAUUUACGCAGCUAAUAUGCACUAUGCCUUUUUUUCUUUUCUUUUUUUUUACACUUUAGAAAAUACAGUAUGCCGUAACUGAUCUUUGGUGUAAACUAUAUUUUCAAUUUAGCAAUCGGAAAAAAAAAUAUUUUUUGAAAAUUAAACAUGUGGAUGAAAUAUUAAGGUAUCGCACAAAUAUAACUGCAUAGUUCUUCAGUAAUAAUUAAGCAUAAUUUUAUAGUUUUGGAGGAGUAUAGAUUAAAACCGGAUUAAAGCUAAGCUUUUGGACCAUUCAAAAUAUAGAAAUAUUGCUUCUAACCACCCGGUGCCCAAACAAAGUCAGCUCAGUUGUAAUUUUUAUACUUACAAAUUAAAAUGGCUGGAAUAAAAUAAGAAAAAUAUUAAGGAUGAAUAAAACCCUGGUUCACACCUGUUUGGAUGCACCAGGUGUGGGUAGUGAUUUUUCAUGAACCAAAAUCAUAUAGUGUUAAAGAAUAGCGAGAAAAAUUAAAUUAAAAUUUUUAAAUAUUAGGUAAUUAAUUUCAAAUGAUAAAAAAUUCAGAUUAAUUACACAUAUUUUUAUCUCCCAAAAAUAAAACACACAACAACAACAAUAACAUGACCUCUGCAAAGAAGGGUCUUUCUUCGUCAUGAACAACAGGGCAUCCCUCUCUACCUUGAUCCGAAUUUGGUUGAUUAAGAGAAAAAAAAUUUUGAGCUCCCAAUAGAUAGAAAGAAACAUGGCUGCAUAUAAUUGUGGAGGGAAGGAUUUCUUUUUUUUUUUUUUAGAAAAAAAGGAGACAAAGCCUUAAUUAGCAAGAGCUCUUUUUGUACGAAUGAACAAGUGCAUUUAUGUAUGGUGACUUGGUCACGUUUUUAAGUUUCCUACAUGUAUUGCUUGGAUCCAUUAGUGAUAUUUACAGUUUGUAAUGGAUUGAUUCAUUAAGCAGUGCAGUCAAUUUGUUGUUGGAUGUAUGCUUCAAAAGCUUGGUCUUUCGUCAAAAAAUUAAUUGAAUGGUUCAAGCUAGGUGUUAUGCAAAAAGAUUCAAAUAAAUGGUUCAAGUUAGGUGUUUUUUUUUUUUAUAACAUUAUAAGCAUUGGAUGGAUUUUUGCUUUAAUCUAAAUAGUUUUAGAGUUAGCAGCUUGUUUUGGACACUCUUUAAUACUCGUUUUGGAGAGAAACCAUGCCUUUCUGCCUCUUUGUAUCGAAAUGGACAAGGAAACAGCAAGAUGCAAAGAGCAAAUUUGAUACUUACAAUAGUAUAAUCUAUUUCUCAAUAUCAAAGGAGGGUUUGGGAAUCAAAGGGUGACAUGUGUCGCCCUAAACCCUUUUACUCUCUCUCCACCCAAAACCAAUAACUUGAUAUUUUUAAAAGUAUAGUAGCUAAAUUUUAUAUAUAUCAAAAUUUAAAAUUUUGAUACUUUCAAAUUUUAUAUUUUAUAUUUUAAAAUUUAAAUUUAAUUUAUAAUAUUUAUUUUUAAAAUUUAAAUUUUAAAUUAAUUAAUUAAUUUUAUUAAUAAUUCAUAAUAUAUAAUAUAGUUAAUUAAUUUUAUUAAUAAUACGCAUAAUAAAUUGCGUAAUAAAAUCUAACCUAAUAGAUGCAAUUUAAAUCACGUAAAGUGUCACGCUCCGAGCUCCGCCUAUUUGGUCGGAUUCGGGCACGCCGACAGACCGCCGAACGGACANNNNNNNNNNNNNNNNNNNNNNNNNNNNNNNNNNNNNNNNNNNNNNNNNNNNNNNNNNNNNNNNNNNNNNNNNNNNNNNNNNNNNNNNNNNNNNNNNNNNNNNNNNNNNNNNNNNNNNNNNNNNNNNNNNNNNNNNNNNNNNNNNNNNNNNNNNNNNNNNNNNNNNNNNNNNNNNNNNNNNNNNNNNNNNNNNNNNNNNNNNNNNNNNNNNNNNNNNNNNNNNNNNNNNNNNNNNNNNNNNNNNNNNNNNNNNNNNNNNNNNNNNNNNNNNNNNNNNNNNNNNNNNNNNNNNNNNNNNNNNNNNNNNNNNNNNNNNNNNNNNNNNNNNNNNNNNNNNNNNNNNNNNNNNNNNNNNNNNNNNNNNNNNNNNNNNNNNNNNNNNNNNNNNNNNNNNNNNNNNNNNNNNNNNNNNNNNNNNNNNNNNNNNNNNNNNNNNNNNNNNNNNNNNNNNNNNNNNNNNNNNNNNNNNNNNNNNNNNNNNNNNNNNNNNNNNNNNNNNNNNNNNNNNNNNNNNNNNNNNNNNNNNNNNNNNNNNNNNNNNNNNNNNNNNNNNNNNNNNNNNNNNNNNNNNNNNNNNNNNNNNNNNNNNNNNNNNNNNNNNNNNNNNNNNNNNNNNNNNNNNNNNNNNNNNNNNNNNNNNNNNNNNNNNNNNNNNNNNNNNNNNNNNNNNNNNCUAUAUAAAAAUAUUAAAAAAAUAAAAUUUAUUAUAAAAAUAUUUUUACAUUUGCAGCAUUGCGCGGGUAUUUCACUUGUCUUCUACUAUAUUAAAGGAGGGUUUGAGGAGACCUUGGGGUGACAAAUGUCCCUCGAACCCUUCCCUACUCUCUCUCAUAUAUAUAUAUAUGUAUAUAUAUGUAUAUGUAUAUAUGUGUAUAUAUAUAUAUAUAUGUGUAUAUGUAUAUAUGUGUAUAUGUAUAUAUGUGUAUAUAUAUAUAUAUGUGUAUAUGUAUGUGUAUAUGUGUAUAUAUAUAUAUAUGUAUAUAUAUAUAUAUAUGUGUAUAUGUAUAUAUGUAUAUAUAUGUGUAUAUGUAUAUAUGUAUAUAUAUGUAUAUAUAUGUAUGAAUGAGGGUACUAUGCUAUCGGAAGCACGGAGCCUUCCGUGCUUCCAGCUCGUUUUCGAUGUUGCGAUUUUCGAAUCGUCGAUUGGCUCCGUUAAAAUUGAUCUAGAGUAUUUGAAGUGCCUAGAAAAUAAAUUUUAUUAUUUUUCGAUAUCAUUUGCCUAGUGAUCGAAUGAGCUCAAAAUCAACAAAUUUCAAUGGCCGUAGUGAGCCGUUUGCAAGUUUAACGGUAUAGAAAUAUCCAAAUCACGUGAAAUUUUGAUAGAAAAUUUUUUAUACUAUAUAAAACAAGAUCAAUAUUUUUGAUUUAAAAUUUUAAUGUCAUAUUANCGGCAGGCUGAGUUCAAGCACCGUGAGACAUUCUCGGCCGUCGACGAAAAGGAAAUAGUUGGGAGAUAUGAUGAUAAAGAGAAAAUUGUGAAGCUACUGCUAGAGACGGCCGGCGAUCACGACGUGUCGGUCAUUCCGAUCGUGGGAUUGGGGGGUUUGGGGAAGACGACGCUCGCUCAAAUGGCCUUCAACGACGGACGGGUUACGGGCCAGCAGCGCUUCGAUCUACGGGUGUGGGUCUGCGUGUCUACCGAUUUCCACAUGAAGACGAUUGAUUGCAAAGCCGGUAAUAUCUGCAACCAAAGAGGAGUGUGAUCUUGAUAACUUGGAAUCCGUAGCGAGUUUUCUCCUCAGGAUUUUUAGUCUAAACAGAUUUUUGCUGGUGCUGGACAAUGUAUGGAACGAAGAUCAGGAAAAGUGGGAGAAAUUGAAGGUCUUAUUUAAGGACGGCAAGAAGGGAAGUAAAAUUUUAGUGACCACACGGAGCAAGAAGGUUGCCACGAUAAUGAAAACAGUCGAACCACACCAUGUGAAAGUCUUAUCAGAUGAUGAUUGUUGGACAUUGUUCAAAAGACGGGCAUUUGACGAAGGGGAAGAGAACGACUAUCUGAGCUUGCUCGAAAUCGGAAAGCAGAUAGUUAGGAAGUGCGGCGGUGUGCCUUUAGCAGCAAAUGCUUUAGGAAGUAUGAUGCGCUUUAAGAGCAGGACGGAGGAUGCAUGGUCCGCUAUUAGAGAUAGCGAAAUAUGGAGGUUGGAAGAAGAAGGAACUAUUUUACCAUCAUUGAAAUUGAGCUACAUUCAGAUGCCAUCAGCUUUGAAGCAGUGCUUCGCUUACUGCUCCAUAUUCCCCAAAGACUAUGACAUUGACAAGGAUGACUUAAUCCGGCAAUGGAUUGCUUUAGGCUUCAUUUCAUCGCAUGAAAAAGGGACUUCGAUGGAAGAUAUUGGGAAUGAGUACUUUAACGAUCUAUUAUGGAUGUCUUUCCUUCAACAAGUGUGGGAAAGUUUUAGCAAGGUUACCUGCCGUAUGCAUGAUUUAGUGCAUGACCUCGCACAAUCUGUGGCAAAAGAAGAAGUUGCUGUUAUAGGUGCAGAAGACUAAGCAAGGAUCCCAGAAGGUUGCCGCUAUGCAUCAAUACAGAGUCGUUUCAUGCCACAAGUUUCAAUUACCGUAAUGCGAAGGUUGCGAACUCUUCAAUUUAGGGAAUCUGGUUCACCUAUUAUGAAUUUUUAUAGCGAAGCAAAAUGUUUACGCCUGUUGGAUUUACAUGAUUCCAAAAUUUCUAUGUUGCCAAGCUCAAUCAGUAAGUUGAAGCUCUUAAGAUACCUCAACCUUUCGGAGAACAGUAUACAAGAAUUGCCUAAAUCAAUUACCAGCCUCUGCAACUUGCAAACCUUGAAUCUUUCAGGCUGCCAAAAGAUCCGUACAUUACCCAAAUUUCUAGGAAGGCUUACGAAUUUGCGGAGUUUAGAUUUAAGAGAUUGCAAAUCUCUGACAAUACCAGACUCCAUUAGCAACCUUCAGAAUUUGUAAGCACUAAAUUUGAGUUCGUGCGAAAAGGCGAUAUCACUUGAACCUAUAUGUCACCUCAAAAACCUGCAUUACCUGGCCCUAUCACAUCUAGAUUCUUUGGUGACAUUACCUGAAUCCAUUGGGAGCGUUCAAAACUUGCGUAUUCUGAAUAUUUCUUGGUGCUCUUCUCUACUAUCAUUACCCUCAUCGUUUUGUCAACUCAAAAACCUACAUAACUUAUACCUAUUAUUUCUGACUUCUUUGGUGACAUUACCUGAAUCCAUUGGGAACCUUCAAAACUUGCGUCAUCUGAACCUUAUGUGUUGCUCUUCUCUACUAUCAUUACCCUCAUCGUCAAGUGAUCUUCAGCAUUUAGAGAAACUAGACAUUAGUAAUUGUGAAAAAUUAUGUGAGCUGCCUAAAAUGAUCCAAAAGCUGACCAAACUAAAAGAAUUGUUAAACUCCCAUUGCUCGGAAUUGAAGGGCAUGCCUCGAGGGAUCGGCAAGUUAGUUAGCUUGCAGGAAUUGUCCCUUUUUGUCGUCGGCAAGCAAGACCGCGUCGAACAUUGUGCUAGCAUUUCUGAGCUAGAGCACCUUAAGCUUGUCGGCCGGCUGAAGAUCAAGGGUNNNNNNNNNNNNNNNNNNNNNNNNNNNNNNNNNNNNNNNNNNNNNNNNNNNNNNNNNNNNNNNNNNNNNNNNNNNNNNNNNNNNNNNNNNNNNNNNNNNNAUAUAUUUUUAUUAUUUAAAUUUUAGCAAAAUAAAAAUAUAAAUGCGAGCUUAAUUAUAAAAAGACUCAUUUAUAUGUAAAGUUUCAACAAUUAGAUCAAACUCUAAUGAAUAAAAUUUUAUAAAUUUAUUUUUUAUAUAUAUUUAAUCUAAUCUUUUUUAAUUUAUUGUUCGUUGGCCAGCUUAUGGGCCACCUCGACACGAGCUGAAUUUUUCGGCUCGAUACUUUAACGAGCUAGCUCGCGAACACAAGCCAAUCCCAGUUCGUACGUGUUCGGCUCGUUUACACCCGUACUUGGCAGUAUUUGACAGCUGGAUUAGACACACCUUGUUCUUGAAGUUGACUUGUAUGACAAGGACCGGUGUUUAGAUUCGGAGAGUAAAUUUAAAACAUAAAUUUUUAAUUCGAGGCUAAAUAAUAAUUAUAUCUAAUGUCGAAUUUAUUUAUUUAUUUUUGAGAGAUAGGUAAGAUGCUACCUGCUUCGUUUAUUUCAUUUAGAAAUAAACUUAGUUAGAAAUGUGAAUCAAUUAGGAUUCGAACUUGGGACAUCAGGUACCAACCACCAAACCCUUUGUCGUGCUAGGCACGGUCGGUUAAUGUCGAAUUUAUUACAUUAUCACCUUUCAGAUUUAGACUCUUUUAUGUCAGCCCUUCAAUUAAGCUGGGCAUUCAAUAUGGAAUCUAGAAGUUGACUUGUAGAACACAAAAUUUCUAAGCUAACUUUGGACCUAGAAAUUUUCUACGCGGAUUUUGGGAGUGCUUGCAUUUUGAGACCAUAGUUAGUUAAUUCGGAUUCGGCAAGAGUUCGGUAUGAAUAUAAUACGAAUAAAAUUUGUAUCCUAAUUUUUAAAUCCGUAGAAUAAUACGGCUAAAAAACGGAUUCGCCAAUUAUAUACAGAUACUAUAUGUUCAUCAAUUAAAAAUUCGGGAUAAAAAAUUCGGCUAUUAAAUUAAUUUUUUUUCUCUAGAUUUAUACUAUUAGCAUAAAUACUCAUAAUUCUUAAGAAUAUAAAAAUAAGGAGCUGCAGAAUUAAGCAGAUUUAAGUAAAAAAAAUUAACGACUCAAAUAUUUCAAGUUCUACCACAUGACUGCCUAUCAUGGAUCGAAAGAAUAAAAUCACAUCCAAAAAACAUUAGAAUUAGCCCUCAAUAAUGCAUCAAACAUAACUUAACUCUAAAUAAUUAACCCCACUCCAUUGGUUCUGAGUCUUCAGACAACAUCGAGCAAAUUUCGGGCGAGUGAAUAUUUUUUUUUUUUUUUCCCGUUUUGAGCGCGUGUGCUGCUUGCGGAGGGAGGGUACGGACACCCUCGAUAAUUUCGGGUUCGCGAAUUAUAAACCCUAAAAAACGAGAAUUAUUUUAAUUUUUUCUUAAAAAAAGUACGUAUUCGGUUUCCUUUAUUCGUUAUUCAAAAAAUCUCUUUACAUUUAACCUCUGUUGUUACCAUAUUGAUUCCAUUAGAAAUUUAUUUUUAAUAUCGAACUUGUCCUUUUGCUACCUCCAAUUUCUCUCCUUUUUUGUCUUUUUCUCAUGUAUUUUUUCCUUCAAAUUAAUAUGAUAGAUGAGAAAAAGUAUAUUAAGAGGUUCUAAACCUUCUGUGUCAAUAUGACACCUCGUAAUAUUUAUAGGCUGUACUUGAGUUAUUUCAAUCAAUUAAAUUGAAGGCUUAAUUAAAUUAAUUAUUGAUUCUACUGAAUUUUAUAUUGAGUAUUUUGGUAUUUGCUCUGAAACUAGUUAUUGAGAAUCCGCAACCCACUUUGAUACCGAUUGUUGUAAAUUUAACACUCGUUCUGGUAUGGAUUGUUUGGAUUACGCAAAGAAAGCAUCCAAUCGAAUUUUAACCAUAAACUCAUCUACUCAGCAAAAAUUGAUACAAACACAAAAAAGAAAAAAAUCAAAUAGAAAGCAUAGAUGAAAUAAAUUUCACUAACCAAGAAAAGAAUUAUACCUGACUCCUCUUUUACCCAAAAUAGUUUCAACCCGAGCCCUCUUUCUGAAUCUCCCUCGCUUCUAUCUUGAUUCUAUGAAUUCAGAAGACUACUCUCUCUUUUUCUAAAUCCAUGCUCGAGAUAUAUUGAUCAUCCACAGCCACAGAAGCCGCACACCUCCUCUUACACCUAUACAAUGAUGCACCUAAAACCGUGGACACUUUGGGCCACACACGACAUGCCUUCCGACUGAGACGUACGGCUCAUCAAGAGCACCCACAACAUGGCCGUAAUUGUGCUUAUUGAUGGGAAUCCAGUACUCACCCUGGUACCGGAUCUUGAGAAUCUGCAGCACGCUCCGAUACCGACUGUUGUUGAUUCGGUACCAGAUGUUGCGAUUUUGCAACGGAAGCAUCGAAUCGAAUUUUUACCAUAAAUCCGUCUCCUCAGCAGAAGCUGAUACAAUCAGAAAAGUGAGUAAAAACCAAACAGAAAAAUAUACGGGUAAAAUAAGAUUCACUAAAUAAGAGAAUAUUACAUCUGACUCCUCUUCAAUAAUAGAGUAGCUUCAACCCGAGCCCUCUUUUUGAAUCUCUCCUAUUUUCUCGUCUUCUAUAAACCCACAAAAGAAGACUUCUUUUUUUUUUCUCUCUUACAUGCACCCGUGCACUAGGAGCAUGCAACCGGGCCUAGGCUUCUCCACUAUACGGUCACCACCAUAAAAAGGCUCUCUCUCAUCCGAACAUCAUCUAGACUCACUACAAUUUGCAUACUAUGGCCCAAUAUUUAAAGCGGGCUCCACCCAAAAUAUACCCAAAUCCUAGUAUAAUUAGAAUUCCUACUCCAAUUAAUAUUUAAAUCUAUAUUUUAUUUAUCUCCAAUAUAUUUAAAUAUUUAUCAUAAUCUAAUUAGAUUUAUACUCUAAUUAAUAUUUAAAUCUUAAUUUAUCUCUAAUAGAUUUAAANGUCUACUGACAGCUCAAAGUCGACAAAAGAGUUAUGCGGAUAAACGUCGGCGAGAACUGGAAUUUCAAGUUGGCGAUCAUGUAUUUUUGAAGGUUUCACCGACGAAAGGAGUUAAAAGAUUUGGCAUUCGAGGAAAGUUAAGCCCUCGAUUUAUUGGACCCUACGAGGUGUUGGAGCGGAUAGGCCCCGUAGCAUAUCGGCUUGCUUUGCCGCCGAACCUAUCGGGAGUGCAUAAUGUGUUUCAUGUGUCCACACUUCGGAACUAUGUAUUUGAUCCAACCCACGUACUGGAGAGUAUUCCAGUAGAGUUGCAUGAAGAUUUGAGCUUCGAAGAGCAUCCCGUGAGAAUACUAGCUCGAGAAGUUAAACGGCUUCGAAAUCGCGAGAUACCCUACGUGAAGAUCCUUUGGAGCAAUCACGAGGAACGGGAAGCCACUUGGGAACUGGAGAGUGCAAUGCAAGAGCAUUAUCCCUAUCUAUUCUCAAUGGAGCCUUGAAGUAAGUAUUUACAAGUUUCGCGGACGAAACUUCUUUUUAGGAGGGGUGAAUGUAAUACACUGACUCUAGCAAAUUGCGGAGUCCGAGUGUGUGGAAUGAGUUGUGGAACUAUCCUACGUGUUCUAAAGGACUUAAACAAGUUUUUGGACAAGUUUGAAAGUGAUUGGAUGGCUAAAAACAGGAAAGUGCAUUGAUUGGGCGAAAUCAGCCUUUUCUGCUUGGUGUACCGGUACAGCCAUUAUGGUGUACCGGUACACAAUGGAAAAACGUGGCAGCAGGGCUAUUUUGGUAAUUUCACACUUUGAUCCUAUCUAUUUCAUUCCAGCACGACUCCUGGGGCUCAGUGGAGGUUGCUGGAGACCAGAGAAGCAACUUUGCACCAUUCUCUCUUUCUCUCUCUAGGGUUUUUCUCUCUCUAGAUAAAAGUCGCCGUUUCGCGCCGAUUUCGCGCCGCGCUCGUCGCUCGCUGGUUCGGUGGGCUUGGGGCCAGCUUUUAAAAGGUAAAGGGAGGUGUUUUGACAGUGUUUUUCAUGUCUAUUACUGAGAGUUGCUGAACGAGAACUUUAGAAAAGUAUUUAGUUCAAUUUCUCUCUAGUUUGCGGUUUAUCGUCGGAAUUUGACGUGUUCUUAUUCCGUUGCUUCCAGCAGAGUUGUCUGGGGUUCUUGCAGCUAGAAAGGAGAUAUCUAGCUGUGAUUUAACCACUUUGAUCCAGGGAAAAAUUGCCUUGAGGCUUGAGACAGGUAUUUAGUCAACUAUUAAACUAUUUCGGACCCUUAGGCGACCUAAUCGAAUAAUUGACGCAGUUUGAGGUCGUUCUUUUCGCAGCAGGUUUCCAAGUAUCAUUUAACUAAAUUGAGGACCUGGGGAUCUGGUUUGGAGGGUAUUCUAACUAAGGGUAAGCUAGAACUUCAGUUAGAAAACUGAAAUUGCAAGUUUCCGGCAAUAUUUAUUGGUAGUCAAUGAUUUUGACGCCGUUUUGAUCAUGUUCGCAGCGAAAGGGUAAUUGACCCUUGGAUCAUCUUCGACUGGCAUCGAAGGGCUUUUUGGCAGCUUCUCUUGAGGUAAAACACUAACCCAGAAUAGGGAUUCAAGGGGUUACUUUGUACUAAGUGUAAAUUAGGCCGAAAUCGGACAUUCGGUCGUUAUUUUGACUCGGCUUUGAUGCCUUAUUUUCAGCAGGAGUGUGACUUCGUGGGGCUGAUUUUGGGACGUCUUGUGACUGCUUUGAGCAUAGUACGAGGUGGGUCGGACCUAACCAGAGCAAGUGAAUCCCUAGGUCUACGUAUGUAUUGAUAGAAAUGGUUUAUUGGUGCUAUGGGCGAUCGUUAAAGGCUCCGAACUCGUCAUCACGACGUUAUCAUAGGUGAGAGAGCCGUGUAUGCAUAAAGGAUCAUGCAUUCAGUAUUUUUGUUUUGAUUCAGGUAGAACACACUAGAAUUCAGUUAUUAUAUUUCAUAUGAUAUAAGAACUAUAACAUGAAAGUAUUCCACAUUUAUAUCAAUCAGUUGAAUGUCGUUUGAACAAUGGACGGAACAUUUAAAGUAGAGAACAAGAAUUCCGUUGACUCGAACGUAGAGAAAAUCGACAUGCCGGACUAGUGAGAUGGCCAUACAGGGACAAGAUUAAAUGCUAUGUGAUUAGCUUACCUACCAUGUUUACAAAUCUAGCGGAACUAGCUCUUGUCUAUUGUGAUGAAAUUCCGCGAUGCUAGGAUCGAGGUAAAGAACUUGCAGAUAUGAAAUUGUGAAUAGGAAUUGGAUAUUGGUUGCUUGCACCGUGCUCAAUUCGCAGCACGCUGUGAGGGUAGCUCCUACAAGCCGGCACUCCGGAGUGGCCUAGCGACAGUCUCCCCCGUCGGAUUGGGUGCCGAAGUGGUUGCGGGGAGUGUAUACCACCACGGGACCAUUAGGCGCGGCGCAAGCUGGACUACCUGUAGGUCCCGUAUGAAAGGAAAGUACCUAAAUGAAGAAGAGACAUAAAUGACAGGUUUAUUACGGUAAAGUGUACAGUAUCACUUUUAAAUCGUGCUUAUACCAUGCUAUGUCAUGAUACAGAAGUCGCUAUAUUCUUUUUAGGCAAGAUGGUUCUAUUACCGCCGUAGAAAGCGUAUUACACUGUUGAUAUAGCAGCUAUAUUAUAGGCACAUGCUUAUAAAUCAUCAAUAUGGUUCAUUGCUUUCAUUUAGGACAUCUUGAGCCUAUUGGUGUGAGUCGCCGAGGCUGGCGGCUUACCCACUGGGAACUAGGUAAUAGUUCUCACAGGCCUUGGUGGUGUUGACAGAGCCUAGUUACAGGAGAGGCUAAGGAUCGGGUCAAGGGAGUCCGCCGAGGCUAGGGACUACUAGGAAGCUGCUAGUCGAUCACUCUUGCUACUCGGGCUAACGCCGAGGGUGAGUCCUAUGUAUAGAGAGACCACCGUUGUACCUAUUCUUUUUGGUAUACCCAGAUGUAAAUGGUACUUUUAGGGUUGAGAUCGUGGUGUUACUUCUCCCUUUUGUUGAGAUCUUGGAGUUGUAUGACUCUAUUGAUUUGGAACCUGGAUUUGAUACACCGUGUAUCCGACUUGACCUUGCUGCUGAAUACAGGAUCGAGACUCUCUUGGUUUACUUCUCUAUCCUAACUUGCUAUCUUGUAGAGCAGGCCUUAAUACUGCAGGUUAGCGGGGUCUGUCCAGUUGGCCGAGAGAAUGCUUACCGCGGGGUACCGGGCGUGACGAAUUAUGGACCAGGAGCCUAGGUUGCAGUCUUAGUAAACGUCUAGCAACCUUAGGGCGCGCUGGUGACUAUAAUAGGAAGAUGCCGGCUGGAGAACGAUGCGAGUCGAGGUUGUUGUUAGCUGAGGGUAACUUGAUGGGGGCCUUUAAACUCCAUAGUAGUAGGUGAUCGUGGAUGUGCAAGUACUACUUUGGGCCGAGGUACUUCGCGUCCGGCCGACAACGUGAAUCGGAAGUUAUAGGCGUUACAUUUCCAUUACGUUUCCGCUCGAUUAGCGGUUUAUAUCCUCAAUGAGCGGUUUCAGUUAGAAAUGGUUUAUUGACCUAGUUGUUUUGUGUUGCAGUUCAAGAUGCCGGACUGAUCGCUCUGGGAACGCCGGGCGGCUGAGCGCGGCCGCUGGCGGGAAGAGGUAGAGAACCUUCCCGCACGCGCGGCGUUCGCACGUGAGCUCCAUAGAGUUCAGGAUCAGCUUGCGACGCUGACAGAGUGGUAUCAGCAGCCGCGGCAGCACGUCAGCAGAUGGAGCGCUGCGCGUCGCAGGCAGGACACGGAUGAAGAGGUUAGAGGACUUACAGCGGCAGACAGACCGACAGAGAGAUUGCCAGAUGCGACCCUAUAGCACCCAAGAGAGGGGCACGACAAGUGAGAGCACAAGGUCACCGACGGACCCGACACACCCCCAGGCUGCCGAGGGUAGACGACGCCGACGAGGAGACGAUACCACCAUCAGUACCCUGUAGCAGCAUCAAGGGACUGUGUUACCCGAGUGGGCGGGGUGAGAAGCGGGGAAGCGGAUAUGAUGGAUACGAGCGAAUGAAUCCGUCGCCUGCAAUCCCUCAUGUCUUUGAUGGGAGAAGCAGAUCAUUGGUAGAUGUGAGAAAUGGUAAUGCACAAUGGAGAAUUAUUCUAUGACACCGUUUGUUGAGGAGCAGUAUCCGAGUCUGGUUUGCGACACACCACCUUGAUCGUGAGGCUACAGGGUGGGUGACAUUCGCAGAGGAUCCCCGUGCUGACUUGUCUGCUAUUCACGUGGAACAGAUUCAAGGAACCGUUGGUGACUACUUACUUGCCCCCAAGUGUAAAGAACAAAUGGACAAGGGAUCUGAGAACCUAGACACGGGGAAGAAGUGGCAGCGUUAUGGGAAAGAGUUUCUCUCGAUACUCACCUGUGUUCCUUUUGUAGUCGAGAUAAGGACAAGGCUCGAUAUUAGGUGGGUUGCGACCUGCGCAUCGGUCACAUUGUCGCACGGCCGCAAACAUCUCCACUCUAACCGGGAUGUCGUGAACCGGGCCUUCUGUUGUUGAGAAGGGGGCAGAAAUCAUCGAAGAUCAAGAGAUGUUGUGGAACUCGAAGCAAGGGAGAAGAGAAGCAGCAGCUGGAGAGGCAUGGUCAGCAGUCCUUUCGGAGACGCGCCAAAGUAAUCCGAAGGAACAGAGCCGACAGUCGUGACAGUUCGAGGGUCGAGGUUCUUCAGCACCCGUGGAGCACCCAGAGCCGUCGACCACGCGCUUGUGAUUUCUGUGUGCCACGUAACCGCCCAAUGUGUCGCACAGCGUGGGGGCCGGGGCGUUCUUGUGCGCGCCCAGAGGGCACUUUCGUCAGAGUCCCGAGAUUCUUUGCCAGCACCCUCGUUAGCGGACUACCACCUGCAUCGUCAGCAACGCGAGCCAGGGGACCCGACACGCGUCUUAUCAGUCAGGCCGACCACCAGGGACACGCAGUCGAGAGUCAAGGCAGGGUUCGAGUGCGGGAUGUAUGCCGCCGAGACUGAGGUGGCCGCCACAGCAGCAAGGAGGUGCGAGCAGGUAUAUUACUUAUAAGGCGUGUUCGUGCGCAUUUAUUUGAGUAUGUGCUAUACGCAUUCGUUAUUGAUCGUGCAGUUCGACGGAGUUGCAUAGCAAAAGUAGCACCUACUUUGUUAUUGGGACAUAAAUUGUACCUAGACCAUAACCUAGAGGUUCGGAGUUUUGCCCUCGCUGGCCCAGUUAGGGUAGCGAUGAUUCAUGCCAGUAAUGUCAUCUAGCAUACACAAACUAGUGAGUUGAGUGUAGAUGGGUAUGAGCUGUUGACACAGAUCAUGGCUACUAUAGAUUCAACGACAGAACGGACCUUUAAGAACGCGGUCAACAGGAGUUUGUUUAUAAGCGACGAUGUCAGAGUCAUUGGUCACAAGCCAUUAGUUCCGCGACGCACGACAGAAGUCGGAGGGGAUGUUAGGCCUAUUUGGCACAUUUCUGGAGUGGGUGAAGCCAUCAAGAGUGAUAUAUCCACGUUGUGCGCGCAUUCGGGAGUUUUCCAGCUAAGUUGCCGCAUGCCACGCAUGAUAGGGAAAGUCGAAAUUGUGAUUGAUCUGUCGCCUCGGACACCGCCCAUUGUCUAAGGCGCCUUAUAGAUGGCACCGCGAUUGGAAAGAGCUGAAGGACAGUUACAAGGAUCUUUAGAUAGGAUUAUUCGACCGAUGUGUAUCGCUUGGGGAGCGCCGUUAUGUCAAGGAAGAAAGAUGGAUCUCUUUCGAUGUGGCGUGAUUCGACAAAUCAACAAGGUCCACAUCAAGCAACAAAAUCCAUGGCCGUAGAAUUCGAUGAAUAUUGGACCAGCGGCAGGAUCGAAGGUUAUUCCAAGAUUGAUUUUGGCAAUCUGGUACCAUCAGCGUAAGACAACCUGAAGAUGUUUCGGAAAACUGCUUUUAGAACAGGUAUGGGCAGUAUGAUUUACAGUCAUGCCAUUUGGAUUGACUAAUGCCAGCAGCCUUUAUGGAUUUAAUGAGCGCGUGUCUUAAGGCCUAUUUGAUAAAUCGUGUAGUGUUUAUCGAUGAACAUCUUGAUCUAUUCCGAAGUGACGACGAACACGAAUCAUGAUUGAGAGUGGGUUGGCAAGACUGCCGCAGAAAAAAAGCUGUUUGCAACCAAGAAACCGAAUUUGGCUGCUCGAAGAAGUGGCAUUUCUGGACAUGUAAUUCGGAAACUGGAUAGCUGGGGAUCCACAGAAGAUGAGGCGAUUAAAGAUUGGCCUAGGCACGACAGGUCACAGAGAUCCGGAGUUCCUUGGAUUGGCGGGAUACUACGGAAGAUUGAAAAAAAAGGAUUGGCAAAGAUGUCUACUCCUCUCACAUCACCACACAUAAAGAGAAUAAUUCUAGUGAACGAAGCUUUGAAAGAACUAUCCAAGAGCUGAAAGGAACAUUGCCACCGCCCCGAUUCUAGCACUAAGCUUUACUCGGAGUGGAUAUUGAUUUACACAGCGAUGCGUCGCUGAAUGGGUUAGGGUGUUCUAGUGCAUGAAAUGCAACGUAAUUGCUUAUGCAUCUGCCCAGUUGAAGAUAUGAAAAGAACGACCCUACACAUGAUUAAGUUGCAGUGUGGUUUUGCCUAAAGCUUGCGCCACUACCUUCUACGGGCGAGCGUGGCGAGGUUUACAACGAUCAUAAGAGCUUAAAGUAUCUGUUACUUUCAGAAGGAAUGACAACCUGAGGCAACGAGAUGGGUGUAGUAGCUCAAGAUUAUGAUGACAUUUUGACUAUCAUCCAGGAAAAGCUAAUGUGUAAGCAGAUGCUUAAGGCAGAAAAUCGACGGAAAAUUGGCGAUGUCGAUAACUAUGGCAGCCCCUGUUGAUUAAGGACCAUGGAGCAUUGAAUGUGAAGGUUAGCCCUGAUAGCCUGGAACUUAAUGUCAGGGUGAGGUGAAACCUACCCGAUGAUCGAUCGAAUUAAAGAAAAGGCAAGCUCAAGAAUGAAUCCCUGGCAAUAAGAUUCGAGUAAAGAUCAUGCUGAAUGUGUGAUUCGAGUGGAUGAUUCAGGGACUAUUAAGAUUUAGAUAGGCUUGUGUGCCAGCAAAUCAGAGACAUUAACAAAGAUGUUUUAAAGAGGCACCACCGGGCGCGGAGACGUACCAUACCCUGGAAGUACAGAAAAUGUAUAUAGGAUUCUGACGUUACACUUACCUGGUGGCUAGCACAUGAAAAAGGAAGUGGCGGACAUACGUCUAAGUGUUUAACGUCAGCAGGUUAAAAGCUGAACACGACUUCCUGCGGGAAAUCGUCAGAGCUACCCAGACAGUGUGAAGUGGGAGAUGGAUAGCUAGGAUUCAUCGUGGAUUCCCCCAAGCAGUACAGCGAUGCAAUUUGGUAAUGGUGGAUGCGAUUGACUCACUCUGCCCCACUUAUUCCAAUCCACACACUUGGUCAGGAGAAACUCGCACAAUAAGCUGAUAAAAUGCGCGAUUAACGAUGGAGUAACACAGGCCUCUAUGUUCGGAUCGAGACACCCGAUUCGUUCACAUUCUGGAGAAUUUACAGGAAGGCCAAUGGGACCUCGAUUCGAUUUAAGUAUAGACGCUUGCCACCCCCAAGUGAUGGCAGCCGGAGCGACUAGCCAGACCCUUGAGAUAGUUGCGCGGCGCUGUGUGAUUGAUUAGCAAGGCAGUUGGCCCGAGUUCGUACCGGAGGGCUGAAUGCUUAUAACAACAGUUAUCACGCAAGCUAUUCAGAUGGCCACUUUGAGCCCCUUAGGUAGAAAAGUCGCAGAUCACACUUCAUGGAGUGAAGUCGGUUGAGAGAUGGUUGGCCAGACCGAUUUACAAGAGGCUGAAGCUAAGUGCGACUUGCGCGAGAAGCUACUGACAGCUCACCAAGUCGACAAAAGAUUAUGCGGAUAAAUCGGGAAACGAGGAAUUCAAGUUGCGACAACGUAUCUUUUGAAGGAUUUCACGAACCGAAAGAGGAGUAAAAGAUGUUGGCCAUUCGAGCAAGUUUAAGCCCUCGAUUAUUGGACCUACGAGGUUUGGAGCGGAUAGGCCCCGUAGCAUAUCGGGCCGUGCUUUGGCCGCCGAACCUAUCGGGAGUGCAUAAGUGUCUGGUCCACAUUCGGAACUAUUAUUUGAUCCAACGGCCACGUACUGGAGAGUAUCCAGUAGAGUUGCAGAAGAGUUUGAGCUUAAAGAGCGCAGCCGUGGAGAAUACUAGCUCGAGAAUUAAACGGCUUCGAAAUCGGAGAUACCUACGGAAGAUCCUUGGAGGGCAAUCACAGGAACCGGGAAGCCACAUGGGAACUGGAGAGGCAAGCAAGAGCAUUAUCCAUCUAUCUCAAUGGAGGCUUGAAAGUAAGUAGUUACAAUUUCGGCCGGGCAACUCAAACUGCUUGUUAGGAAGGGUGAAUGUAAUACACUGACCUAGCAAUUGCGGAGUCGGCGAGAUGGGAAUGAGUUGGGAACAUCUAAUGUUCUAAAGACUUAACAAGUUUUGGACGAAGUGUUGAAGUGAUGGAGGCUAAAACAGGAAAGUGCCAUGAUUGGGCGAAAUAGACCUUUCUGCUUGUGACACGCGGUACAAGCCAUUAGGUGUAACCGAUACACAAGGAACAACGCACACGGCUAUUUGCAUUUUCACACUUUUGAUCGUCAUCAUUUCAUUCCAGCACGACUCCUGGGCUCGUGGAGGUUGCUGGAGACCAGAGACGAAACUUGCACCAUUCUCCGUCUUCUCUCUCUAGGGUUUCUCUCUCUAGAGAAAAAGUCGCCAGUUUCGCCCGAUUUCGCGCGCCCUCGUCGCAUCGCUGGUUCGGUGGGCUUGGGCCCAGCUUUAAAAGGUAAAGGCGAGGUGUUUUACAGUGUUUUUCAUGUUUACUGAGAUUGCCUGAAUCGAGACACUUUAGAAAGUAUGUUAGUCAAUUUGCUCUCAGUUUGCGGUUUAUCGUCGAAUUUGACGUGUUCUUAUCUUGUCCAAGAGAGUUGUCCUGGGUUCCGGCAGCUAAAAGGGAGAUAUCUAGCUGUGACUUUAACACAACUUGGAUCCAGGGGAAAAAUUGCCUUGAGGCUUGAGACAGGUAUGUUAGUCACUAUUAAACUAUUUCGGCACCCUUAGGCGACCUAAUCGAAAUACUUGACGCAGUUUGAGUCGUUCUUUCGCAGCAGGUUUCCCCAAGUAUCAUAUUAACUAAAUAUGAGGACCUGGGCGACUGUUGGAGGGUAUUCUAAACUAAGGUUAAGCAGAACUUCAGUUAGAAAACUGAAAUUGGCAAGUUUCCGGCAAUAUUUAUUGGUAGUCAACGAUUUGACGCCGUUUUGAUCAUGUCGCAGCGAGAAGGGUAAUUGACCCUUGGAUCAUCUUCGACUGGCAUCGAAGGGCUUUUGGCAGCUUCUCUUGAGAAAACACAUAACCCAGAAUAGGGAUUCAAGGGUACUUUGUAGCUAAGUGUAAAUUAGGCCGAAAUCGGACAUUCGGUCGUUAUUUCGACUCGGCUUUGAUGCCUUAUUUUCAGCAGAGUGUGACUUCGUGGGCUGAUUUUGGGACGUCUUGUGAUCGUUGGAGCGCUAGUACUGAGUGGGCUCGGACCUAAACCAGAGCAAGUGAAACCCUCAUUUCCUAUAGUAAUUAUAGAAAUGUUAAUUGUGUGUUAUGCGAUUGUUAAUAGGCUCGGGAUACGUACAUCACGACGUUUAGAUCAUAUAGUGAAUGACGUUUAUGCAUAAAAGUACUAUGCAUUCAGUAUUUUGAUGUCAGUGAAGCAACUAGAAUUCAUUUAUUAUGUUUCCUCAUGAUAUAGAGAACAUAUAUACGAUGAAGAUAUUCACAGUUAUAUUCAAUCAGACUUGAAUGUCUCGUUUGAACAAGUGAGGAUACACUUUAAAGUAGAGCAACAAUGACAUUCUCUUGACUGCGAACGUAGAAAGAACUCUGACAUGCUCUGGACUAUGUUGAUAAGUGCCCUCUAACUAGUGAAAAGAUUAUAAUUGCUCUAUGUGAAUUUUAGCUUACCUUACGAUUUUACAAUCUAGUGAUACUAGCUCUUGUUACUAUGGGUAUUGAAAUUCCGAUCAGGAUCGGGAAAACUUUGCAAUGAAAUUAUGAAAUUGUUGGAUAUGUGGAUAUUGGAUAUGUUUGCUUGCCAUCGGCCAUUCGCGACGCUGUGAGGGGUAGCUCCUACAACCGGACUCCUGGAGUUAGCCUAUGCGACAGUUGUCCAGCCCGUGCGGGAUGGUUGGUCCGAAGGGAUGCCGGGGGAGUGUAUACUACCACGGGCCUAUAGGCGCGGCGCAAGCUGCGACUACCUUGGGUAGGUCCCUGGAAUGAAAAUGAGAGGGUACAAAUGAAAAAGACAGUAAGAAUGUUUAUCUUAAAGUGUACAGUAGUCACUUUUAAUAUCGGGCUUAUACUCAAUGUCAGUCAUGAUUCACAGAAGUUGCUAUAUCUCUUUAUGCAAAUGAGUUCAUUACUGUAUGAAAGCUAUUACAUGUUUGAUUACAAUGCUUCAUUACUUAUUAGCAGGCAUGCUUAUAAAUCACUUGCAUAUAUUCGUUAUGCUUUCAUUUAGUACAUCUUGAGCCUACGAUGGUGUAAUCGCGGAGGCUGGCGCGUUACCCACUGGAACUAUGAAUAGUUCCACAGCCUUUUAGUGUUGUUAUCAGAGCCGUUACAGGAGAGGCUAGGAUCGUGGCAAUGGAGUCGCGCCUAGCUUAGGGCUACUAGUGAGCGUGCUAGUCGAUCACCUUGCUACUCGGGUACGCCGAGGGGUGAUUCCUCAAUGUAUAGAGAGACACCGCCGGUUACCUAUUCUUUUGUAUACCCAUAUGUAAUUUACUUUUAGGGAUUGAGAUUAGUGUGUACUUUCUCCUUUUGUUGAGAUCUGGUAGAUGUUGUAUACCUUUGUAUUUGUGACUGAAAUUGAUACUCGUUGGGAUUAUCACUGUACCUUUGGCUGCUGAUUAUCAGGAUAGGACUUCUUGUUUUACUUCCUAUCUACGUGCUCUGUAGACGCUUAAUAUCGGCAGGGUGUAUGGCGGCGGGUCUGUGCACGUUCGGCAUGAUGGUACUCGGCUGGAUCGGGCGUGACAGGGCCGUGAGAACUAUAAUUAAUAGGUUCCAGUGGGGCAAUACUAACCUCAAGCUCAAUGCCACACUGCCCCAAAGAAGAGGUACAGUACAUAUAAUAGCAAUAAUGACUGCGAUAUAAAGGCAUAAUUAAAGAUGCUAAUUAGCUAAACUCAAGAACAACGAUGCUCAUGUGAUGAACAUCUACGAUACGAAAAAAGUAGGUCAUUAACGCUUCAAUGAAUACAUUAGCUAUAAGUUCCGUCAUGGACAACAAGUAGCUUUAUGGCAAAAUGGGAGACUAUCAAGUAUACUACAUGUCUCAAACUAGAGCUAAAAGCAUAAUAAAUGAAUUCAACUACUAAAACCUAUCUAGUAAGGGAUUAACCAUUCGACACAGCGCGGUCGAUUUCAUUCCAAUUAAGGAUAUCAAGGAUAGUCUAGCUUGGUGACCGCCUAAGAGCUGUUGCUGGAGCCCAACAUCCACGCUUGAUGUGUCUGUUCCACUCGACCCCGUAGGCUUCUCAAUACCGCCAGACGAACAUAAGAUCGCGCUAGGCUAACUCCGAAUGCGGCUUGGUAGGAGCGGAUCUCGCACAACCAUCGCUGCGAAUGAGCACAAAUAGCAAGCAGCGAUGCCAAGUCUCAAGUGUCCAAUCCUGCAUGUCUCUAACAUGGUAUGAUAACUAGCAUCCCGAUGAUUAUUAUGAUCCAAAGAGAAGUUCCAACAUUCUUACACGCCUUUACGUGCCCGCUUGGACAUUAACAACAAAUGUUGCAACAUAUACCCAAUCCCUCAAUGGCUCUAACCCACUUAGGUCACACAUGUCCGAGCUCAACUGCCGCUUGUAUGACAUUAGCUCUCAAAUACACAUACAUUCUAGUUCGAUAGCUCUAUAAGUGGCAAUUUGGUCAACUUCAUGUCUCAAAGAAACUAGGUUUAAAUGCAUAAAUCCAAUUCAUUUACACAUGAGCAUGGAACAGUCUCAUAUAGAAUGCUAGAGCACAACUAUAGGCCUUACCAAGUACUCUCAACUACAAGAGUCCAACAAUUUCUCAUCAUAUAUACAUAGGCCUUUAAGCAUUCUAAAAUUCACAAUAAAAUACAUAAACAAGAAUAUGCAUGCUUUCAUUUAACAAUACUUAAUAAGCACAAAUGAGCAAUGGCUGCCAUUGUGUGGCUAGGUCAAAACCGCACCGAACGCGCCGUAGGGCCUCCGUUUCGCCGAACAGAUGUCGCCGAGCUCAAAAACUCUAAAAGUACCUGAGCGACAAGCAACACUGGGAUUACGAUCAAUUCAUAUAAGCUGUCAAAUUUAAACAAAACUUAACAAAAGGGCUCACAACUCACCCAAUGGUGAAAAUCUCUUUCAACCCAAAAGAGAGCUGAAAUCCCUUCUAAUCCAACCAAGGAAGGUUUAAUCCACCAAUUUGUUCACAAAGCCGCUGAUCAAAAGCCCCAAAACGAACCCUAAACUCAUUCUAGCGGUUCCAAGACAAUAAAACCUCAAAUCCAAGGCUCUAGAUGGAGGAGAAAGGGCUACCAACCUCUAAGAAGCUCCAAUCCAAGCUCCAAGGGUGAAGUUCUCCUCUUUGGCAAGCUCCAAGUCCAAGCCUCAUGCACCAAGGGAGAAGAGAGGGUGAGGAAGAUGCUCCAAGUCCACUAGUAGCUCUCAAACUUCUUCUUCUUCAUUCAUUCUUCUCCUUCUCCUUCUCCUUCUUCUUCUUCUUCUUCUCUAUCUAGGGUGUAGAGAGAGUUGAGAGGAGAGAAAUGAGGAGAGGAGAGAGGGGAUGGGUCAUAUAGACCAUCUAUUGUAACAAAAUCCAGCUAGGUCCUCCAAAAAUCCAAAAUUGCAUCAGCCCGGUCUGGGCAAUUUUUGCCCAGAGGGACCGGUCUCUCCCCAGCAGGGACCGGUCUCUCGCUGCGAACCCGAAAAACCAACGCUCGGGAACCGGUCUCUUCCUGUGUGGGACCGGUCUCUCUCUGCGAAGGCGCGCACGAGGACCGGUCUCGCCCGCCAGGGACCGGUUGCCUUAGGGCUGCCGCAACACUGUUCACUGGGGGACCGGUCUCUCCUAUCAGGGACCGGUCCCUGAGAGCAAAAACUCUCAGGACUUGUCCAGAAUUCCAGUUUUCGAACUUUUUAGGUCGGAAAACAUUCUACAACCCUCCACCAAGUGCGGAAAAGCUCGAAAUAUAUCCAAACACUCGAACCUCGCACUUUGCAAAGGCCCAGUGUGUUACAUGUAACCUCCUCCACAAUAUAUGAGUAACCUCCUUCACAAUAAGUGUGAGAAGUUCUCCUUUAGUUGUAUAAGUUUCUCAAUCGGACAUUAAUGAAGUGUGUGAGCUUCCAAUUUCUUUACGAGCAUCCGUGGGCCUUUGAUCCGGAGGACGAGAAAGAAUUGCUAAAGAAGGAGGAUGAUUCCGUUUGACAUAGUAGAUCGCUCAAAUGCGUACAUGAUCAGCUGAAGGACUUUUCUUGCUUUACUUCUUCCGGCCCUUCUUUUUCACUUUUCAAGUUGAAUGUUAAGAGGAAACAGAACAAUAGAAGAACUAGAAAAUUGACCCCCUAACACAUUCAUCCAUUCUUUCACCUCGUUCAAGGAGUCAAUAUAUUGACGCAAUAUGUUUUUUGGAGUAAUGUCUUCGAAAUAGUAACAAUGAAUUUGUAAUGCAUAAAUAGUUUGCUCUCUUUCUUUCUUCCUUUUACGUUUUUCUUUUUGUUUGUCUUCCUAUUUUUACGUAGUCUUGUUACUUGUUACCGUAUUUUUGUAGCUAAGUUUAUAUUCUUAUUGAAUGAAGCGGUAGCAUGCUAUUUUUUUUCUCGAAGAAAAAAAAAUUUGUAGCACAUAAAUUGGGAGUAUUCAACAACAUUUUUCAUUUCAUAUUUGUGGGGGAGUUUUCACUUUUUAUCUUUACUAUAUACGGCCUCUAAACUUUGGGUUUUGAAUAUUGUUAUAGACUAUCGUUAAUUCUGCUAUUUUCUUCGCCAUAAGUGUAAUUAUAUAUGGUCUUUAUGUCUAAGCGCUUUCAUAUUUUGCAUUAGAGAUGGAUUAAGGAACAUGACCCUACAGUGCAGUUUUUCUCCAGCGGGUAUGAUAGGUUGGUCUUCUUAGGGUGUUUGACUACUGGCUUAGAUUGUCCAGUCUUUAAGUAAGUAGAGAACGAUGGUCUAACUAACAUUCCUGUACGAGUGUAUAUAUAUAUAUGCAGUCUAACCUUUUGUUCCCUGUGUUUGCGCUUAGAGAAAUUAAAUUUUGACCAAGGAGAGCAACUUUUUCUUCAAAAUAGGAGAGCCAUACAGGCUCUCGAAAAAUGUUACGAUAUGAUGAAUUGAUUUGUGGGAAAAUUAUAUCGAACUCUUGAACUUUGGUCCAAUUACAAUCACUAGCAAACUUUUAAANCCAACUCUAUUGAAUUGUUAUUCAGUUUUUGAUGAUUUGUUAUUCAGUUUUGAAUGUAACAAACAUAGUCAUCACACCUGUAUAUAUGUACCAUAAACUAUGAAUGAAAAUCAGUGUGGAGAUUUAUCUCUAAUCCUUCUUAACAUGGUAUCAGAGCCAUAUCCACAUCUCUAACCUAUUAAGAGUGCCUAGUAUUGUUUCAUCACACCCAGAUUUCAUUUUCUCUCUACUACAAUAUGAGCUCUUCACCUCAAACUCCCAACACUUCCACUACGACUGAUCUCACUUCCUUGAUAGCCUCCCUUCUAACAUUAACAAAUCUAAUCUCUAUCAAACAUACUGAUAAGAAUUAUUUGCUAUGGAAGAGUCAAUUUCUUCCUUUGCUAAAUGGUUAUCAGCUACUCGGCUAUGUUGAUGGGACUAUGAAAUGUCCUUCAAUUCUUCUACCAUCCUCUACUGAUAGUACUCCAAUAUCCAAUCCAGAUUUUAUUAAAUGGAAGCAGAUCGAUCAAUUGCUAAUCUCGUGGAUCCGAUCAACAAUUUCUGAAGAAAUACUACCACAUGUGGUAGGAUUAACUACAUCCAAGGAAGUUUGGGAUACACUUGCUGAUCAUUUUACCCAGCAAUCCAAAUCUCGAGAAUUUCAUCUUCGCCAUCAAAUUCAAUAUUUGAAGAAAGGUAGUAUGUCUAUGUCUUCCUACAUUAAACAAUUUAAAAGUCUCUGUGAUGAACUUGAAGCAAUCCAACAACCACUGUUUGAUGAUGACAAAGUCUAUUGGAUUCUUCGAGGAUUAGAUCGACAAUAUGCAUCGCUUGUCACUAUGAUCACCUCUCAUGACCCUUAUCCAAAGUUUAAGGAUUUAUGCUGUACUUUUUUGGAUCAAGAAUUAUUUUUAAAGUCCUAUGAUGAAGAUAUAUCAGAGACAAAGGCCACUGCAUAUAAUAUCAUGAAAACUAAUCAUGCACAUGGGCGAGGAUCUACUCGUGGCAGAUCUACAAAUUAUGGGAUGCGAGGACGUCGCUCAAAUAAUCGAGGUCGCGGCAACCAAACACAACAAUUGAGAUCUUCGACUGAUGCAAACAUUCCACGCCCUCAAUGUCAAAUUUGUCAUAAAUAUGGUCAUACUGCACUUAAUUGUUGGCAUCGUUUUGAUGAUUCCUUUCAUGAGCAAAGACAAUCUCCCGAUGCACCACAUCAAGCGCUAGCAGCACUCCAAAUUCAAAAUCCGACAGAUGAUGCAUGGUAUCCAGACACUGGGGCCACUAUUCAUGUCACAAAUUCCGCAUGUAUGCUUCAAUCUUUGCAACUUUAUUAUGGUAAUGAUACUGUUUUUGUUGGGGAUCGUCGACAAUUAAAAAUUACCCACAUUGGCCAUUCUCAACUUCUAACCUCUUCUACACCUUUACACCUCAAAAAUAUUUAUCUAGUACCAUCUAUUAAAAAGAACCGUCUAUCUGUUAGCAAGUUUACUCGCGAAAAUAAUUGUUCUCUUGAGUUCACCCCCUCUGCUUGUUUUGUUAAGGAUCAGGAAAACAAAAUGACUCUGCUACAGGGAUCUCAUCAUAAUGGUCUUUAUUCUCUCAAUUCUCCAAAAGCUAUUUUUCUUUCUACAAAGAGGGCUUCUCCAAAAAUUUGGCAUCAACGACUGGGCCAUCCUUCACAACAAGUGGCAAAUCAUUUAAACAAGAAUGCUGCAAUAAAAUUCUCUAGUAUGUUCGAUUCCAAAUCUUUAUGUGAUAGUUGCUAUUCUAGUAAGCAAACUAAGUUGCCUUUUCCAGUUUUAAAUAAAAGGGCCUUUGUUCCUCUUGAAAUUAUUUCUUCUGAUGUUUGGGGUCCAUCUCCUGUUCCUUCAAUCACUGGCUAUCGAUUUUAUGUAAUUUUCAUUGAUAGCUACAGUAGAUUUGUUUGGUUUUAUCUUAUGCAUAAUAAGUCUGAAGUUUUUUCAUGCUUUCUUAAAUUUCAAAAAAUGGUAGAAAAUCAAUUUAACACCAAAAUUAAAAUUUUGCAAAGUGAUGGUGGUGGCGAGUAUAUUUCUAAAACAUUUGUUACAUACCUUGAAAAUAGCGGAAUUAUUCGCCAACUCUCAUGCCCCCAUACGCCUGAACAAAACGGUGUUUCCGAAAGAAAACAUCGCCAUAUAACUGAAAUGGGUUUGACACUUCUAUAUCAGUCCCAAGCGCCAUCUACUUUAUGGGUUGAUGCCUUUUUAACAAGUGUGUAUCUAAUAAAUCGAUUACCUACACCUUGCUUACAAAACCUAUCCCCUCUUGAAACUCUAUUUUGUUCUUCUCCAAAUUAUCAUCACCUACGUGUUUUUGGAUGUGCUUGCUAUCCUUAUUUACGCAGCUAUUCUUUGAAUAAAUUUACUCCGAGGUCUACUUGUUGUGUUUUCAUAGGAUAUAGUCCUCAUCAUAAAGGUUAUAGAUGCUUAAGUUUAUCCGAUGGACGCAUCUUUAUAUCCCGUCAUGUUCAUUUUGAUGAGUCACGAUUUCCCUAUGCAGAGUUGUCUUCCAAAUCCAUUUCUACAUCACUUGAUUCCAUUCCCAAACAACAGAGGUACUCAUUUCCUAUUUGUCCACCAUCUCUAUUAACUUCUUCUCCACAAAACAUUCAACCAUCCGAUACUAUUCUUGAUUCUAUAAGCCUUCCCCAAUCCAAUCUACCAGAGCCCACAAGUUUAGAUGUUGAAUCUGUCCCUUCUACAAAUCCUGUUGACACCUCCACAAGAACAUGUCAUCCCAUGAUAACAUGCAGCAAAGAUGGUACACGCAAACCAAAGGUUUUUCAUACCUCUCGACACCCAGUGCCCCAAUAUUGCUUGCAAAUUACUAAUGAUGAGCUUCCUUCUGAACCUACAUCAUAUUCUGAAGCCUCUAAAGAUCCUCAAUGGCGCCAUGCUAUGGCAGAAGAAUUCAAUGCUUUACUCAAGAAUCAGACAUGGUCACUUGUUUCUCCACCGUCAAAUUGCAAUAUUAUUAGUUGCAAGUGGGUGUAUAAGGUUAAACAAAAAUCUGAUGGCAAUGUUGAACGCUUCAAAGCUCGUUUGGUUGCUAAAGGAUUUCAUCAACAAGAAGGACUUGAUUACGAUGAUACAUUUAGUCUAGUAGUUAAACCGCAAACUAUUCGUAUCGUCCUUUCGCUUGUACUCUCCAAAGAAUGGCCAAUUAUGCAAUUAGAUGUUAAAAAUGCCUUUUUGCAUGGCACAUUAAAUGAGGAGGUAUAUAUGUUACAACCUCCAGGAUUUGUUGAUCCCUUAUACCCUUCACACGUAUGUCGGUUGCGCAAAGCAAUAUAUGGUCUUAAGCAAGCUCCACGAGCUUGGUUUCUGUAAGGACUGAGAUUUUUACAGUGCAACUAAACUCUCUGUUGAUGAUGUUUAUGUGUGUAAUUUAAUUACAUAAGUACUCAUCAAGUUUCAGGAGAAAAUGAGCUAAAAUGGAGAAGUUACGCGAUUAUUAGUUUUCACUUAAGUGAAUAGUAACUCCGGUUUUUCGGUGAAGCCACGGAGUAGAGUUGGCUUUCUACGCGUAUCGGACUCCCUUCAUAGCGAUCCAAUAGCUCGUUUUGAUCGAUUCAGCUAUUCUGGAACCAAUGGCACUGACGGAUUUCAGAUCUGAUGCACGAUUUUUGAGAAAAAGGGAUUUUAUCGAAAAGAGGAUUUUCGCUCUUUGCUGUUCUUGCGUAAUGAGACUCCUCGUGCUCUACGUUUGUGACCUGGGGUUAGGUGAGAGUUGCUUCUGGUACCUACUGGUGGUAGGGAAUUCAAAUUUGAAUUUGGAUUAAAGGUUUUAGGGUUAUUACAUAGGUCUAUGUGUAAUUUGUGGAUUAGUUGGAGAGCAGUUGGGUUUGGUCGCAAAUCGGCAAGUAAAUCGGAUGAAACGAAAUCGAGUUUCCCAUUGCUCUUCGUCGUGCUGAACCGCGAUGGUGCAUAAUCCGUUCUGGAAAAUCCGAUGAAACGAUUGCGGAUAUUGCUGAAGUUGCUAAGGGGUCGAGAGUGGAAAAUCUGGGAAAAUUUCGCAAAAGUCGUAAUUUUAUGUGCCGGAAUUGCGUGAUUGAUGCGCAGCAUGGGGAGGUCGUAUUUAAAAUACGCUAUGCUGUGAGGGACUUGAUGAGAAAAUAUAUCCUCGGGAGAGCUAUCUUGCAAAUGGCAUGAAUGUAAAUAGUAGUUGGCACUAGCGGUUUCGUAGGAAACCUAGCUUUUGGCCUUCUCCUCAGUCGAUACGCGAGCCCUAGCCGCCAUCCUUCUCCCUUGCCGGCACCCGUGCGCACGCCCCGGCUGUAGCCGCGAGCUGCCGCGCGCCGGAAGCGUCCACCGCGACCUCUCUCUUGCUCGUCUCGGCCACCCUAAGUUCCUCUGUACUAUCACCGAAGUUGCGAAGUGAACUUUCUUCACUCCGAGCUUUCAUCCAUUCCCACUGGCCGAAGACCCAUCUCUGGCAUCUUCCCGCGCCGACUCGCGGCAUCCCGUGCCCUGCCGGAGCCUCUCCGCGAGCCUUCCUGCGGCCAUCUGCGGUCAGCCCAGGCCGAGCUUGGGUGGAACCUCGGUCUAGUGCGGCCAGCCGUCGCUUCCCAUCGGCCCUCUUUUUUUCUUGCGCCACCUUUCCAGUGACACCUCGCAACCUCAUCCGCUUGCCGUCCCGCCGUCUGGCACGCCUGCCUUGGCCGCCGCUGGAACCUUGCCUGCGCCCUGCCCAGAACCCUGUGCGGUAGCCAUGUUGUGUGCUCCGCGUUCGGCUCCCAGCACUCUUGCACUGUUUGGCUUUGCCUAUUUACACCGAGGGGUGCAACCAUCUUCCCUCCGGUCUCUCUCACCCCAUCCGAUCCAUCGCCGCCUCGCCUUCCUCCCGCCGGCCCGCCCCGUUUCCGCCGCCUUUGUCGCCGUUCGGAGAGCUCGACCGCGAGAGUGUAACCGGGCGGUUGGGCUGCGCCGCCUGCGCAGUAGCCUGGCACCUCCUCCCGCCGGCCACAGGUCCCCGCCGAACCCCACCGACGCCGCACCCUUCCCUGGCCGGGACCGCCCGCCUCACUCGGUCGCCUUGCGUUACCAACCCUAGGCCCUCCUCAGGAUCCGGUAAGGCCUGUUUUGAUGUUCUCGAGCACAGUAUUUACCUUUCCGGCCACCUUUGCUGAAUCCAAUUAAUUCCCCGAACACCCAGCUGGGAAGUGAGCACCUGAUGAUCUAAAACGGGUCGUGCUGAACAUCGUGGCUCAUCUCGUCCGACAAACCGGCAUGAUGCCUGGUUUAGACGAGUUAAUCGGGCGCUAAUCUUGCGGCUGUGCUGCGCAUCUCGCAGAGCUUCGGCAUUGUUUUCGGCCGCUCCGCUCCUGUGGCUGAAUUGGUCCGAUAAGGUGAGCACGUUUCCAGAACGCCGUGACCUGUCAGCGGUGUCUCUGUUCGGCUGUUUCAGCUGUCUGUUUGUGCAGACCGGACUAAAAUAGCGCGCGAAAUCUUGCAUGGAAAUAUUCGAUUUCGGGUAUUCGGUACGGCUUUUAUGGCAAACUUCUUGUUCGUCCGCGGCUGCUGUUUGCACAAGAAUGGAUGGCAGUUUUGAGUGACGUCUUGGACUGAUUGUUCCAGGCCCCUUGGACCUUUGGAAGAUCGAAAAGGCAUUCCAGUUGCGUUGUCGGCAAAUAUGCCUGAUCGGACCGUUCGUUCGGAAUCAUUUCCGACGGUGUCUCGGGAUGAUUUAUUGUGUCGCUGAGCCUAGUUGGUGGUCACCUGUUGUCAUGGUUCGGGUUCGAUAAUGACGGUUGAGCGAACUGGGUUUCGGUGUCGAUAAUGACACUUCCGGGGAACUCCGUUCGGAACGAUUAUUUCGACUGAUAAUCGUAUUUGAGAGUGAGUUAAGUGUCUUGCUGCCAUGUCACCUGUAAAUUGUAAUUUAGUGCAGGCUGGUGACUCUGAGUGCGAGUCGGGUGCAGGUUCCUUGGGACAUGUUCGUUGGGUCCCGAAGAGUCUCUCGUGCGGUUUCGGAAUCUCUGGUUGUUUGCGCUAUUGGUUCGGGAAACGCGAUUCCCGAGGGGUCUAUGCAUUUGGAAUUGUGAUUAACUGAUACGGUUGGAGGGUUGUGGAUUUAGUGGAUAUUAGUUGUGGGUUACAUACUAACCCGUGGAGUCCUGUAAGUCGGCGGUUGUCCCAUUCUUCGCAUUAGACAGGCCGCGACUAUCCUUACAGGUGGUACUUCGUCGUAUCCGACGUUGGUAAACAUGUUAGCUAUCUUGUUGGUGCACCGCUCGGUGAUAGAGUUUCUUACCCUUGCUCUUUGUUUAUUUCAAUUGCUUAUUAUUAUAUUGUUGAGUUCUUUGCACCUUACUAUUGUUAUAACAUUACACCACAACGUUUGUGUUGCAUUACUACUCUACUCAAGUUCUUCCAUGCUUAGUAAUCUGUAUGUUGUAGGUAUAGUCUAUUCUGAUAUGUGAUACCAUAAGUUUCUCUUGUGCUUCUAAGCCUUAGCUUAUUCGCAGUACCUCGCGUUUUCAUUAAUUUAUAGUUAGUAUUGCGAGUUCUGUGGAUUAUUCUGUGAUGAUUACGUCUAUUAGGUCGAUUCUUAUGUAUGUUCAGUAUUUGUGACUCAUUCGGUGAGUUCCUCUGACCUUGUUGUCCUGAUUACCGUUGAGUCGAUAAAUAUCCCUGAGGGGCUGGAUUGUCCGUUAGUUGCCGACGAUGAUAUAUAUUUACUCCAUUCCUAUAUUCUUUGUGACACUGAUUCGGUCGAGGGUUUCAUAUCUAUACUUGUGAGCGCUGAGUUGUGGUCGAGUUCGAUAUUUCUAUUACUUUGUGACGCUUGAUGGUCGUAGUUUACAUAUUCGAUGUUGAUUCUGGAGUGGGUCAGUCCUUGUGGUUCCAUGAGCAGAUAUUUGCAUAAUGUUGAAGAGGAUGUUCGAUGUUGUCCCCAUCCUAUUGACGCUGAGUGGUUUCUUUCUUUGUGCUUCCUUUACAGUUGCACGACCUAUUGCGGUCGAGUGGUCCCUUGUGGGCAGGAUUGUCGGCUGGUGCCGACGUUGAUCAUUGUAUGGCAUUUAUUGCAUUGAUCGCGUCCGAUACGUCGGCUAUUUUCAUCNNNNNNNNNNNNNNNNNNNNNNNNNNNNNNNNNNNNNNNNNNNNNNNNNNNNNNNNNNNNNNNNNNNNNNNNNNNNNNNNNNNNNNNNNNNNNNNNNNNNCCCUAAACCCAUUUGUUAUCUCCAAAUGCUAUUGAAAUUGUUUAGAUGACAGACCGUUCCUAGAGUAAGUGGCAAAGGGUUUGGUGGUUGGUAUAUGAGACCCAUGUUCAAAUCCUAGUUGAUUCACAUUUCUAGCUCAUUUUAUUUCUAAAUGAAAUAAACGAAAUAGGUAGCGUACUACCUAUCUCUCAAAAUAGAAAUUGUUUAGGUGACAAAUGUAAUAAAAAAAGAGAUUGAAGAAUCACUCUUGCACAAUUGAAAAGUGAUUUUGACUGAUAAUGUGAAUGAUAAAUCAGUGGAUGGAUUUUGAGAUUUAGCUUUUAUUCUUUUUAUAUAUUAUGCCCACUCAAAAAUGCAGUGUAAAUCUUAUACUCAUAUAUUCAAAGAUUUACAUAAUACUUUUGAGUUUUUAAUAUCAACAAAGAAAAAAUUGAUAAAAUUAGUGAGAAAAUAUUAGCCCUUGGAUGGAAUAGUGCUAUAAAAUAGGAUACAAUAAACUUCUAAUUAGCCCCCUAUGAAAAAAUCUCAGUAAAUCAUAGGAGGGGUUAAUUGAAGUUUAUGCAAAAUAAAAACUCUAGCACCGUGCAAUGAUUUCAUAGUGUGAGGAGUAUAAUCAAACUUCUAGAAUUGAUAAAAUAUUUAGCCUAGAAAUCAAUUUUUUCACGGAAAGAUAAAUUAUCUCAUAAUAAAAUAUAUUAUUCUGCAAAAUAAUGAACAACAACAAUACCUUCUAAAGAUGAGAGAAAAAAGGAAAAAAAAAAAAAAUCAUAUUGAUGUCCAAACGGGAUAGAGAUACCAAGUGCAAAUAGGUCAAAACCAGAGGACCAAAUUGAAGUUUUCACUCUGCUAUAAAAACCCAGCCCGUUUGAAACCCCCCACCCUGCAGCACCUUCUUCUUGUAUUCCCUCCAAAACUUCUCCCUCCCAGAUUCCCUGCUCCAGCGUCCAACCCCCAAAAUCAAUCAAGAANAUCGAGUCGGCUGGCGAUCUACUGCUUAUAAGCAGGCACCGAGAGCUCACCGCAGGGCGCAUCUUGGUCCAUCGUCUGCCACCGUUCGAAGGGGACGGUCCGCUCGUACCGACUCCCCUGGCCAGCAUUGGCGAUCGUGCCUUGUUCUUGGGCACGGGGAAUACCGUCGCAGUCCACGCGCCUGACUUCCCGCUGUCCGUCAGAAGAAACAGCAUCUACUUCACCGACGUAUAUCGCAGGGUGGUAAACAAUCAGUUUGUUUCCGUCGGCUGCGUCUAUGUUUUUGACAUGGAGCAGGGCGUCACGACGAAGGCGUUCGAAGUGGCGGAAACGGACGAGACGAACAUGUGGGUGAAUCUGAGGCCGUGGUGGGUUACGCCGAAUUUGCGCAGGAGAGGUCCAUGAGCACCGAGAGGUUCGAUCUCGUACCGCACUUUCAUUCUCCCUUGGUGCACAUUCUGAGUUUCAAAUACAAUUGCAGUCUCAUUGCGGAUACAAUCGAAGGAUCCGGAUCAUUUAUUUGCCCCCCUUACAUGUUCUUCUCAGCGAAAAGUUGAGAACUAAGGAUGCAAUUGAUCAAGCCUUAAAUCUGGAUAUUAGGAAUUGCUCAAAAUAAAAGCACCGAAUUUCGCAAUUUAAUUUCACUUCGCUUAUUGAAGUUAUUAUGAUCCAGUUUCAUAGUUUGAACACUUUUAACUUUUGAUCGGGCAGUUUUGAAGAAUCUACUCCCUUUCAUAUUUGAAGAGCAGUUCUUGAAUAGUAAAGAUUUUGCUCAAAUAAUCUUUAAUAUUUCAGUAUCAAGUUAUCUCGAAAAUUAAAAUGAGUUGUCCACGAUUUAUUGUGAUAUCAUGAUAAAAGUAGUUGCAUUUCAUGAUCCAGGUUAAUUGAGGAAUGGAAGGAAGAACCGAAAGCGGCAAUUCGACCAUUAUAACCGUCCUUAGUUCCCCGGCUUCCAAGCCAUCUAUACAAAUUUCAAUGUUUUCUGUACAUAGGAAGAUGAUGGCGUGCAUCAUAUAUAGUCCUGCAGGAGUUUGGAACUUCAUCCAUACAUUGUAUCAUAUCUGAUGCAAAAUUUUAGCACCAUUUUGUUUUGAACUUGUGCAUACCAUUUAGGAGCAUCUGCUGAGUGCGCACACAACUAUCAGAAACUGAUGAGACGUGCGAUAAAGAAAUUGUCUUACUGUGUGAAGAACAGCAUGAUGAUCCGUCUGAAGCAUUCUCCUCUGUAAACAGGAAACUGCAUGUUUACAUCUUUUUCUUCUUUUUCUUUUUCUUUUUUCCUUUCUUUGUGGGGUCUUAUAUUGUUAUUAGAUCAAGCAUCAACAAUUGAGUUACUUCCCUCAAAAGAAAAAAAAAAAAAACAAUUGAGUUACUAUACUUAUGUUUUUUACUCUCCAAUUUGAUUCUGCAAUAAAGGCAUAGUGACUUUUGUGACCAGGAUUGAGGAAAGGGUUUAUUAUAAUGAUCCCUAGUUGAAUCCAAUUUCUAUGGCCAUACUCCUUUAUUAAGGACCUAUUAGCCCCGCUAGGUGGGAGGAAUUUUAUACUAUCAUACUUGCACCACGUCAUUAAUAACAAGUCAAUUAUAUUUCUUUUUUUCAAACAAAAGUAUAAUAAAAAUAUUUUUUUAAAUCAUAAUGGGACAUAUACUCUUAAAAGGAGACAUUUGAUUGAUUUGUUACGCCAAGUCACCAAUAUACCUGAUACAUUCUAAAAUUUUUUGCUAGGUAGAGGGUGGAGUUUACUGUUUGAUGCUAAUAAUAGUUUAUUGCGGCAACUCUAGUUCCCGUCCAAAUUCAAAAAUCCUUAACCCAAAGAUAGAAAUUUUCCCAACAAAGUAAGACCCAAGAAGGAGUAUUAUAUCGGUAAAUAAACCACAUAAGUUGAUCAAAAUAUGUUAAACACUGCAUUUAACUUCGUUCCCUUAAUCUCCAAAAUUAGAUAUCAGCAUCUAAUUGCGCAUAGAUCUACUUCCGCAGGAACUACAUAACGAGAUGAUCGCGAUUAAAAAGAAACACGCUCGAAUCGAGUAAUCGAACCAAUCACCUGCACGAACAGCUCGAUCCCCCCUCGCCGCCCCCGGCAUCGUCUUCCUCCCGGCGACGGCGACGGCGAUGGCGGGGUAACGGGGGGCAUAAGGAGAAGGACGACGGCGACGAGGAGGAGGGGGACAAGAUUUUUAGUUUUUAAUUCCCCAAAUCCGAAAUCAAUUUAUUUACUAAAAUCAAACUGAAUCAGUCCAAGUGAGUUGCUUUUUCAGUUUGAUUUUCACGAAACAUGUGGUUUAAAUGGAAAUAUAGACUUAUGUUGCCGCGCAAUUUUGAUUUAAAUAAUUUGAUUAAUUUUUCAAUAUAAAAUUUAGAAUAAUUAUUUACUUAAUAAAUUUAUAUCUGUGUAAUUAAAAAAAUAUUUAAAUUUUUAAAGCUAAAGAGUUAUUAGUUGAUUCAAAUCAAAUAAAUUAAAAGAUUAUAUAGCAAAAUUAAAAUUUUUAAAGAUUAGAUAAUCAGAUUAAAAUAAGUGACAGUUGAGGUAAGUUGUAUAAAUUUUUACUUUUUUAUUCGGAAAAUCUGAAAAAUUAGAAGAGGUAUUUAUUUCAAAAUAUGUUAAAUUUUUUGAUUUAUUGUCUAUUCUUUCUGAUUUGAGUUUCAUGAAAUUUUUGCUAACUAUAUACCCAGUGCUAUGUGCAGUGUGCCUUUUUCUCUUUUCUUUUUUUUUUUUUCAUUCUCCUUCAUUUGCAUUGUGACUGUAUAGUAUCCUACAUUGUAAAUUGAAAUAGAUUCCGGUUACUAAAGAGAAUAAAUAAUAUAAUUAUCUUAUACCAGAACAAACUCUUUACAAAAGAAUUUCACUUUGGCCCCUAAAAUUUAUAAUAUUUUAAUUUUUAAUAUAUCAUAGUUAGAAACUUUUGUGUAAUUUUCAAAAGCUUGAGGGGGCCCAUGACCAUUGUUGGCCUCUCAAUAGCUCUCCCCCGAUUCAGGACUAAGCAAAGCAUCCUAAAAGGACUUUGAUACAAGUAUGCUAGAUUGUUAAACAUAAAAAUAUAACAAAAUCAUUCCGGCUUAAGUUUUUGAAAAAAAUAAUUGUUUCAUAUUAUUUAAUAUGAUAUCAAAUCAAAUAAUUAUGAGUUCGAGUCACACCAGGUUCCUAACUUAAUUGAUUUUUCUCUCAAUUAAUUUAAGUCCGCAUCAAACUUAGACAUAAAGAAGAGUGUUCAAUAUAAAAAUAUAAAACAUCAUUAUCUAUCAGCUUAAAUUUUUAGAGAAAACAGUUAUUUCGCGUUGUUUAACAUAGAUUGAAGCCAAAUGCACAGCUAAACAAGUAGGGUGGGCAAGUCCAUUAAAAAUCUCUAAAUGCUGCAUGUAAGUCCUCUAAAACUUGUAAGUCCAGGAAAGAAGGUGGUUUAGGUAUGUUGGAUGUCGCGACCAUGAACCAAGCCUUUCUAACUAAAUGGUGGUGGAAAUUUCACACGUCACCUCAACUACAGUGGAAUAAGCUUAUCCGAGAAUUGUAUUAUCGUAGAAGAAUACCUCUGAGGGAAGGCAGAUCCUUCAGACCUUUUUCCAGCUGGUGGAAGGGUAUUCUUAGCCUCAACAUUAUCUUCAAAUGGGGAGUGGCGUUUCAACUAGGAAACGGGAAUACCAUCGAUUUUUGGUUGGAUCGGUGGUGCGGCGAGAAAUCGUUGAACCUUUUAUUCCCGGAAGCGUAUCUGAGGUCUGUGGGGGGGGAGAUACUCUAGAGUUAGUGAUUUCUUCACGGGGGAUAAUUGGAACUGGCCCAAGAUCCUGGGAGCAAAUGUGGAACAGUUGCUAGGACUGGUUCCAAACCUAUCGGAGCUUGUAGAAAAGGUCUCUUCUUACUCCGUUGUGGUCAGUCCGGACACGAUCCUAUGGCGGUGGAGUACUGAUGGACACUUUUCGGUCAAAUCAACCUACUUGGCCUUGACGGACGGCGGGACGAGAGAUGCACGUGCCCCUGUUCUAUGGAACCUUAAAAUCCCUCUAAAAGUGAAAGUGUUUUGUUGGUUGAUUCUCAAGAAAAGGAUCCUUACACGUGAUAAGCUUGCUAAGAGAGGGUGGUUAGCCGACCCUACCUGUGUACUAUACGGGUCAGAGGAGGAAACCGUGGACCAUCUAUUUACCAGCUGCGUUUUCUGUAAAUUCAUUAUAGCGAAAUGGGUGGACGAUAUUCAGGCCCAAGACCUCGGGGGGGAAGUCAGCCUCGUGUGGGAUAGGUGGAAGGUCAGGAAGGAUAAACAUAAGAAGCGAUCUCGGCUUGUCGAUCUAGUCGCCUGCUGGUGGAUCAUUUGGAAGAUCAGAAACGACUCAAUCUUUCGUAAUAUUCCCCCGAACCCUGGGAUUGCGGUUCACAGGCUCAAACUUCUUGUGAUGGAUUGGGACCUUCUUCUCGGGCCUUAAACAUCUAUAAGUAAUUGUGUGUGUGUGUAAUUGCGGUUCUUUCUUCUUCUUCUUUUUUUUUUUUUUUUUUUUUUUUUUUUUUUUUUCGAGGCCUGGUUGCCUCACACUUGUAGCUUAAUUCACCUCUCCAAUGAAUGAAGCGGGUAGCAUGCUACCUUUUUCUCAAAAAAAAAAAGUCCUCUAAAACUUGCAAUUUACCAGUAACAAAAAGAGAUGUACCACGUGCACGAGUAUGUAACAGUAAGGAUUGCAGCUGCAGGCGAUUUGAUUAUGAGCAACUACAAACUAUGGCUGGCACACAUUUAUUUAAUUACAUUUUACAUGUUCACUUAUAGAUAGCAUGCUAGAGAGCCAGCUCAGCCACCAUGUGAUCUUUGCUCUCUUUUACAGAGUGCAGGUCUUACGUCUGUUUCCAUUUCAAAAAAAUUAUAUAUAUCUUUUUGGUUGAAAUACAUAAAGUCACCAGCACUAUACUGCCAUAUGAAAUUGCCUCCCCUCAACUUUUUUAUUUUUUCUUUUACAUUUAUUUGUCUUAAUUAGACCCCUAUGUUAAUAACAAGGUUAUUUUAUCUACUGUUUCUGGCGCAAGUGGCAAAGAAUUUAGUGGUUGGUAUCUAAGGUUUCAAAUUUGAAUUCUAAUUGAUUCACAUUUUCAUUCUAAAUAAAAUAAACGAAGCAGUAGAGUAGCAGUCGAGAUGUAUGGCAAUGAUGACAAUAUGAAAAAAUAAAUGAGCUGUUGUCUCUAAUAAUAUAAUGAGAGUGUCGACAGAUACAAAAGAAAGUUAAGUUUUUUCAUUCUGAUUUAUGAUAGCAACGCAGUUUUGAAAAAAGAUUCCAAUGGUCUCUCUAAUUUAUAUAGAUUUGAGAUAAUUAGGUAUAAUAAAAAUUUAUAUAUUUUUCACCGAUGGGAGUCUAACGUAAAAAAAAAAAGAAAAAAGAAAAAAAAUGACAGUACAAAGAGGUGAAAAUUAAGAAAAUAAUUUUUUAUGGCUAUUAAGAAAAUCAAUGCUAAUCAAAAAAGGCAAUUUCGAACUGUGGUGCAGUGCUGAAGCGGUCUCUAUACUUUUUUUUUUCUUUUUUCUGGGGCAAUCAAAAUUUAUACAUAUCAAUUCUUCAAAUAUAAUAGCAUCUUAGAAUAAUAUCGUGGGGUGAAAAUCAUUUUUAUAUUACUCAAUCUAACCAGACUCUAAAGCCGAAGAUUAUAGGAUUUGGAUUGAAAUUUUACUAUCCAUUACCGAAUCAGAUUUAGAUUCAGAUCUGAAAUUUGAAAUUUUUUUGGGUUCAAAUUAAGAUUCACUAUUCUUUUUCCAAUUCAGAUUCAAAAUUAUUCGAAACAAAAACUGAUUUUGACUGCUUUUUUAAUUUCUGAAGUAAUGCCAUUUAAGCAUCUUUCAGAAAUCUCAAACAUCUUCAUUGCGUUUUCUUCAGUUGGAAGAGAAAAUAAUAAUAAUAAUAAUAAUAAUAAUAAUAAGUCCCUCCUUUUCCGCCUCUUCAUUUGAAAAUGGACACGGAAACAACAAAAUCCAAAGAGCAAAUGCGAAACUGAUAAUAUUUUUAUAAUCUGUACAAUAGGAUAAAGAUGAUUGAGGGACUAGCGUGCAAACGGUCAAAGAUUCCCAACGUAGUUACCGGAGCAGCAGCACGAUAAUUGGAGCAAUCACCUACUACCACUACCACUGCAGAGCAUCCCCUUAUUCUCUGCUUCCUUGUAGUUGCUAGGACGUUUGUAUUGACUAUUGAGAAGAAGCACAUAGCUAGCUAGCUGCUUUCGUAAUAGCGAUGGCGGAGGGGAUCGCAUUCGGUUUGGUGAAGGAGGUGCUGGGCAAGCUGGGCUCUGCUCUCGGGGACGAAAUCGACCUGCUGCGGAGCUUCAAGGACGAUGUACAGGAUCUCAAAAGCAACUUUUCGGCGAUCCAAUCGGUGCUUCUCGACGCCGAGGAGCGAAGCAGCGCUGGGAAGGAGAGCCACGCUCUGCGAGACUGGCUGCGCAAACUGAAGGACGCCGCCUACGACGCCGACGACCUGCUGGACGAGAUCCGAACGGAAGCUGAAAAGGUACGUGGAUUUCUGUCCCGCGCUAAUCCGAUGCAUCUGAAGUUUAAGGUCAAGAUGGCACACAGGAUGAAAGAGCUCAGAGAAAAGAUCGGUAAGAUCGCGAAACAGAGGCAUGAUUUUGGUCUUGCCGAAGCUGGCCCUGGUCGGCAGGCUGAGUUCAAGCACCGUGAGACAUUCUCGGUUGUCGACGAAAAGGAAAUAGUUGGGAGAGAUGAUGAUAAAGAGAAAAUUGUGAAGCUACUGCUAGAGACGGCCGGCGAUCACGACGUGUCGGUCAUUCCGAUCGUGGGAUUGGGGGGUUUGGGGAAGACGACGCUCGCUCAAAUGGCCUUCAACGACGGGCGGGUUACGGGUCAGCAGCGCUUUGAUCUACGCGUGUGGGCCUGCGUGUCUACCGAUUUCCACAUGAAGACGAUCGCAAGGUCGGUCAAAUCUGCAACCAAAGAGGAGUGUGAUCUUGACAGCUUGGAAUCCGUCGCGAGUUUUCUCCUCAGGAUCUUUAGCCAGAAGAGAUUCUUGCUGGUGUUGGAUGAUGUGUGGAACGAAGAUAAAGGGAAGUGGAAGGAAUUGAAGGUUGUAUUUAAGGACGGCAGGCAGGGAAGUAAAAUCUUAGUAACCACACGAAGCGAAAAGGUCGCCGCGAUAAUGAAAACAGUCGAACCACACCGUGUGAAAGGCUUAUCAGAUGAUGAUUGUUGGACAUUGUUCAAAAGGCUGGCAUUCGAUGAUGGGGAAGAGAACGACUAUCCGAGUUUGGUCGCAAUCGGAAAGCAGAUAGUAAAGAAGUGCGGCGGCGUGCCUUUAGCAGCGAAUGCUUUAGGAAGUAUGAUGUAUUCAAAGAACAGGACAGAGGAUGCAUGGUCCGCUAUUAGGGAUAACGAAAUUUGGAGUCUGCAAGAAGAGAAAACUAUUUUACCAUCAUUAAAGUUGAGCUACAUUCAGAUGCCGUCGGCUUUGAAGCAGUGCUUUGCUUAUUGCUCCAUAUUCCCCAAAGACUAUGAGAUUGACAAGGAUGACUUGAUCCGGCAAUGGAUUGCUUUAGGCUUCAUUUCAUCGCAUGAAACAUGGACUUCGAUGGAAGAUAUUGGAAAUGAGUACUUUAACGAUCUAUUAUGGAUGUCUUUCCUUCAAGACAUGAGGAAACACUGGGAAUCUAAAAAGGUUACCUGCCGGAUGCAUGAUUUAGUGCACGACCUCGCACAAUCUGUAGCAAGAGAAGAAGUUGCUGUUAUAGUUGGAGAAGAGUCAACAUGGAUCUCGGAAAGCUGCCGCUAUUUCUCGAUAUACAAUCGUUUCACGACACAGAUUCCAACCACAGUAGUGCAAAGGCUGCGAGCUCUUCAAUUUAGGGAAUCUGGUUCAUUUAUUACUUUUUAUAGUGAGGCAAAAUACUUACGUCUGUUGGAUUUACAUGAUUCCAAAAUUUCUAUAUUGCCAAGCUCAGUCGGUAAGUUGAAGCUCUUAAGAUACCUUGACCUUUCGAGGACCAGUAUACAAGAAUUGCCUGAAUCAAUUACCAGCCUCUACAACUUGCAAACCUUGAAUCUUUCAGGCUGCUGCGAGAUCCGUACAUUACCCAAAUUUCUAGGAAGGCUUACGAAUUUGCGGAUUUUAGAUUUAAGUGAUUGGCAAUCUCUGACAAUACCUGACUCCAUUAACAACCUUCAGAAUUUGCACGCACUAAAUUUGAGUUGGUGCAAAAAGGUGAUAUCACUUGAACUUAUAUGUCACCUCAAAAACCUGUAUUACCUAAACCUAUCAGGUCUAAAUUUUAUGGUGACAUUACCUGAAUCCAUUGGGAGCCUUCAAAACUUGCGUAUUCUGAAUCUUUCUAACCACUAUUCUCUACUAUCAUUACCCUCAUCGUUAUGUGAUCUCAAAAACCUGCGUAACUUAAACCUAUCACAUCUAAAUUCUUUGGUGACAUUACCUGAAUCCAUUGGGAGCCUUCAAAACUUGCGUACUCUGAAUCUUUCUGGCUGCAUUUCUCUACUAUCAUUACCCUCAUCAUUAUGU
RNAcentral lists this long non-coding RNA (96079 nucleotides) under Ananas comosus (pineapple). RNAcentral's name for it is "long non-coding RNA (ACOM_LNC007759)". Lineage: Eukaryota; Viridiplantae; Streptophyta; Magnoliopsida; Poales; Bromeliaceae. The record is from RNAcentral.